UUUAUCUUUUUUUUUUUUUUUUGCUUAACCACAAAAAUGAAAAAUCUUCUUCUCUAAAAUAGUCACCAACCUAAUUGUAAGGUAAAUUAUGGGGUGUUCAGCUAAUAUGCUAAUCUCUGCAAGUUGAAGUUUAAAAAAUAAAUAAAUGAGAAAACGCUACAGCGAGAUUGAAAAAAAGAAGCAAAUCAAGUGAUUUUACAAAAAAAAAAUGCGAACAGUACAGCGAGAUUGGAAAAAAGAAAAGAAGAGAAAAAAUAAACAAAUCAAAUUGCUCACUGUGAAGUGAAUUUUAGAAAGAAAAAAAAAAAGAGGAAAACGUUAAGCAGGUCGCUCACUGUGGAGUGAAUUUAAAAAAAAAUUCCUCACAGUGGAGCAAGAGGGGAAGAAAAAAAAAAAGAGAUAAUCGCUCAUGGUGUAACAAGAUAAAAACUUUUUUAAAAAUAAUUUUUUUUUAAAAAAGAAGAGAAAAUCACUGAUGGUGCAGCGAGAAACACUUUUUUAAAAAAAGGCUAAAAUCAAAUCUGCAAUGAGCAAGAUGUAAAAGAUAAACACGGUCAAACGGCAGUUAAAUCACAACUUAUAUAGGAGGCCUGUUUUGGUUAAAUCCAAAAUUGAAUGGCCCUUUGUGCAUUUUGGAGGAAAAAAAAGUGGCUCAUUCAGAUAGCAUAUAUAGCCUUGCACAAAAUAGUAGAGAGAUAUCAGAAAUACAGCCGAUGCAUACCUCACUUUGGUGCAUCAGAGACUGAAAAUUAUCAUGAAUAUGUUUAUGAUCAUCAAUGUCUGCAGCAGUUAAAAGGGGCAGCAGACAGAUGAAUUUGGGGGUAAGAAGAAUCAUAAGCCGGGAAAUGCUUAAAACCUCUUUAAGAUCACAUAUGCCGUUGAAACACUGGCCUCAAAUUAUAUCCACAUGCCAAAUGGAAAUGAGAUUUCAGGGCCACAAUAUGUAAAAGCAAAAUGGAUACUCUAGUAAUAAUUACAAGUUAGUGAUGCUGCUAUAUUUGUAUCAACCUGCACUUGAUGUUCCUCAUAAGCUACAAAAUUUAGUUUCUGGAAUCUUCAAACAUUCUGGCGUCCAGCUGAUCAACCUGAAAAUAGAUUAGAACUCAAUGAGGUCUCAAUUUUAAUUUUCUCUUUCUCCAGUUUGUUGUUUAAGAACCGUCACGUUAUGGCAUAUAUUAUAAACAAUAAUAGUAAUCUUGCCAGAUUGAUGAUUCCCUGGAUUUCCAACUUCUUUUUUGCUGCUGGAUUUAUUGUUACUUGGCUGUUCUACUGCCUGAUUCUGCAUUUAAAAGCCAAGUUUUAUAAAAUGACAGAUCACUAGAGAAAGCAUAUGGAUCACAUUGAAAGGAAAGGAGAAACAGGCAUGGACUGUUUCGAGCUGCAUCCAUCCUAUAAACACUCAUUCAAGUAAAACUCAAUUUGGCAAGUUAUAGAAGUAAAGCAAGAGUAUCUGUUUCUUUUGGAGAAUAAAUUUAAUCUAGCAACACAAUCUUCUGUGAAGUGCAAUUGACCAAUGAGGCAAUGACCAAGGUGAAAAUAAAUAGUGAUCGCAAGAUGCAAAGAGUAAACUUGUUGCCCGUGGUCUCUACAUGGACAUAGUUAUCAUGAUAAGCAACAAGUAGAUUUGUUCAUGGUGGUCACUAUAUCGACACAGUCGCUAUGAAAUGAGUUAAGGACCAGUAGAAGAGGAAGGGCUUGCCUGCGGUAAUGCGACUUGCGUUUGCUGGAGACCAAAAAACUGCUGAUAUGGAUCAUUAAAAGUCGGAAGUCUUGGCUGGUUCGAAUUAUGUGCAACAAGUGAAUUUAGCAUUGGAUCUGGCUGACUUGAAGCUUGCAUUCUGGAUGGAUCUGGUACUGGAACUGGUGGCAAAUGAAAUGGAGGGAUAGGAAAUCUAGGACCCAUUUGUGCUGCUGCAGCUGCAUUCUGCAUCGCUGCACCUUGUAAUAGAGGUGGAUAUGGCACCAUUUGCCUGUUCAUGCCAAUCUCCAUACCCAUCCCUAUACCCAUGCCCAUUCCCAUUGGCGGCAUGUACGGUUGCAUUCCAGGAUACAUCAUCGGGACCAUGCCACAUCCCAUGGACAUCAUCUGUAGACAAACAGAUAUGAUCAAACUACACUCUGCUGCGAGUACAAAUCCUUUUUAAGAUAAUAACAAAUAGGAGUAUGGCUAUAUCAACAACUAAGUUCAGCAUGCAUAUUACACAACCAGAGAUUAGUUGAGAAACUCUAAUAAAGAUACUCAUGAAAACUUCCUUGACACUGAACAUAUGUACACCAGCUCAGACCAAGUCUGAGCUGGAAACACAGGUCAAUAAGGAGAAUAAUGAACUUUAUUUUUUGACAAGCAAGGAAUUUUCACUUUUGGAAGAGGAGGUUAAAGGCCGUGAGAAUAUGAUGAGUGAAUCCUUAAUAUUCACGAUGUAACACUGAAGAUGUACAUUGGUCAAUUUUAUCUAUAUAUUCAAAUACACAAGAUAUAGGUUUAUUGUUCCAGCGAAGGAGUUACAUUUCCAUUCACGUCCAACUGAAAUUCGAUAAUAACGCUUGAGCACCUUCAUGGAAUUUGAAUCAAGAGUGUGCUACAAACAAAUUAAGCACUUAAAUCCACAUAUUACAAGGUGGACUGCUCUUCUAUGAGCAAUGAUGGAACUGGAAAGAAUUAACACUAUAAAGAUUUUUGUUGCCGUGUCUAACUCAACCCCAAGAACUAGCUCAUGGGGGGAAGUUUGUCCAAGUCCAUAUAAGCCUAUCAGCAGUCCAUUCCCAACCAACGCGGACUUUAACCCACUCUAACACUCCUUUUACACCCAGGUCCAUUUGAAGCGUGGACCGGAAGCCCAAAUAGGAAUGAACUUGACUCUUACACCAAGUAAACGGAUGGAAGAGGUUAUCUUAUUCAAAAGGUAAGCAAUGAAUAAAUACAAUAGAUUGUUUGUUAACUUAGGAAAGAGGUAGAAGAUGAUUCCUACAAAAUCAGCUUUCUAAAUACGGCUAUGUACUUUACAAGAAUGAAGUCUAUAUGCAUUCUAUACCAUAUUAAGAUAUGAUAAUUGAGUCUAACUCAACCCCAAAAGCUAGCUCAGGAGGGGAAGAUCACCCAAGUUCAUAUAAGCAGACUAUCAAUCUAUUACCUAACCAUUACGGGACUUUAACCCACUCUAACACCCCUUCACACCCCAACCAAACUGGAGCGCAAACCAGGCGGCGCCCAAAUGGGGAUGAACUUGGUUCAGAAACCAUGUAAUCAGAUGGAAGAAGUUAUCUUAUUCCAAAAGGUUAGCAGUCAAUAAAUACGAUAGAUUGUUUGCUAACUUAGGAAAGAGAUAGAAGAUGAUUCCUACAAACCUGCUAUCUAAAUAUAGUUAUGUAUUUCACCGGAAUGAAGUCUAUACACAUUCUAUACCAUAUAAAGAUAUGAAAUACGAGUCUAACUCAACUCUCUAAAAGCUAGCUCAUGAGGAGAAAAUUGUCCAAGUUCAUAUAACCAAACAGUCAGUCCAUUCCACAACCAUUGCGAGACUUAACCCACUCUAACACCUCUUCACGCUCUCACCCAACUGGAGCAUGGACCAGGAUUCCAAACAAGGAAGAACUUGACUCUGCUACAAUGUAAUUGGAUGGAAGAACUAUCUUAUUCCAAAAGGUAAGCAAUGAAUAUAUACAAUAGAUUGUUUGCUAACUUAGGAAAGAUAUAGAAGAUGAUACCUACAAAUUAAUCUGCUAUCUAAGUAUGGCUAUUUACUUUACUAGAAAUGAAGUCUAUAUACAUUCUAUACCACGUAAAGAUAUAACACCUAGACCUAAUUCAACCCCAAAAGCUAGCUUAUGAGGAGAGGAUUGUCCAAGUAUAUAUAGGCAGACCGGCACUACAUCAGCCAACCAAUAUGGGACUUUAACCCACUCUAACAAACACUAAUGGAGCCCAAAAGAGUUCUUCCAAGCAGUUUUUAGGGAAGAAACAUUGAAUGCCCUAAAGUGGCCCAGUUUAGUUAUCCCUGCCCUUUGUAAAGAAGCAUUAAACAUUGGUCAUUCUUAUAGAUAGAAGAUGAAGAAGAAGAAGAAGACCAUGGUAAUAACACCACGGAUCGUAGAAUUAACUUAAUUAGUGUAGAAACUAAAAAAUUUAGCAACUAAAGAAUGAGGAUUUGUUGUUCUACUCCCUCCAUUUCAAAAAGAAUGGCCUAGUUUGACUUGGAACGGAGUUUAAGAAAAGAAGAAGACUUCUUAAUCUUGUGGUUUCAAAUUAAAGUUAUGUCAAAUGUACCAAAAUGCCCUUUAAUCUUGUGGCUUUAAACAUGCCAAGUGGAAAGUUGAAGUUAAAGUGUUGCCAAAAAAGGAAAUGGGUCAUUCUUUUUUAAACAAACUAAAAAGGAAACUAGGCCAUUCUUUUUUAAACGGAGGAAUUAAUUAUAAAAGGGCUAUCAUUUCGUCAAUUAAAAUUAUUUGUUUCCUCCUUCAACAAAAUGCAAAUGUAAUCCUUUAGCAGUAAAUAUUUGGAAACUAAAUAGUAGUGCCGUUAUGUAGUGGACAUAAAUAUACUGUAUACAAGCAUUAUGGAAUCAAUAGCAAAAAUGAAAGCAUAGAUAAUUUCUUACUUAAAAUAAUGUUAGGGAACACACACACAUGCACACAUGGUGUGUGCAUGCGCGCAUAUAUGUGUGUAGAACAUAAAAUAUAUGAAAAACGUAAUGUAAUUAGAUGCAUAGGAAAGGCAUGUGUUAUAGCUUUCACUCCCGCAAGAAAUCUGGUAGUGAAGUACCGACAAGAUGAGAUUUGGUUUCAUUAGGACAAUAAAACUAAAAAAUAGACUAACGUUGUAGUACUUAAUUAACAUGCAAGUUCUUAAAAUUUAGACAAUAUCCAAAUACUGCAUUAGAAUCAUCCAGAUAUUGCUACAUGAAUUACAAAUACUGGUAAUUCAGAUUCUAUAUUUCUUAGAUAUUAUAUGAUUGCGUUAUUAGACUGUUCUUUAUUUGAGUAUGUGUAGUGCUAUGAAAUACGGAUAUUCUGAUCGACCCCAAUUGGCGCUCUGAGUAAUCUAGUUACCAUUACUACUUCCUACUAAUACUGUAAACGACAAAAAGUGUGUUAUACCAAAAGAAAGGCAGUAGUUUGAAUAUAAAAUGUUGUUGACUUACUCAUAACUUACUAAGAGCAUGUGUUGGAUUGGUUUUUUACUUAUGACUUAUAAGUCACAAGCCAUUAGUUAUAAAUCCUAUUUUAUGGCUUUUGCUUAUUUUUAUGAUUUUGGCUUUAAACCAAGUGCUUUAGAGCACUUCUUUUUAAUCCAAACACUCUAAAAAGUUAUUUUAGCCUAAAAGCACUUAAAAUUAGCAUAUCCAAACGGUUUUAUAAAAAAGAAAAAAAAGGAUUGACCAUAUACAAACAUUAAAAUAAAGCAAUGAAUAGUGACUUGCAGACAACGAAAGAAUGUAAUAUUUACAUAAAAAAGAAGUUCUAAAUAUUUCUAGUAAUAUCUCGACUUCCUAUUAUUUAUAUUUAAGAUACAAUCAUUAAGAGAAUGAGGUUCUUUAGGUGUAAAAUUAUCCAACUUCCUGGUGUUUAAGCCAAGUAUUUUAUAGGACUACAAUAAACUACUCCCUCUUCAGAAAGGACUAUCAAAUUCCUUUUCUAUAAAGAAAUUGAACAAGAAGGGUUGGAAUGUAUCAAGAGGCAAUACAUGAAAAAGAUGUUAAUAAAUGUACCUGCACUUGCAAUUGCAGUGAUUUCAAAUACUCAAUUGCCUCAUCAAGCAUUGAAGCUUUGUCCGUCUGAAAUUCAACAAAAAACUAAGUUAAAUAUAUUAACAGGAGAGUAAACUAUAUGUUCUAUAUAUUGUAGAGAAUUCAACGAAGAGGCCAAAACCUUGUUACAGCGUGGUAUGAGUUCCUGCAGGGCCUUCAUCUUCUCAUUUAUUCUGUCUCUACGUCUCUGUGGUGAUUGGAGCAUCGGCAUGUUGAUUAACAGUCAAAUGAAAAAAAUAGUUAAAUUAUCAAAACCCUCAAAUCAACAACUGCACAACACAUACCCUUUCUGAAAGAUUAUGGACCUCCGCAGCACGAGAUCGCUUUGUGGAUGUUGAACCGCGUGCUUGCUUUUUUGUAUCAGGAGACUCAAAUUCAGCAUCCUAGGGAAAUUGAGACAUAAGUUAAUGAAGCAUUAAUAGUAAACUCAACAAAAAGGAAAGAAUGUGUUCUCAUUUCUCAACUUCCAGAAUUUCUUGUCUUUCUCCCACAUGACAAGACAUCAGGAAAGUUGAGUUUAACUAUCUUACAACAGAAAAGUUCACGUGAUCUCCCAAAGAGUAAGAUGGCGUAUACCUUUCUGGUGAGGAGGGAAGUUAAAAGUGGCCAGCAAUUGCCAGUGUCCCUUCACCACCACCACUUUGAAAUUUUCUUUCUGCCACCUUCUGGUAGUUCUUACACUUAUACAUCAAAAGACCAUGAGAUUUUCUAAGUGCUCCUGAGUUUUCGAUUAGUCCCACUUAUCGGUAACCUUAGAAAGUAUUUAGACUUAAUGUACCACACUUCCUUUCUUUACUUCAUUUAAUUUUCUUCUUUUCUUAGCGCAAAAAGAAUUCUGCUUGAAACAAAUUAUUGAUCCUCUCAGAGGAACAAAUUGAUUUAGAAGUAACUUGCAGGUUAACCCGGUGCAAUUUGGAAUGCUGUCUGCAAACUAGGGAGUCAAGAGAAGUAGCAAAGAACAAUGAGGUGGGUUUCAUCUGAUGUAAACAUUAUGGUACUGAGGUAUACAUACAGCUUGUUCAAACAGUUUUUCACUCAUAUUCAGGUCCUUAAUGGGAAUUCAAUGUUCUAAGAGUGUUGAGAAAAUGAGAUGCUUCUCGAUUGUUUUGAGAACACUCUCUUGGAAAAGAGAUUCUACUCUUUGUCCACUCAAAGUUGUCUCCUAAAAACUAAACUACCACUGCUCUGAUUUGUCAUGUGAAACUUGCAAGUAUCCAGUAUACAGUAGCAAAGACAGGAAUCAAAGCCAAAUAAGGUGUGUUUGGUAUGGAGGAAAACACUUUCGUUAAUCCAUGAGUUCAGUAUGGAACAAACACAGUUAUUCACAAGCCUCAUACCCUAACUACCACUCCCUUUGUAUUAAAACAAACCUUGAUAUUGAGUUGGCGUACACGCACCUAUUGUUGAGGGAACAUAUAUUUGGCUAACUCGGCAUCAAGAUACUUUUUACUAUUAUAGGAAAUGAUAGUUUCAAUAAAGUAGAGAUCAAUGAAUAGUUGAGUUAUGAAAGUGUGUGCAUUUACUUUUUAGUUUUUACCAUUAACUCAUUUUAUUUUAUAGGUGAAAAGGUCAACAAUGCCUAACUAGUAACUAGUAUUCGAAAGUUUGGCACAUCCAUGACCCUGCGUUAUAAAUAUAGGAAAAAGAAUUGAAACUCCUUAAACUAUUUAGUUUAAAUUUUUAAUUUAAUUAUUAAUAACAUAACUUCAUAUAUGCAUAGAAAUCACAUGACAAGUUUAAAGUUAGGAGUUCUAGGAUACUUUUAUUAACUUCUUAUUCACGACAUAAAAUGAAAUUAACAAAUGAGGUAGACAUUAUUUUUUUUUUAAAAUUAAUUUAUCCUCAUAUGACACUGUGAAUUUAAGACUGUCAGAAAAUUCAGCACAAUAUAAGAUAUGCUGAUUUCAGAAAACAUUCCCAAGGAGAUCACAUACAGCUCCCCUCUUCCUUAAGCUCUGUUACAUCACGAAUGGUUAACACGGACAAUGGGACAAAGUUAAAUAAGUCCAAACACUCCAGUGACCUUUGCUAUAAACAGGGGGCAAUAAAAGAAAAAAAAAAAUAAGUACUCCCUCCGUUUCACAAAGAAUGACCUAGUUUGACUUGGCAUGAAGUUUAAGUAAAUUUUAGAAGACUUUUGAAUCUUGUGGUUCUAAAUUAAAGUUAUGUCAAAUGUACAAAAUUGUCCUUAAUCUUGUGGUCUUAAACAUGCCACGUGGAAAGCAAAAAGUAAAAUGUUACCAAAAAAUGAAAGAGGUCAUUCUUUUUUAAAUUGACUAAAAAGGAAAGGAGGUCAUUAUUUGUGAAACGAAGAGAGUACUUUCUAAAGGUUCUAGAGUCUUCUUAUUAUUUUAACCACUAAUAAUAGAUGUUCCUUUUCUUUUUCACCUCAUAACUAAAAGCAGUAUAAAAACUUUAUUUUAUGGUUAGUGAUCUGCCACGUGUCCUGAACAACAGCCACAAAAUUGCCGGCUCGAAGCCACGUCACGGCACAGCACAAACCGGUGACGUAGCCAAGAAAAAUCCCUCCUAACGCUAAAAUGCACCGUAAGUUAGAUAUUCUUGCGAGCCACGAAAAACGACAGCGCCUGUGAAAGACAGGUGCGAGUAAUUGGGAAUUACAAGAGACGAAAUAACAAUUACUGCUCACCUCAUUCUGACCUUCGUCAUCCUUUUCUCUUCCUUUCCGUUUCCGGUCAUCCGCUGCUGCUGCUGUUGCCGUUGGCGCCGCCUUAUGCGACGGUGCUGGUGGUUCGGCACUGGCGCUUACACUAUUUCCUGAGCCACCCGGAGAUGACGUCAUUGAAAUGUCACAUGUAGUCGUCGGUUCUCUAAUUGCCGUUGACGUAGUCGCAGUUCCGGUGCUGCCGUUUAUAGUACUACAUCCUACAUUUCCGCUGGGAACUGGUACCACAUUAUCGGGUACGUGUGAAACUCUAGAUUCCUGCCCUGUAAUUGGAGUUACGUUUGAAUCCACGACCGCUGAAUCUCUCAGUGACUUGCUUAAAUUUGCCUGACCAGGUUCUAACCUGGCUUUAGGCAAUCGCGAGAAGUGUCCGAAGUUCUGGAACCGAUUUGAAUUUUCUGUGACGGAGCGUCUAGAAGGAGGUAUAGGCGGCCGAGGAGCCGUUCCGAUCGGCGCUGCUGGCGAUGGUUGUGGCGGAGGUGGACGGAUCUCCAACGUAGACGUACGGUUAUCUCGUGGCAGCGUGGCGGUGGUUAAGGUAGAAGUCGGUGUGGGAUAUAGGAGAUCGGAGUAGAGAUCACGUUCGAAGGAGGGGUCAUCAAGUGGGUAGUGAAGCCAUGAGGCCAUCUCAUCCUCCUGCAUAAACAGAUGAUGUGGAGUAGUUUCCUCUACAUGUCGGAUCUCUCUACCGACAGCUUGGUCAGAGGGAAUAACCGCAUCACCACCGCCUCCACUGCCGUUACCGAUGUGAGAUUUCUUAAGAGAUCUUUGAUUCUGACUCUGCAUAACCACUUGACCAUUUUGCCACAGUAGUUCCAUGAUUUCCUCCUCCGCCCUAUGAAACCAACAAACAAAAAUCUCUUCCACUUCAAAAUCACAAAUCAGAAAACUAAACCUUUCAUUCAAAUGAUUAAAAAAAAAAACAUAAAGUUUACAUUGCGGACUUCUUAGUUCUGGUAAGACCAGAAGAAGCAGGAAGAGAGUAGUCAUCAUCCAUAUCAAAAUCAGGAACAGAAUGAUUCAUCGUGACGUAGGCAGCUCAAAUCUCCCAAAUAAAAAAAUCAAAAUUGGUCAGGCACCGCCGCAACAAGCAGUCCCAAACUCACCAUAACACUGGAGCAGCUUAUUAACACCGCCCAUAAAUCUACGAAAUCAAAAGCUCACACAAAAGGCGGCUGCUUAAUGUUAAAAACGUCUUUAACAACCUCCAGAGUUAGCUGAAAGUACCUUUUUGAAACCCUUUUACUGUUGUGUGUAGUUUGAAAAUGGAGAGACGAGUGACGAUUGAUUGAGUAGCAGAGAGCAAGAAGGUGGGCGAUUUUGGGUAUGAAUACUUUCCUCUUUCUAUUCUUUCCUUCUUUCCUUUCUUGGUUUUUGCCUUUAUUGUUAAUGUCCUUUUGCAAGAGAGAUAAGGUCCGUUCUCUCCUCCCCUCUCUCUCUUUCCUCACCGUGCCUUUAAUCUUCGAAUAAAAAUUAAAGAAAAAGACGAAAUUGAUUUUUGACACUAUUGCAUCGGACAGUUAUUUCACUGUCAUUAUAAACACAUUUCCCCACCUGUUUCAAUCAAGCAGCUUAUCAUCAAUUACUACUAAACUACUACUAUUUCCUACUCAUCUCUCCCAACUUGAGUCUUUUACAUUUUUGCCCUAACAAAAUUUAAAAAUUUGUUAACGAAUAUUUUUUUCCGCCACCAACAUGAUUUGUGAUGUAGUAGCGAGACUACUUCAUUGUUAAUCAAUGAUCUAGAGUUUGAGUUUUGGAUAUGAAUUGUUUUUUAUUAAGAGUGUCAUCUCCUAAUAUAUCAUGCAGCGGGUCAGAUUUAAUUGGUGCUUCAAUACGGAUAUUGAAUGAGGACCAAUUAUUUUCCCCUAUCCAUAAUUAGCGAGGGUACAAAAGGUUUAAUAAAGCAGUAGUUUUUGAACUCGUCACUCCGAGUCUAAAUAAUAAAUUCUUGGUCAAUUAUUCGUUUAUACACAUAUACAUAAUUGUUUGAUUUGAGAAAAUGUGUAACACAUACAUAAUUAUAUUUGGGAAAAUGUGACACAGAACAUAAUAAUUUUGAAAAAUGUGAAUAGAACAUGGAAAGUUCUCAUUUUAUUAACUUUGUUGCGCGACUUCAAAUUAGGUCGUGAUGAUAAGGUGUUGAUACAAAAUUUCAUGUGCCGAUUGGUAUUAAAAUCAAACAAAAAAAAAUUAUUGAUUUGGAAAACAAUUUUUGAUGUGUUUGAGAGCCGACUUAAAUUGUAAAAUUUAAUAAUUCUUCUAAAGUGAUUAUCUAAGCAUAUUAGAACUGCUUAAUGACAUUAUUUGUUGCUUUGUCUGGUGGGGCCCUGCACAAAUUACCUUAUGUAUAUAUCUACAAAAACUAUUGGUUAAUAAGAGAAAGAUAGAGCCGAUAGAGACAUAUAGUAAUAUAUGAAUUCAUAUUUGGAUAACUUUGGAUUUCCAAUUAACACGUAGUAUUAUUUAUAAUAUAUGUACAAAUACUUUAAUGAUUCGAACAGAAGUCCAUCUAUCACCAAAAAGAAUAUGAUUAUCUAUGUUGUACAGUUGCAGUUUUAUGUAAUGAAUGUUAAAUAAAAUAAUUUGCUAAGUACAUGUUUAAGAUACACUUAUCAUUGUUUAUAUUACUUAAAUAAUAACACUUUAAUUAGUCGACAAAAGCUAAAAAGUAGUGAUUGUUCUGUAUAAUAUAUCAUUAUCCAUUGUGGAUCCUCUGCAUAUUAAAAGCUGAUUCGGGCGUGAGCGCUGAGCAGUCCACAAUUAUUUAUUUAACAAAAAAACGUAUAAAAAUCUUUUAUUACAUGAAAUUAAAAAAAAAUGUCUAGUUAAUAGUUUGGUCUAAUAAUAUUUAUAUUGCUAAUAAUUUGGUUCAAAGAUGCCUAUCUGUUGCUCAAAUGAGUCAAAAAUGUCAUUUUUUAAAGUAAUUUGUUUGCAUAGUUUAACUACCAAAUACCAAUCACUAAUUUUAUUCUAUUAUUUAACUUUUUCUUCAAAGCUUUCAUCAUUUUAUUCUCUUGAUAACUCAGACUUACAAUCUUAAGAUUAAAAAAAGAAAGUACUUAACUACUCAUCAUUCAAGUAACCUUAUUUUGUCAAACUAUGAUCCUAAUUAAGUUGAGUCCUUUCGUUAUCUUAAAAUAUAAAGUACUACCACUUCUUUUUUUUGUUAGUAAUAUUUUUUAUUGUCAUAGAUAAGAAUAAAAAUUGAUAUUUUUUUUUGAAUUCUUAACCUAGGUGGUCCUAAGAAUGUAAGGUACCCCUUGGUGGUGUUAAAGCAUAAUUCUUACUACAUGUCCAAGUAUAUCGAAUAUUAGAUGCACUGGAGAUAUUGAGAACGAUAGUGCUCUAAGAACAGAAUAUAUAUGUCUUUAAGUUGAAUCUGACAUGUCAAAAUGAUUAAUCUACUUGUGGCAUAACGCAAGAAAUGACCAUUUUUUUCUAAGAGGAAUGAUAUAGUAUAAUUAAAUUACACAUUAGGGAUAAUAAGAAACACAUUAUAGUAAGGCCUCGUUUUAAAAGGAUUUGAAGUUGAAGUUUUGUCUGAACAUGUAAUUGGAAUAUUUUGUCAGACUAUGAGUUGCAACCUGCUAUUCCAAAUUGUCAAAGAAUGUUAUAAUGAAGAAAUUGUAAGUCAAUAUAUAGCUAACUUUACAGUGUUUUUGCAACCAGAUAUUCUUUGCUCACUUGUUUUCUCACUUUCUAAGUGAUAAAGGUGAUGGCUCAGUUCCUGGGGUUGAUGUACACUUACUUGAGCAUAUCCAUAACCAAAAACAUUGGAUUAGAUUUUCAUCUGUAUUUAUAGACACUAUUAUUGCUCUGUACUAUUAGCAUAGAAUAAGAAAUGUGGAUAUGUGGGACAAGGUGGGAGUGGCUUUUUGUGGAGGAUAUGAUGUGAAAAGCGAGGGUGAGAUGAUUCGGACAUGUGAAGAUGAGAUACACAUAUGCCUCAGAGUAGAGGUGUGAGAGAUUGUUUAUGGAUGGUUUCAGAAUAAGUAGAGGUAGACUGAAGAAGUAGUGGAUCAUUGGACAGGGCAUGAAAUAGUUUCGGUUUAGCAAGGACAUGACUUUAGAUAGGAGGGUAUGAAAGACACAAAUUAGGUCAGAAAGUUAGUAUGUAGCCGUGUUUCAUCUUAUUGUCCCUUCAUAUUAGUAGUCGUAGUAUUGCUCUUAUAGUUUCAUUCCUUCAAAAAAAAUUACUAUAUGUUGUUCUUUAUAUCUCGAUUAUCAUUUUGUUGCAAUAUCUAUUGUGUUGCUAUCUAUUGUUUUUAUUAUUAUUUGAUGUUUCUUGUAUUUUCAUUACCUUUUUUUUGAGAUUAUUCUGGACUUUUUUUCUUAUGCCGGGGGUCUAUCAGAAACAAGAUAUCUACCUCUGAGGUACGAAUAAGGCCUAUAUAUACUCUACUGGCCUUUCCAAACUCCAUUUCGUGGAACUUACCCCUGAUAUGUUGUUGUACUAUCAGCAUAGAAUAAACUCAUUAGUGUGAAUCACUCAAUAGUAAAAGAUUUAUGGAAUCGGAAAGAGCAACUUUUUUAUAAUACCAACUUACACAUCUUUGUUUACAUUUGAAAUAGACGGUUGGUAGAUAUUGUAGGUAGUUAUAAAUAUAUUUUUCAACUUAUGAAUUUUUUGUUUACAAAAUAUAAAUUUAUUGGUCAAGUUUUACUUUAGUUUACAAAAUUUGUUGAAAUCAUGCUCUCAAAUCCUAUUACCAAAUGCUUACUAAAUCAAAUAAGGAGUAAACUACGAAGUUGCUCUCAUUUCAGAAAUUAUUCUAUAUAAAUAUAUAUCUUAAUAGGGUGAUAAUAUGUAGAUGAUGUGAACAUGUCGUGGAUGGUGCUCCAUGGUAAGUCUAGCCCCUUUUAUUCAAAAAAAAAAAUGAUUAAAAAUGUUUGAAUUGAAUACACAUUUGAAUAUAAAAACGUUACAGAUAUAUACAAUCCCAAUAAAUAGUUUGCACUUUGCUUAGCUCUUAAAAUAUAUGCACACCACAAUUCAAACUCAUAGUAAACAUUAACAAAUUUUUUCAUGACAUAGCGAUUUACACAAAUUGAGGAAUUCUUGAAGAUGAAAUCUUUCCUAAAUAAAUACGUCAACAUGAUUGAGCCAAACCCCUUUGCAAUUUCUUUGUAAAACAAAAUAGAGAAAAAUAUUCACCACAAAAAAAAAAUCUAGGGUUCUUCAUUUUAAAAAUAGAAAAGAGCAAAACUAAUUUCAAAAUUUAAGGAUUCAACUUUCAAUUUUAUUGGUUUAAAAUAGUUGUUCUGGUAGUUGUAAACAAGAAGAAAUUCAAAACUUAGAAAUAUUAGUACAUUAUAUACGUCAUAUACAUUAUUAUACAUAGUGAUACACAUAAUAUACAUAGUAUAUACAUUAUUAUACACAAUGUUAUAGGUUGUAUAUAUAUAUUUGUUAUACAUAACACAACUAUAAUAAAAGCAUUGUCCAACCACCCUGAAAAUGUAAUGUCGGUUGGUUUGGUCUCGGGUUGACUUUUUUUAUUUAAGACCAAACCAAUAUAAGUAUAGUUGGGAUUUUUUUUUCCAUUACCAAACUAAGUAAACCAAACCAUAAGUCGGAUUUUUUUUCUGAUUUUACUCAAUUUUAUAAUUUAGUUCAAUUUUCAAUUCGAUUUUGUACAUCCCUUAUCAUAAUGCAGAAGUUAGGAUUAUAAUGGUCAAUAUGACUGCAUCUAUUAAUUAAUUAAUUAAUACCUGGACUCACCCAUUAAUGACUUUAAAAGCUAAAACGUUUAUUGCCUAUAUUGAGAUAGGAUCUUGGGUAUCAGAACAUGUAAUUAGUCUUGCUAGACUACUGAGCCAUGCUUCUUCAUUAUGUUUAGUGGGCUCAUUUUGUUUACCUCUAACAUUUUAUAAUGAAUUUAUUCAUGUAAAAAACCAAAAAAAAUUGACGAAGCGGAUUCAGUUGAACCCUCUUAAACCAAUAUAGAUAUAAAAAGUGAGUCAAGUAAAAAUACAUAAAUUAAAAUAUUCGAAUAACCCAUAUUUGAUAUGCGAAUCAAAGAUGGGGUAGACCAACAGAUAUUAUGAAUGAAUCAUAUUAUCAAUUGUUUUCUUAUUAUGUAAAAGAAAUAAGUACUCCUAGAUUACAAGCAUUUUUUUUCUUAUUGUUUUUCUUUUAAGGUGUGUUUGGUAUGAAGCAAAAUAUUUCUGUUCUUCCCUAGAGAACACAUUUCAAAUAAGUACUUCCUCCGUCCCAUUUUAUGUGGCAACAUUUUGAUCGGGCACGGAGUUUAAGAAAUAAAUGAAGACUUUGAAAUGUUUACCAAAUUGCCCUUUUAAAAAGUAGGCUCACUUUUUACUCUCUCCUCAUAAAUGUAUUGGAGUAUUAUUUUAAGAUUAAGUGGGACCAAUAAGGGUAAAAGAGGAAUUGUACCUUUAAAUACUUACCAUAUAAGGAAAUGUGACAUUUUUUUUGGGACUGACCAAAAAGGAAAUGGUGCCACAUAAAAUGGGACGGAAGGAGUAAUAUUUUUCUUAUACUACACCCUUAAUAAGAGUAUGUUUUUUAAAGGUUUUUAUAUGUUACAUACUUUUAAGGGGAGUGCAAUUGGUGGUUAUAUUCAUGAAUUAUUCAUGUUUUAUGAUGGGUAAUAUGAAUUGAUCUAUGUUUGACUAUUUUUGAAUGAUUGGAUACCUAAUUCAUUUAACAUGAGCUAAUUCAAGCGGAUAAUUAUUUCACUCCUAGUUAUGAGUCAUUUAGGUAUUAUUUCAUGCAGAAAAAAGUUAAAAUAACUAAUACGUAAACUAGUAAUACAUGAAUAACUCUAAUCAGUCACCAAACAACCCUUUUAUGUGUUGUGAAUGUAUUAGAACACUAAAUAAUUGAAAGACGAAAAGAUAUAUAAGCAGAAGUAUCUACAACUUGAAGUAAAACACGUAAAAUUUUGAGAGAAUCAUCAUUCUAAUGCGAUUAAUUAAAAGAGAAAAAUGAAGGGAAGUGCAUCAUAUUCUUUGUGCUAUGCCCACAUAUUUCAUAUUAUUUAAUUCACUAGGAGUAAAAUCUAUAUCUAUAUCUAUAUAUAUAUAUACUAGUUAUUAGGUUCCCGCGCCAGCGCGGGCCCAAUGUAUAUUACUUCCUCCGUCUCAUUUUAUGUGAGGUAGUUUGAUUCACCACGGAGUUUAAAAAAGAAAUGAAGACUUUUAAAAUUUGUGGUCCAAAAUGAAUGAUAUAAAUUUGUAUGACUGUAAAUUAUUUCAUUAAGGGUAAAAUAAAUAUUUUAUAAUCAAAUUGUUACUUAAUAUAGAAAUGUGACAUUCUUUUGGGACUGACUAAAAAGGAAAGUAAAUAACAUAAAUUGGGAGUAGUUCUUUGUUUCAAUUUAUGUGACACCGAUGAAAUUUGGAGAGUUAUAUAAUUUUUUGUAUGUGAUUUUGUUAANNNNNNNNNNNNNNNNNNNNNNNNNNNNNNNNNNNNNNNNNNNNNNNNNNNNNNNNNNNNNNNNNNNNNNNNNNNNNNNNNNNNNNNNNNNNNNNNNNNNNNNNNNNNNNAAGUAGUACUAAUUCAUCCCAAAUCUCUUUUAUCAUAUGAUAAAACAAUUCUCUUUUUCAUCUUGUUUUUUCCCCAAUAAAAAGAACAUAGAAAAUAGAAGUAAUUUCCUUACCACAGAAAAUACCAUCAUUAAAUUUCUUAAGCUUGUUAUCUCCUGUAUUCAGAUUAGCAAACCAGAAAUAAUAAAAGAUGAAAAGAAAAACACAAAGAACUAUCCGAGUCCACAGAACCCACUGUGUGUCCUUAAGAAAUUUAAUCCCCUCAAGUACCCGAGGUUGCAGAUUAAUUCCUCCCAAGAUAAAACGGAUUAACCAUUAAAGAAGUAGCGGUACCUCAAACUUCGAUAAUUUCAACGAACUCAAAAUGACAGCAACGAAUCACACACAGAGACACGAUCGAUCGAUUUUGUUUUGUAAGAAAUGUAUGCAAAAGAAGGGAAGAAUUCGAUGCAGAAAAAUGAGAGAACAUCUCUCUAUUUAUAGUCAACAAAGGGUAAAGGUCACAACCCUUUGAAAAGAAGACAACCUUUCAGAAAGGUCACAACACUUUGGAAAAGGCACAACCUUUCAAAUGGUCACAACCCUUUAGAAAGGAUACAACCUUUCAUAAAGGUCACAACCCUUCAGGAGAGUCACAACUCUUCAUUUCCUGUUCACACCUUUAAAACCCAACAUGCUUCAAAGAGGAUUUUCGAAAAUAGGCAUAUAUACCUCAAUUACUUGCUAAGAAAGAUCUAAAUGUAUAUAAUCGAUUGAUGAUAUCUCUCUAAGAAUUCCAAGAUUGAUGAUACCUCAAUUACUACUAUUACAAAUUCAUCUUUUGUGUUAUCUGUUGAUAAAGCAAACUGUACCCAAAUUAUCAUGUUAACAAAAAAAAACAAGAUAAAAAGAUGAUCAUAUACAUCGAUCAAACCAAUAAGAGUCGGUCUUUACAAUUUCUUGGACUGAUUCAAUAUUUUUUUUAAUUUUUUUUUUGAGUUUUAAGUAAAAUCUCCACAACACAAAAUAUAAACUAAUGCUUCGAAAUAUGUUCUUGGUCCUACUAAGAUGCACUAAUUAUAUGACGCUUUUGAAGAUGACAAAAGAAAAAAUGAAUAAUUCAUGACAUUAUAAUGCUGAAGUAUAGUGUCACCAACAAUAAAGAUUGAAAAAAAUCCAUAAAACAAGUAUAUAUAUAUAAAAGGAGAAACAUAGAGAGGGUGAUGUGGCACCUCUCUAUGAUCUCCAUUCCAAUUUUUCCUUUUUCUCUUUUUUUGGCCCUUUUUUAUAUUUAAAAUAUUUAAUUUAUUGUGAAAGUAUUAUUUAAUUUAUUAUAAAUAAAUAUUAUAUUAAUGAAGAAACAUUUAUAUAUAUCAAAGACUCUUCACAUGUCAAAUAUUUUUUUAUAUUAUACAAAAAAGAAAAAUGAAAAUUACUACUCCUCCAUUUAUUUUAUUCUUUAAUGUACAAAAUUGAAUGUCUAAAAAUUUACUACUCCACUCAAUUUCAUAAUUUGAAAAAUUAAAAGUCUCAUCAGUUUGUUUUUCCCUUGUGGGUAUUUUCUUAUUAUAUAAAAAAGAAAAUGACAAUAUAUAUAUAUAUAUAUAUAUAUAUAUAUAUAUAAAGCUAAAUGUAGACAAGGUGAUGUGGCACUUAUCUAUGGCCUUCAUUCCUAUUUAUCUUUUUUCUCCUUUUUUUGGGCAUUUGUUAGUUUUUAUCCUCAUUUUUAAUGUAGUUAAUAUUUACAUAAUUGUUGAAUAACUAAUGUUUUGUUGUAAAUAUGUUAUAUUAAUGUAGAUGUCCAUAAUUUCAAGAUGUAAUUGCACCAUUAUGUGAAUAAACUCACACCUCCACCACCUCCUCUUUUAUCUUCCACACCCCUUAAUCUUCCCCACAUUCUCAAAAAUUAAUGUCAUGUUUAUUAUUAUCUCUUUAUAUGUCUUUAUGUAACAAUAUAAAUAGAGGUCUUGAGGAUUAUGUUAUGCACUUGAAGAUUUGAGAAACACUUGAAUAUACUCAGAAGAAUAAGAAAACUCUUCUAUCUUAUUUCUUUACAUUUUUUGUCUACUUUCUUACUUAUAUUAUUACUUCUUUAGAUUAAUUUGAAAUUUGUUUUGAUUCUUGAAUAGCCACAUCUAAUUGCAUUUACCUUCUAGACUAGAAAAAGAUGUAUUAAUACUUUGUAAUUGUUCAAUGUAAUUAUAUACGAUGAAAAUUCAUUGUCUCUCAAUAGAUAUGCGAUUUGUUACAAACGAAUUCAAAGAGACAAAAAUCUACAUGAAGACUUCUGCUAUUAAAUAUUAUUUUGGUUAUGAAGUUACAUUUUCAAGGUAAUAAUUUGCCCACUUCUUUCUUUUUUGGUUGUUUUAAAGUAGUAUAAAUAUGCAAUAGUGUGAAAAAUAUUUCGGAGUUUCGAAAAUAUAAUACUUUUCAAGUACUUUAUUUUUUAUUUCCUAUUUCAGUUUGUCUUUGAUUCAUUUAGUUGAAGAAAAAAUUGACAAUGGUUUAAAUUAUCUUUAUGUCCAAUGCGAUGGACAGGAAAAGUAAACCUACACUAAGUCACUAAAGUAUAAAAAACAUUUUAUUCUUUGCCUUUUUUUCUUUUAUUCAAUAUAAAUGCAUAAUUAUUUUAUACUUUUAAUUUAAAAUUUUGAUAUGUAUUUAUACUUUCGAAUGCAAUAACUUUGAGUAGGUGAUUAUUUCCUAUGUUGAAUUGAGACUUUGACGUGUGAGUUUUCAUCAUGCAAUAACUUUUGUAUGCUCUUCCUUUGCCUUUAUUUUUUUUCUUAAAUAAUUUCUUUGUAAUUUUCCAUGAUCUAUAAUUAUUUUUCAUCAAUUCUUUUGACUUUAUAAAUUUUCAUCAAAUGAUAUGAGUGAUAUAAAUUUAUAUUAUAUUAAUCUCAUAAUGUCUUUUUCUAUAAAAAAAAAUCUUGAUUUCUUUCCAUGUGUUUUUUAUAAUACUUAAAAACAUUAUUUUUUCAAUAAAAAAACUUAAUUUUUUCAUUCGAUUUUCAAAAAGAGGAAGAAAAAAACCUAACAAUUCAAAAAAAUAAAUAAUCAAAAAAUGAAUAAUUUCAAGAAGAAAAAAUAAUUGUCAAGACAAAAAUAAUGACAGCUCUACCACCAUCCAAAUCAUCAUGGUCUUAAAGCUUGCCUUGUAUUAGAAAGGUUAUGCCAACACAUUUUUAAUUAAUUAAUAAGGCAUUAGAAAGGCUAUGCCAACACAUUCUUAAUUAAUUAAUAAGGCNNNNNNNNNNNNNNNNNNNNNNNNNNNNNNNNNNNNNNNNNNNNNNNNNNNNNNNNNNNNNCAUACGCAUUGACAAUUUUUAGAUAUUUUUAAGUUAACACAUAAUUUUAUAUAGAUAGGAAUAGACAAGAUAAUAUAAUACCUCUUUAUGAAAUAAAAUAUUAUUUGCACCCUUUUUUCAUUUAACACUUUAAUUGUGAAAUAAAUUGGACACAUGAUAAAAAAAAAUUGAAGAUUGACAACAUGAUUUAAUAUUCAUUCAAAAAUAUUGGUACUUAAUAUUUAUAAUAGAAUGUUCAAUGUAAAUUUACGAGGAAUACGAAAAAAUGGAUGAGGUGAAAAGAUUGUAACUCAUAUGAACUUGCAAUGUUAAUUGAAAUUCAAUAAAUAUGUUAACAUAAAUUUAUGUUAAGAAAAUGUAAUAAAUGGUCUUUUGAAGUGGCUUUUGAAUUUUUAUAGUCUCUUUUUUCUCAUGUUUGUUUUGAUUUCUUUCAAUUCAAUUUAUUUUAUUAAUACGUCAUACAAUUCCUGUACUAAUUUGGAUUAUUAGCUUAUAUACCAAGUUGAUGAAGUAUAAUAUUUUUUUCAUUGUCUUUUCUAAAAAUUCUCAAAUAGAUUGAACAUAUUAUUUUCGUUAUAGUAUUACUUUGUGUGUUAUGAAUUUUAAGAAUUUUAAAAAUUUUAAAAACUUUAUAACUUAAUCAAAGAAUUUGAACAUCGCUAUAUUUACACCUACACUCAAAUGAAUAGCAACAUUUCAUGAAACAUCUUCAAUUCAUGAAUUCAAAAUAUUAGAGUGCUGAGUAUGAGUAGAAAACUGAUGAAAUUUUUUUUAGUUUAUAUUCUUUUUUGAGUGAUAUAAUAAAGUAUGUUUUUUUGAGUAAAUUUUUUAUAUCAUGUUUCAUUUAAUUAUUUCUUGAGUAGCAAAGACUAAAUAUAUAUAAAUAACAUGGGUGGACAAAUAUAUAAUCAAAGGUCUGUCAAAAAGUUAUUUUUAUACAUAAUUUUUUUUAAUAUUUGCUUAAAACAAAAUAUAAAUAAAGUUCAAUUCGAAUUUUCAUGGUCAAAUUAAUAUUCAAAUAAAGUAAAAAAAUUCAAAUUCUUAUGACCAAACAUGUGGUGUAAUUAUUUUUAUUUCGCGCAAAGCGUGAAUAAGUUCCCAAAAAUAAAAUGAAAGUGAUCAAGUAGUAAUAUUUUAUACUUAUAUAAUACAAACAUCCAAGAGAGAGAAAUUAUUGUAAUGUGUGCGGAAGUUAAGAAUCCUGCGUGCAAUGUUGGCUCCUUUAACCAACAGAUGAGAUUCCAUGAGAGCUUGGACCCACCCUGUCAAGCUUUUCCCUCUACUCUCACUCAAAUCAAUAUUCAUUCUUUACUCAUCUAGUUUUUUCAAACUUCAUCCUUCAAAAUUCUUAGCACUAAACUCGUAUUUCUAGGAAUUAUAUUAUUAUAGAAAGAUAUAGUACUAAUAGUUACAAAUCCAGAAUGAAUGGUUAGGAUCUGAAAUUCACCAAUGUCCAUAUUGUAGCCCUAUGAUUGAAAAAUAGUCAUUAUUAUAACAACUACUUUUCAGAGCAGGGCUGGAAGUGGCCAGUGGAGUUAUUUCUGAGUGAAAAGGCAUCUUACCAUAAGCCAAUUCUAAUUUCUGUCAUUUCUUUAGACCUCCCUCUGAAAUUUUUAUUCCUACCAAAGAUAAGGUAAUCAAAGCCCAAGUUGGAAUUAGUUAUUAUAAUCUUACAUAUUGUGGCAGGGAAAGUUCAUUACUGCUAACAUGUGACACACACAUCUUUACUGUGCAGACCAACUCUGCCUAAUCAAAAAGAUAAAGGAUAGUGCUAUCCCAAUUGAAAUCUGCAGACCUGCAGAGACAAGUUGGAUUUUGCUGAAUCACAGAUAACGCAUCUGUUCCUUCAUAUGAAGGAACAAAAUACCAAACCCCAACUGUAAGCCUGGCUCAGGUGUAUUUUCACUUCUUUCAACCAUCACAUAUGUACUUGUACAACAGUCAACAGAAAAUUAGAGAAUAUUAAAAUGCCUCACUUUCAUGUAACGGAAUGAAUAUAUCUGAAUUAGAUCGAAUAAUGAGAAGCAUAAAUCUAGUUCCAUACGACCAAAAUGCUACCAAAAGAAUCAUCGUUCAAUCCUUCUCCCUGUACUUUCUGUUACCAGUGGGAAUAUCGUACACAUUUAGGUGGAGCAAGUGGAUAAUCAGUUCAUUUACAUGUCUCUAGAAUUCAAGAAUAGAACAUGAAAGUGACGAGGAAUGCAAAAAAAUUGAUUGCUUUACUUCUCGAAAAGCAUAAACCGCCAGACCACCUUAACAACUGGAGAUGUAAUUCAUAAGAACCAAUUAAGGCUAAUCUUCCCAAGCCAAAAGAGAAGAGGAAAUUGAGCUAGGGCAAUAAACAAUAGGAGAUAAUGAUGGCUACUUGAAUCGUACGUCCUCACCUCUGCAAAGAGAACUCUCUUCAUCGUCUUCACCAAGAAUAUUCCCAUGCACAAACAUGUCCACGGCAUCAAAAAGUAGUAAGAAUAGUUCGAUAUAAUUGUUCCCAAAAGAGCUAUGGACAAUCCUGCAAAAGCAUAUCCUGCGUAUGAAACAAUGUCAAGGAGAGGAGCCUCUCCGCUACCCAAUGACAACAACGUCAUCUUCAGCAACGAAACUUGUAAAAACCAGCCAACCAAUCCCUUGAUAAACAGCCAACUGAGAGCUUCUGGGCUAAACCUGACAAGAUAUGACAAGAUUAAGAAUUAACACAAGCAAAAGGAAGAGGAUAUAGUGCAGGGAGGUAUUCCACACUACAAAAGAUAUUGCAAGAAAGUAAACUGUCACAAUUUGCAGUACACUGGGAACAUCAAAAAAGAGGCAUACACAUGGGUAGAAUAAGACUAAACAGACCAUAGCCAGAAAUCAAGGAAACAUCACCAAUUAUAUCUGACAUGACAUACCCGAAAACUACUCCUUUGUCCAUAACUAACUAUCCUAUUUUCUGUUGAGUUCUGCAAGAUUUGUUUACUUUCCUAAAUAAUAUUCUUUUAUAUACUCUUUGGCAGGAGUAUCUUCUUAUAAUUCAGUAUUUAGAAGAUAUCACAUGCCCUUUCUGUAAUGUUAAUUUUAAUCCAACCUUUUGGACCCACUUCUAUCUAAUAUACCAAAAUUUCAAUUGUUACCCAAGUCAUACUGUCCAACCAAAGAAGGAACCUAGAUCAGGAUUGAAGAGAUGACCUAAAGGAGAUUAGCACAAAACGAAAUCAUUUGGUGUAGCAGAUAGCUUCACGCAAAUAACUGAAUUAAGUACUGUUGCUGAAAACAUUUUAAAAUUCCAUACACUGCAUGUUCAAGUAUAAAUCUCAUGGCAUUUGGCACUUCAACAAAUAUGAGGUGAGCAACCAUUACCAAAUUCAACACAGAUAUUUGAUGGGUAAAAGAUCAUGUACUUAUUAUUACUAUUACUAACCACCACAUUCAAAGCCUAAAUGAAGCUCAAGGAAACAAUAAGCUUACCUCCCCUGCAGACCCAAUGAUAAGCCAGCAAGAACAACAUAAGUACCAAAGGCCAUAAACGGAAUGUAUAAAUCUGGAGCAUUUAUGUCAUAGAUAGGGGGCUUAUACGAUAGCCUGCCACCAACAGGCUCUGUGAUUCUUGUCCAAUGACCCUGCAGACAGUUGAGAAGAUUACUACUAGGGGAACAUAAUGCUAAGAGAUACUCCAAUGAGAUCAAGGCUAACAAAAUCUUACUCUGUGUAGGAAAGGGAAAAGGAUAACUUUCAGUUUGUUUCUCACGUACUGGUCAUUCACUUGGAAGUAGUACUGGGGAUCAGAAAAAUAUCUACUUACCUGUUUACAUAAAAAAGUUGCAAGUUAGACUUCAUUUCUACGAGCAAAGCUACACAAUCAGUGUCAUCCAAAAAAAAAAUAUAAUGGAUGGAAUGGUAGGUGUUUUUAUCUAAAAGAAGGUAAGUAUUAUGGAAUGGUAGAUGUUUUGGGCACUAAAAAUGUUGAAAUAAGGCAGUUAAUGGUACUAUCGUCGAAAAUAUCUUUAUUGUGUUGCACAACCUCAUUGUUCCAAAACAUCAAUACAGUCAAUGUGAUUCCAUGAAAUACAUAAAUAAUUUUUUCUUUAUUUGCAACAACGAUGAAGCAAAAUAGGAGGGAUAGCAGCGAUUUAAGUGCAAGGAACGGAAGCAAGUGAAUGCUCCACUAAGAAUGUAAUUACCAUUUAGAAUUAUUUAGGCGAGAGAAGUAUUUGCUGAACUCCUGACUAUUUCAGAAAUUAGCUUUUAAGCACUUCAAAGGCGAAAAGGCAUUUUUGCAGCUCAUGAUAAUACAGAAAAAUUACACUUGAGCCGAGGGUCUUUCGGAAAAAGCCUUUCUACCUCCACAAGGUAGUAGUAAGGUCUACAUACUUUCUACCCUCCCCAGACCUCACUCCACACUGGGUAUCAGGGUAUGUUGUUGUUGUUGUUGUUGUUGCUGUUGAUAAUACAGAAAAAAUCCUGAUGCACAUGAGACUUCUGUUUGCUAAAACACUUUGAAGUACAAGAGAGGAAAAACUAUAUUUUAGAAAAGAAAGUUCUAAAAUGUUGUUGCAUUAUCAAACCCUAAAAAGGAUGGCAAUUUACUUAAUUUCCACUGAUGGUUUGCUCAUUCUUUCUUUUAUUUAGUUUGCUAGUUUCUGCAUGAUGCUUCAGCCACAAAAGCAACUCUAAUUCAAUCACUCUUUGUGACAAAUACAUAUAUCAUUUAUGAAGAAAGCAUCUAUAUCACUUGCUGUGUGAGGGCAAAUCUUUUUCCCUGCCUUAGCAGUGUAUUUUAAUUAAUCCAACUGUUAGCAAGACAAAAUACCCUGUCCAAUCUCUUCCCCUUUUUGGGUCCCAAUUCCACUUCCCUCAGCAUUUUACCACCCUGUUCCCCUUCUCUAAUCACCUUCUCCUUCAUUGAUCAACCAUCAGGGUAAUUUCCUGGGUCAAUAUACAUGUCAUUUGCUAAAUAAACUAUAAUCACAGACUUCUGUAGUAAUGUUACUUUCUUUUAUAAUGGUGGUACCCAAGUCAUUUGCGUGCCUCCUUGACUAAUCCACAGGUACCUAAUUCAAAUCGGGUAACUCCACCCAGCAAGGCUUAGACAGAUUGGGAAAAAAAUGAAUAAGUAAACAGAUUGCAGAUUGGAAAAUCUUCACCAAGUGUCGCCUCUAUUAGGACUUGAAUCUUCAUUCCUCAUUUUUCCCCAACUCUUAGAGUGCUACAUCACGCCCUUAGGGAUCACAAAUAAUUAUGUCACAUAGAAGCGUCCACAAUUUCAAUAAUCGCCCUUGUUAACAAUCAUUCCAUCCAAUCUGGUACGCACACUUUACAUCAAGACAUUAUGAGUAUUCAAACAUCAACGGGGAGGCAAAUAUCUAUUUGUAAGAGUAGAAUCAGAAGAUGGUGCAAUAAUUUUCCAGUUUUAUUAUUAUUGGUUCCAUCUCCUUUAACCACCUAUUCCUCUUCUUCUAAGCAGAGGUCAUAUAGUUUUUUUGCUCUCAGGUAGAUGCCAAGUUGAGUGAUACUGACUCAUCAAUUGCAGUUAUUAAGGAGUGGAAUUUUCUUCACCUUGUUUCCAAAUUUCAAUCACUAUAUGAUGAUGGAUGGAAGAACCCCUUACAUCUGAAAUUCAGCUCAAAGUUCAAAUCACACUUACAUUACUGUAUUAGUAACAAUGCCUAUUGAAUGAUGUCAUUAAAGUAAAGACAAAGUGUGCUACUUGCCCUUGGGGAUUUCUCGGUUAUAAAAGAAAAAUCGAAGUACAACAAAACAAAUUGAAAUCUUACAAGAAAACUAUUAUUAUGGUGGAAUGACUCUAGAUAAAAAGAAGUAAAUAAAGAAAGAAAAAGAAAGCAUUAUUCCUUUGCCUAUUGAGAAACAACAUUCCUUUGCCUACUGUUAUGUCAUUAUAUAUUCCUAACAUAUGUUCCACCACCUAAUGAUUAAUGAACAACUAUUAACAUAAGAAUCAUUAUUUUCAAGAAACCUAUACAAAUAAAAUAAACUAUGGAAAACUUACAUUGCUUUGAACAUAAUGAGAACUUGAUCCAAGAAUUUUUUCUCCAUAAGCCCCUAAUCCACCUCUAAUGAACCCAGAGCUAGCACCAGAGAAUGCAUUUCCAAAAGGGUUCGCUUGUGUAUUAGCAGGUGGUCCUCCGGGCUGUGCUCCAAGGUUAUCAUACAUUUCUGCAAUAUGUGUGGUUUUUUCAACACAAGUGUGAGUAACUCAACAUAUGCAAAAUCCUUUGUUUCAUUAAUGGAUUGGAAGCCAUGAGCAGUAGCAGCUCUCUGUUUCCGAUUUCAGACAUUGAUAGGAUAGUGUUUAGAGAAAAUUUUGCAGCUACAAGAAGUAAAGAAGUCGAAAUUUCAAGCAGCAAGUGUAAAGAAGGUGAAGGUACAGCUGAAGUAGUUACUAAUCACUGCUUCAAGUCUUCACCAUACCUUCUAAACACCCCCAACUAAGGGUAAAGCUCAAGAGUAAUAGCUGGAUAGAAAAGGAAGUGAUGAAAGAAGGAAGCUUUGAACCCGUACCCCAUCUUUGCAUGCAGGUAACAGCAUCAAUUACACACAAACUUACGCCUAGGAUAUGACAGCUUGAAAUGUGAUAUUGACGCUUUACACAUCAAAUAGUGGAAUACAAGAAGGGCUGAUGGAAACAUAGAACCAAAGGAAUUACCUAAAGCCAUGCUUGGCGGGCAAGUUUGACCAGUUUAUAGGAGUUGGUGAAAGAUUAAGCCACGUCAAGAGUAAGGAUGUCUAUUGGGAGAGGCCUUGUUUGAACUGCUGUCAGAUGAUGAAGCACAUGGGAUUGGAAUGGGGGACGGAGCUGUUCCAUCUCGACUGAUGAUCUAUUUGAGAUUGGAGAAGGGAGUAAGAAGCAAAUUCCACAACACAGAAUCCAAAAUUCAAAGCAACUACGAGAAGAUUGCAGGGAUGGCUAGAGAGGAACUGUCAAUCUGCCACCAUGAAAAGAGACUCUGGGAAUGUGCAAUCAUUCAUGUCUAAUAUUUGCCUCCUGAGCAUAUUUCUGAUCGAGGGGAUGAUGAAGACAAAACCCAGUCCAGCUACUGGGAAGUAUCAAAGGUACAUGGUUUCCAUGAUGGUGUCAGAAUAGGAAGGGGAAAGACUGUUUGCUGGGUCUGAGAAAGCAGAGCUUUUGGAAGAUUCUCUAAAUAAAAUUGACAGUUUCGAGAAAGAGAAAUGACAACUGGCACAGAUUAAAAGGAAUAGAGAAGCACCCAAAAGAAAAAUGCUAAAAUCACAGGUAUCAACUUUCAUGAGAGUAGUAUAGGUUGGAACUUAAAAUAUUUAGAGUGCUCAGUCAUCUAUGAUGAGAGGAAGUGGAGAAAAGCUAUGGAGGUGUGAACAAGACGAGGGUAAGGAGAUGAUGCUUCCAUAACCCCGUGAAAAUUAAAAUGCUAUCAUGAAAUGUAACAAGUUUUAAAUAAUUACAACAAGAGAUGUGAAAAAGGCACGUUGAAAAGUUGAUGUCCUGAUGUGUUCUACAUUCAAGAGACAAAAGGGAACUGAUUACGGAGCCUAUAAUCCGAACUACGGAAUCAAUUAGGGGUGGGGGUAGAGGGGUUGCAUAUGUCUUCGGAGAGCAGCCUAGCAUACUUGGUGAUUCGGAAUAGCUGGAUUUUUUUCUUUAUUAGAGGCUAUAAUGAUGCCACAGUAAAUAUCAUAAACUUGCCAUGCACUAAUGAGGAUUUUUAAUGAGUCUAUUAAAGAAUGAAUAGAGAUUUCAGGUGUAACACUACAUGUAAAAUAAAGUGUAAUGCUAAAGAGUUUAAUGAACUUUUAUGUAUAGUGAUGGCAGGUGUCAUCACGAAGACACAAAUUAAGGUCAUCUAUCAUAUAGUUGUUAAGACAAUUGAGAUGCUAACCUUACUGAAAUAGUACUGUACAAAUUUAAAUGGGUGUGCCCGGUUGGCAAAAGGCAAAGCUUCACGUAAUUGUGCACUAGGGUUUUUCAAAUAUCUGCAAGCAAUAAGCACUUCUUAAAAUAAAGAUCUUCAAACACUAACCAAUUAAUAAAGGUUGCUUCUUUUCUUUAGACCAGGUAAAGUAAAAUAAAGUUUUAUUUUCACACGAGGGAAGCUAAAACAAUUGCCAUGCAAUUUCCACUUCAACCAGAUGAACCAAAUUUUAAAAUUCCCACAACAUACUGCAAUACAUAUAACAGCUGAAAGUCAGACUCUGUACAAAUUACAACACAUAAAUAACGAAGGAUGGUUUUGUGCUGUAUUAAGAAAUCGAUUUUAGUUUGUUGACUUUUAGAAUUCUCAGUUUUCUUUACUUCUUUCAAUAGGAGUUUCACACUUCCUUCCAAUUUCAGAAGAAUCUGUUUCAUGAAGAAAGUAGGCGUGUCCAAACACACUAUUUCUAAAUUCUCAGCAGGCCAUAUUACCUAAGUAAAUCAACAGUGUCUAAUAAUACAGACAAGGAACAAAUUUUAUCUUCCCAAGUGUAAAUUGCCAAGAAGAGCAAACCCUAUUUGCUAAACAUGGGAUAGAUUCCAUUCAUUGAGGAGACUUCAAAUUUUUGCAUUGCCAUCACCACAAAAUGUAAACAACAAGUGUCAUUUUCCAAGCUUCCUCUAUCUCUUUCUAGCAGUACUGAGAUGAAGAACUGCUAAAGUUAGUUACUUGAUCAAAUCCUAAAAACUUCAAAUCCCCCCUCCCCCCUACUUGAUCAAAUAUCAAAUCCUAAAAACAUCAAAAUCCCCCCUACUGAAAAGAACGAAAAAGUUGUUAGGAGACUUGGUGCUCAAAUAAGUAGCCACUACAUGGAUAACUGCAAUCCAAACAUAUAAUGAGAAAAGACAGGUGAUUAAUUUAGGUUCAAGAACUCUGUAGAACUAGACAACAACUGUGUGAGAUCACUUCCCACAAAGGUUAAUCGAUUUACUAUAGCUGGGGAGAAAACAUCCAUUGUUCCACGCCACCGAUUCAAAUUAAAUUACACCAGCAAAAUAUCUCAUAUCUUGUUACACAAAAGGGUGCAGGUUUUACAAGUUUCAAGAGCAGAAAGGGAACCCAUAAAAUCAAUAUUUUCAAAUUGCAUGUCAUUUCUGUCUUGUUUAUGUCUGGAAAAUGCCAUGGAUCCAUAACACCAGUACUCAAAUCUCUACAAUAAAUCAUUCCCCAACUCGAACUUACUAGUAUAGAGAGAAAAUAGAAAUCAAUUAAAAGAGAAAAAUCACAAUGCUAAACUUUUACGAGACAGGAUCAUAUAUAUAAUUCAUGCGUUAGUUACAAUAAUUAAUCCAAGAAUUUCUCAGUUAGGAAGAGAAAAUUUUACCUUUUCUGGAGAAAUAAUUGAAAUGUAGCAGUAAUGAAUAUCUCAAACAGCAAGUUUAAAACUUAACAAAUAAGGCAGAUCCAAACUUAGAAGCAAAGAUCAAAUGGGUGGGCAACCACCUUUUAUGACCCGACCCAUAUUCUAUAGCUUUUCACUAAAAUUAUUUCGGGAUGACCAAUAAGUUAAAUAACAGAGAAAUUUUUAAAAAAAAUACUUAUAACUUUUCAUAAAGGUGUUAAUUAUUCAAUGCAAUAAGGGGUCGUUUGGUAGGGAGUAUUACUAUGAGAAAUAGUUCAUGUAUUAUGUAUGGUAUUAUAUAGUACUGUGUUUGAUCAGAAUUUGAAUCUAUGUAUAACUAAUUCAUGGAUUAGUUAUAUACCUAACAUGGUAUUAGAAGAUGCAUUACUAAUAGGAUUUAAUAUCAUGGAUAAGUCUAUGUAAAGACAAAAAUAUCCCUCAAAUCAUUUUAAUCAUUUGUUUUUUUCUUGAUUAUAUGUUUUAUAUUUGUACUAGUAAAUUUAUUUAAAUAAAUUAGCUUACGAAUUAUUUAGAGAGAGUUGUUUAUUAACAUAACGUGACACCUCAAGUUGUCUUGAAUUUUCAAAAAAAAUACAUUAACUAUGCAGGCGCCCUAUUAUCCCCCUUAACAAUUUUAAAGUGAAAUUAUUACAUCAUUUUUCGGUCAAUCUCAUUUUUUUUUAAAACAAGUGUUAUCACACAACAAUCAUUAUGUGACAUGUGUUAAUUUAAUUUAAAAUAUAAUUUUUUUCAUUUUAAAUUUUUCUUUACCUUUUUUUCCUCUCUUACUUUUGCUUAUUUUAUUUCUAUUACUUUUAUUUUAAUUUCAUCUUACAUUUCACUUCACCUUCCAUCACACCCCAUCCACCCCCACUUUCAAGCUGACAUCUUUCGUCCACGUUUUCUUUCUUUCUUUCUUUCUUCUUUACCUUUCACUUUCAUCCUUCUCCACCCUCGUCAAGUUGUGUCCCUCCCUUCCCAUCCUCUUUUUUUUUUCUUUUUUUCUUCUUCUUCCGUCAAAUUUCAUCCUUCCAGUGAUUUUUUUCUUUAAAAAAUUACAUUAUUUUCUAAACUUUGUUGAGUUAGUGAUAACAAAAUUAAUUAUUUUUCUAAGAAAAUUUAAAAUUUUGAAAGUAUCAUCAAUUAAUUUAUCUUCUUUUCAUAUAAAUUCAAAAUUAAAAAUAAUAAUUUUGAAAGAAUAAAUGAAUUCCCCAAAAAUUGAAAGAGCUUGAUGAAAUCCGGAUAAUAAAGUUAAAUAAUACCUCCUAAUCAUUUUGUAAUCUAAUGGGUUCAUCAAAUUUUUCGAAAUUUUUUAAAAAAUAGAUAAAGGUUUAAAAUUGGAGAGACUUAAACUAAAAAUAGUAUAAAAAAAAAGCGGUGUAUUAAAAAUUGCGACAUUGAAAGUGGAGAGUUUUAAUGGAGAUGACAAUGAAUUUUUGAAGAAAAAAGAGAAAAAAUAGCAAAGAAAAAAAAGUUAAAAUAAUAAGAAAAACAAGAAAUUAUAUUUUAUAACAAAAUAACUAUAAAAAUAAAGUUAUAUUCAUUAUUUUGUGCUGUUUACGCUCUUUAAAGAGAGUGCAUACACUCUCUAUGCCAAGUGGACAAAAAUUUAUGUAAUAAUAUCAGUUCAAGAUUGUUUAGGGGGGUAAUAGGACGUCCGCAUAGUUAAGGUGUUUUUUUGAAAAUUCGGGAUAACUUCAGGUGUCACUUUAUGUUUUUUCUCUUAAAUAAUUCCAAUAGAAAUCAAUACAAUAUUUGAAGUGUGUGUGUGGUCGAUUUCGGUUUAAAAGUAGAUGGUUUAUCUUUUUUAAUAUGAAAAUUGACAUUUUGUGAGUGAUAUAUUUAUUAAGAUGACAAUUAUUUAUCCUCAAAUAAUUCAAGUGAAAAAAUAACAAACAUGACAACAAAAUUGUUCUUCUCCUAGUUAGUUAAAAAGUCAUAAAAAUAAUAUUGUCCGGCAAUUAUCUACCUUGACUCAAUUACAUAAUAAUAAUUCAAGGAUAUAAUUGAAAAGAAGAUUUUUAUAGAGUUUUAACUCUAACACAAGAUGAGGUGGGAAACAAUGAAUCAAACACUUGAUAAAAAUAAACCCUGCAUUACUAAUACAUGCACUACUAUUCUCUGCGUCACUAAUCCCUCCAUUAUUAAUCUUUGUACCAAAUGACCUCUAUAAAUACAUUGUAUUUGCCUCUAUACACAUUCUCGGACAAAUGUAUCUCGUCACUCUCCUCUCCCAUCUCACUACUUCUUUGUAUAUGUGUUUUCAUUAUGUAUUUAAAUAUUGAGUAUUUAAUAUGCACUUGUGGAUUUAGUGUAUCUAUGAAUAUUAAUAUCAUCCCGUGUAGAAGUGUGCAAAAAUCAAACCUAUCAGUCAAUCGAAUCGAAUAAAAUGUUAUCGAACAAUUGUUAUUGGGUUAAUAAAUUUUCAAUGGUCUUAUAAAAAUAAAAAAUUAGAUUAUUUGUUCGAUAUUGGUUUUGUAAUAUUGGGUAAAUUGAUUACCCAUUAAGACAGUUUAGGGUUGUUCACGGUCAGCUUGGAUCGAUUAUUGGUCAUAAUCAAAAUCAAACCAAUUUAAUCAGUUUUUAAAUUAUCAAAACUAACCAAACCAAAUACAAUAUAUAUCUACCGUUUUGGUUGUUAAUGAUUUCGGUUCGAUUUGGUUCGGUAAUUAACUAUACAUAAAAAAAAUUAAAAUGAUACAUUCAAAAGAGAGAGAAAAGACAACAAUUCUUUCAAAACGAAAAAUAGUUAGAACGACUAACAUUACAGAACUUUCGAUCACUAACUUUAUUGUGUAUAAAUCUUCAAAAUUCACCAUUUUGACCUAGAUGAAAGAGACGGUGACAUUUCUAGUCCCACCAAGAAUUGUAAAUAGACACUCAUGUACAUAAAAUCAAUAAGAUAAAUGUUUUCGUCUUGGACAUUUUUGCUUUCAUAAAUUAAUUAUAAAUAAAAUUUGUUGAAAAUAUAUAUAAGAUACUUAUAAUUAUUUUUAAAUAUAAUAUAUUAUGCAUGUAUAAUAAUAAAAUAUAAGUAUAUGAUUUAUCGGUUCUGUUAUUUCUUCGUUUUUAAAACAAAAUCAUAACCAAACCAUAUACUAUCGGUUUCUAAAAAUCUAAAACCAAAUCGAAAAAUCAAACCAAACCGAUUAAUUUACUACAUUUACACCUACAUAAAUAUUAAAUAUUAAUAUCAAUUGGUUACUACAUUUGUCCUUUUAGCCUUCAAUUCACAUUAUUGCACUAGUUCUUUUAUUUGUGUUGCACUUGUAAAGUUCUUUUCAUGUUAGUUACUACUGUUUAAUUCUAUUUUAUGAGCUUUCCGUAAAGUUACAUUAUUGUCUUGUUGCGCCAAAUUAUUAGACAAUUCAUAUAACUAUUGUAUGGUAAUUUUCUUACUGGUUACACAGAAAAUCGAACCGCUAAGGACCAAAAAUUGAUAAAUCGAAAAUCGAUAAAAAUAUCUUAUUAAUUUGAUUAUUAAUUUAGCAUAUUUAAAAAUUGAAUCAAUGAACUGAACUGACAAUGCAUAAAACUGAAUCAAACUGAGCGAUGCUAACCCCUUAUCCAAUGUGUCUGAUAUCAAAUAUCUAGUGUAUUCAAUAUCACUUUCAUGUAUCCAGUUUCAAAAAUACAUAAUUGCAUCUAGUGUAUCUUUGCAUAGUUAUAGAUUGUCUCUAAGAGGACAUUGUAGUAUCUAGUCUAUUUGUGAUAUAUAAAGCAUAUAUGUACAUAAGUACAUCUAUCUAGUAUCAAAGUUACAUGUGUCUGAUAUCAAAUUUGUGAUGUAUCCAAUGUAUAUGUGCAUUAUAUACUUAGAAGAAAACGACGACAAAGAAAAAGAUAUAAUUAUCUAGAUACACAUAUAGUGAGCCUCUACGACUAUCUAGUAUCAACUAUGUAGUCAUAAGUUCAUCCAAUAAAAAAAAGAUUUAAAAUCAUUGUAAGGAGAUCGAUCGAUGGAGGUGAAGUAGGUUUGGGUUAGGUUAAGUUAGUUGGGUUGGGUUAUAUUAGGAUGGUGGAUUUUAAUGGGAAAGUUGUAUAAAAUAGUAAACUAUAAAUUAAAAUUAAAUAUUAUAACCACAAUUUCAUUUAAUUCUAAUCUGUAGCAACACUUUGUCAUUCGCCACUCUCCAUUUCUUGCUCGUCAGUCUCUCUCUCGCAUCUCUCACUUUAUACAAACACAAAUGUAUAAAUUAUGUUUGUGUCUGUAUAAAGUGAGAAAAAAUUGUAUAUAUACAUAUCUUUUCGUUCGCCUCUCUCCCCAACGAAUCUCGCUUGCCACUCUCCCUCGCCUCUCUCACUUUAUACAAACACAAAUGUAUAAAUUGUGUUUGUGUUUGUAUAAUGCGAGAGAAAACUAUAUAUACAAAUACAAAUACAUAUAUUUUCGUCCUAUACACUUAUAAUUAUACAAAUACAGAUUUUUCCCCGCUCAGUUCUCUUUUGUCUUUCUCUCUUUCUCGCUUUAUACAAACACAGAUUAUACAAAUUACAAUGUAUAAUUUGUGUUGUAUAAAGCGAGAGAGAGGGAUUUGAUAUACAAAUGUUUUAUUUCGAUUAUAUUGUAUACAAAUUCAAAUUUUAUGCAGAUAUGCAAACACAAUCAUUGAUACAUAUACAUAGUAGUUACAUAUAUACAAUUAUCUAACCAAUAUACAUAUACAAUUGCUGCACUUUUAUACAAACGAGAGGCCUACCAACGAUUUUAUAGAUGCUCCUGCCAGCGAUUUAUACAAUCUGAUGUUCCAUAGCAAAUAUAAAGUUUGUUGUGGAGUGCAAUUAUGCAAAUUAUAGCUAUAGCAUACAAAUAUGAUUUUUAUGUUUGCUAAACCUAAAAUUUACUCUUAUUUUUUAAGAAAUCGGGUCAAUUUUGAUUGAUUGGGGAUUUCCGUCCAAGGAGGAGUACAAGUGAUAAAGUUUAUUAAUGAUAGAGAUAAGAAUAACUUCAUUUUAACGGUAAGAGUAAAGCCAACCAAUAAAUUUUUGAUCCUUUUCCUACUUUUAAUCUUUGAUAUUUUUGACUUACAUCACCAAGUUUUGAAUAUUUUAAUUGUAUUUUUGUGCAUUUAACAUAUUUAAAUUCGAGACUAUAUUGUUAUUACUUCUGCAUGUUUUCGUUAUACCUGGUAAUAAGAAGAAAAAAAAAGGCUACAACUGAAAUUGAUUAGCCUACUGAAUUGCAUAUAGAUAUCAUCACAACUUGGGGGAUAUUGGGUCAUGAAAAAUAACGAUCCAAUUAAAAAUUAUUUGCUUUUAUUUCAACUGAUAAUUGAAUAUUAUAUGACAAACUAAAAAGUGAUCAACCCAUGUCAUUUCUUCUCUAAAAUAUUACUUUUUCUGUCCAAUAAUAUUUGUUUAUUAUUAACUUUGCACAAUUUUUAAGAAAUUAUAAAUAAAAGUGUAAUUUUACUAUAUCACCCUUUGAAUAUACUUCCUAUGUCCCUAAUUACUUGUCCACUUUUCAUUUUAUAGUUGUCCCUAAUUACUUGUCCAUUUUGACAAAUCAAGAAGGGACAAAAUAACUUUAUCUAUUAUACCCUCAAUUAAUUACUUUGAAAAAGGUAGAAUUUCUUGAAAAUCUUAAAUUUUUAAUCCAUCCACUUCAUAAUUAAUAGGGGUAAAACGCUAAAUUCACUAUGUCAAUAAUUGCUUUCUUAGGCCUCAUUUGUUUGCACUUAAUGGAGGUCUGAAUCUUAAUCAUUCAAAUUCAGCCCAUUAAAUGCGUUUGGUUUUUAAGUCUGAAUCUGAAUCAUUCAAAUUCAACCCAUUAAGUCCAUUUGUUUCUUUUUUCAAAAACCCUCUUAAUGGACCUGAAAAGGUCUGAAUGGAUCAGAUCUACAUGCUUAUUUAAUAAGUUAUAAAAUAAUAUUGUAUCGCCUCUCUCGGUCUUUAUGUGACUUCUGCUCUCACAACUACAAACUUUCUUCCUCUCUUUUCUCAAUCAAACACCAAUUUUUUGCUUUUGAACUGGUAAGUUUUCAUAAUCUUUACAAAUAUUUUUUUAUAUUAAUAAUUUCUUAGGGUGUAUUGAUGUUUGUCAAGAACACAUGUUGCAAUAAUAUUUUUAGUUUAUUGAUGUUCAUCAAAGUUUUUGAGUGAAAAGAAUACUGUUCAUAAUUAAAAAUAAUAAUUAUGUAUACAUAUUUGAGGUCUCUUAUUAGAAUUUUGUCUUAGGCCAAUAAUUUUAUUGACUCUUUGAUCAUCAAACCUGUUUGUGAGAUAACCCUAAUAUAUUAUUGUUGUUGAACUAGUUGGUCAAAAAAAUAAUGGAGCUCCUAACAAUUCUCAUCCCAAUCUUUAGUUUUAGCUGGGAAAAAAAGUUUUGGGGAAGAAAAAAAACUUAUUUGUCUAAAUUAGAGAUUGAUGAGAAUAUGAUUAAUGCUUUGUAGUUAUUGAUUAAAAAAAUAGUGCACCUACAUUUGAAGAACAUAUGAAAAAAUUAGAUGGACUUGGAUGAGAAGAGUAGAAUUUUGUCUUAGGCCAAUAAUUUUAUUGAGACUCUUUGAUUACCAAAUUCGUUUCUGAGAUAACACUAAUAUAUUAUUGUUGUUGAACUAGUUUGUAACACCCCGUAUUCGAAACAGACCAAAAAUGCAUAUUAUUUUUUAGAAGUUGCAGGUGCGACUUACGGUCACCAUCCACGGACCGUAGGUCAGACCACGGCCCGUGCUGGUGGUCCGUGGUUCACCACUGCAACCCCUCCCCAAACUAGCUCAGAAAAUUGGCUAAGUCCCGACUCACGGACAGACCCACGGUCCGUAGAUCAGACCACGGUCNNNNNNNNNNNNNNNNNNNNNNNNNNNNNNNNNNNNNNNNNNNNNNNNNNNNNNNNNNNNNNNNNNNNNNNNNNNNNNNNNNNNNNNNNNNNNNNNNNNNNNNNNNNNNNNNNNNNNNNNNNNNNNNNNNNNNNNNNNNNNNNNNNNNNNNNNNNNNNNNNNNNNNNNNNNNNNNNNNNNNNNNNNNNNNNNNNNNNNNNNNNNNNNNNNNNNNNNNNNNNNNNNNNNNNNNNNNNNNNNNNNNNNNNNNNNNNNNNNNNNNNNNNNNNNNNNNNNNNNNNNNNNNNNNNNNNNNNNNNNNNNNNNNNNNNNNNNNNNNNNNNNNNNNNNNNNNNNNNNNNNNNNNNNNNNNNNNNNNNNNNNNNNNNNNNNNNNNNNNNNNNNNNNNNNNNNNNNNNNNNNNNNNNNNNNNNNNNNNNNNNNNNNNNNNNNNNNNNNNNNNNNNNNNNNNNNNNNNNNNNNNNNNNNNNNNNNNNNNNNNNNNNNNNNNNNNNNNNNNNNNNNNNNNNNNNNNNNNNNNNNNNNNNNNNNNNNNNNNNNNNNNNNNNNNNNNNNNNNNNNNNNNNNNNNNNNNNNNNNNNNNNNNNNNNNNNNNNNNNNNNNNNNNNNNNNNNNNNNNNNNNNNNNNNNNNNNNNNNNNNNNNNNNNNNNNNNNNNNNNNNNNNNNNNNNNNNNNNNNNNNNNNNNNNNNNNNNNNNNNNNNNNNNNNNNNNNNNNNNNNNNNNNNNNNNNNNNNNNNNNNNNNNNNNNNNNNNNNNNNNNNNNNNNNNNNNNNNNNNNNNNNNNNNNNNNNNNNNNNNNNNNNNNNNNNNNNNNNNNNNNNNNNNNNNNNNNNNNNNNNNNNNNNNNNNNNNNNNNNNNNNNNNNNNNNNNNNNNNNNNNNNNNNNNNNNNNNNNNNNNNNNNNNNNNNNNNNNNNNNNNNNNNNNNNNNNNNNNNNNNNNNNNNNNNNNNNNNNNNNNNNNNNNNNNNNNNNNNNNNNNNNNNNNNNNNNNNNNNNNNNNNNNNNNNNNNNNNNNNNNNNNNNNNNNNNNNNNNNNNNNNNNNNNNNNNNNNNNNNNNNNNNNNNNNNNNNNNNNNNNNNNNNNNNNNNNNNNNNNNNNNNNNNNNNNNNNNNNNNNNNNNNNNNNNNNNNNNNNNNNNNNNNNNNNNNNNNNNNNNNNNNNNNNNNNNNNNNNNNNNNNNNNNNNNNNNNNNNNNNNNNNNNNNNNNNNNNNNNNNNNNNNNNNNNNNNNNNNNNNNNNNNNNNNNNNNNNNNNNNNNNNNNNNNNNNNNNNNNNNNNNNNNNNNNNNNNNNNNNNNNNNNNNNNNNNNNNNNNNNNNNNNNNNNNNNNNNNNNNNNNNNNNNNNNNNNNNNNNNNNNNNNNNNNNNNNNNNNNNNNNNNNNNNNNNNNNNNNNNNNNNNNNNNNNNNNNNNNNNNNNNNNNNNNNNNNNNNNNNNNNNNNNNNNNNNNNNNNNNNNNNNNNNNNNNNNNNNNNNNNNNNNNNNNNNNNNNNNNNNNNNNNNNNNNNNNNNNNNNNNNNNNNNNNNNNUUUUAGUCUUUAGUUUCAGUUUUGCUAGAUCUAGUUGGGGCAUGUCCCAACAUUUCUAGUUAGUUUAGAGGCUUCUUUCAGACAUAGUUAGAUUCAGCUUAGUAUUGAGUUAAUAUCUUCAUUGUAUUAAACUCAUCAGUUAUCAUUUAUCUCAGUUAUAGUAUAUGGGUAUUCCCCAUCUUUUCAGAUUUAUUUAUGAUUUAGCUUCCGCACAGUUUCUAUUAAUCAGAUUAUAUUUAGUAUGCUCAUGAUCAUGCCAGCAGGGUUAGCUUGGGAUCACUUGUGGUCCUAGGUCCCGUGUCCGCGUCUCGGGGGUAGCUUGGGGCAUGACAUAGUUGGUGAAAAAAAUAAUGGAGCUCCUAACAAUUCUCCAUCCCAAUCUUUAGUUUUAGUUGGAAAAAAAAGUUUUGAGAAAGAAAAAAAAACUUAUGCGUCUGAAUUGGAAAUUGAUGAGAAGAUGAUUACUGCUCUGGAGUUAUUGAUUAAAAAAAAUAGUACACCUACAUUUGAAGAAUAUAUGGAAAAAUUAGAUGGACUUGGAUGGGAAGAACCAUUAUACAGUCUAUGUGUUAGUAUAUUUUGUGAAAGUGUCCGCUAUAAAAAAGCAUGAAUGACAUUAAAGGUUCACAAGUUAGAGAAUUGGAUUAAGGUUAUUGGAUAAAAGAUAAGAAUUCUUUAGUUUUUCUAAUUAGCAAAAAUAUAUGUUAGGCGCUAAUAAUGUGAAUACCUUAUUUAUUUAUUUUCUACUAGUAUCAUCAUACUUGUUGAACUUUUUGAUAUUAUAUUGUGCAUAUAAAAUAUUUUUUAUUCGUGAUUUUUUUAUGUUGUGCUUGAUGAUUAUGAUUAUUUUUUUAAUCAAAAAGUAAUAUUUUUUGUUGAAAUGAAUUUUUUAUAACAUUUUAUUAAUAUAAUGUUUGAUUUCAUAUGCAGAUUCAGAUAUUGAAAACAAACAAUAAUCAUUCAGAGUUUAGAUUUGGAGAUCACAUCUUAAUAUUCAGAUGUGUAUUCAGAUCUAGAUAUCUAACUCUUAAUGCAAAUCUUAAUAUUCAGACGUGCAUUCAGCUUCAGAGGUCUUAAUCUUAAUGAAAACAAAUGAGGCCUUAAUAGGUGUGUCAAUUUAAAAGUGGACAAGUAAUUAGGGACAGAGUGAGUAAUAAAUACAAUAUCUUGAAAAAUGAUUAUAAUUAAUUAUAAGAGUAAAUUAGAAACUAAGUGUAAAAUUAUUCAUUGAUUUCAUUAAGUGGACAAGUAUCGUUGGACAUCCUAAAAUAAUAUAGUGGACAACUAUUGUUAGACGGGGAGUAACAAAUAUUAAUGUGGCUGACAAGAUAAUGUACACAAAGUAUAGUGUGAUCCUAAAAGUACAAGAUUUCAUAUUUACUCAGUUUCGUCUAUGAUGUUUUGAUUAUCACAAAGUGAACUUGAAAAUUAGCCAAUCCUGUGAGCUAGCUUUUCAUUUGAUAACAAAGAGCAAUCGGCGCUAUGAAAGUCACAUUUUUGACAUUACACUAACUUUUGAGAGAGUUGUUUAAUCAAGUCAAGAGAAAUCGAUUUAGCAGUCCAUAUCAGAUAUAUGAGUGAAUUCACAAUAGCAAUAGCAAGGUGCGAAGCAGAUUCGACUUAACUUUACUUGAGUUAAAUCUUCCUUGAAAAUGAUGGAAUAAUUUAUUUUUUCCUUUUAGCGACUAUGAGCUCAUACAGAGCUAGAAUGAACUUGGUUAACUAGGACUAAGAAGAGAUAAGAUGAUUUGAUUAGCACGCUUUCUACAUGUCCUUACCAUACUCUAUCGAUGGUAUGCCUGGGAUGACAGUCUUUCUCCUUGGCUUAUACUCAAGAUCCGAUGUUCGAAUGACAGUCCAUCCUUGUACAAUAACCAUUCUGAGUGGGAGUUCAAAUCUAUGUUCAAAGGAGGGGGUCUAGCAACGAUAAUCAAGUUAUUACCUUGCAUUGAUUUUCUUUUCGCACUAUUUGGUCACUAGUUGGAGUGACCUUAAAAUUCUUAUUUACUUGUUGGACAGGUGUAAGUGAUCUUAUUGGCAGUAUUAUUAACUAGGAAACUUGUCCGCACUUCGCGCGAUAUAACAAUAAUUUAGAAUGAUUUUUUUAUAAAUUAAAUAGAAUUAAAGAGAUAAAAUUUAUUUUGAUUAUAGUUAAGACUUGUUUUUCCUCUUAAAUAAUUAUUUAUUUUUCUUUUAAUUUUAACAUUUAUCUCUUAUAGUUACAGAUAGUUACCUAUUGUUAAUAUACUGGACAUUAUUUUUUCCCUUAUCUUCUUCAAUAGUUUUUUAAUACAAUAAAUAAAUGGAAGGAAAGAUUAAAAAAAAAGUAAGAAAUAAAUAAAUAAAAAUACUGACCGUAAAAAGGUAUCACAUCAAUUUUUUUAUUCUUUAGCUGAUUUUUUCUUAUUAAUAAUGGAUAUUAGAUUUUUAAAAUAAUUAAAUGAAAAUAAUAGUGAAAGAUGUCAAUAGAAAAUACGAAUAAAAGUUAUGAAUUGUUGUUAUAGAAACGUAUCAUAUCGUCUUGUAUAUGCUUAAUUUUAUGUGUAUAUACGAUAUAGAUAAUCAAAAAAAUGUAAGAAAAUAAAAAUAAUUGAUGGAACAUCUAUUAAUAACUUACUUAGUGAAUAGUUUGACUCUUGCACUACUCAUAACAAUUAUUUCAAAUGCAUUAUACAUAUAUAAUGUAUAAUGCAUGCUAUUAAUUUUAUGAACAAAUGUAAAUGACUUAUUUUUAAUUGUAGACUUCUUAUUUUCCUUUUAACUUCUUGUGAAAGAAAUUAAUUUUUGCCUAUAUUUUUGAGUCAUAAACUUCAAAAUAGUUUUCAAACCUGCACCAAUAUCAAUCAUUAUGAUUAAUUGAACAAAGUUAAUCUAAGAAAAUUAUAUAUCAUAAAAGAAAUUGAAAUAAAAUAAGAGCAAAAUUUAUUUUUAUGAAUUUAAAAUUGAGUGCGUAAAAUCACAUUAGAAGAAAUAUGUUGUAUGUACCAAGUUUCUCAAUAUAGAUGACAUAGCAUGAAUCAUUAAAAUUUAACAAAUGUUGAGCAAAGAAUAGUAAUGAAGCAAAAAUAUAAAAAUUUCAACCAAUAAGAUGAGAAAUCUUAGCCUAUGAAGAAAUUUUACAGAAUAGAACACAUAUAGCAAGUGUAAUUAAGAUAAAUAUUCAUCAAUACAUGAUCUCAUCAGAUAAAUUGCUACUACUCCAAAAAAUAAAUUAAAAUACAUUGAAAAUUAUGUUGAAGCAUCCUAAGAACAACUAAAACUAAAAUAAAUUCAUGUAUGCAUAGUUUGGUAGUGAAAGGUAUAUAUAUAGGCUAAUUUUUGUCUUUUAAUCUCCCAUCUUUUAAUACAUUAUUACUCCACAUUAAUGAAAUUAAUUAAAAAAUAUAAAAUUAAAGGUGGAUGAAUCAUAUAAAAUCUCUAAUUAAGAAGGUAAUAGUGGGAGGUGAAAAGUUGAUUGAAUUGAAUAAAUAUUUUUUAAUUAUAAAAAAUAAAAUAAAUAGAUUUAUCUCCCUAUCUUUUAACAUGUUAUUACUCAACAUCAAUAAAAUUAAAUUAAGAAUUAUAAAAAAUUAAAUUGGAAGAAUACAUGAAUAUAUAUUAUAAAUUCUAAUAAAGAAGACAAUUACAAUGGGAGGUACAUAUACCUCAAAAAAAAAUCUAUUAAAAUGAUUUUAAGAUGUUACAAAUUUGUACAUUAAAGAAUUGAAAGUUAUGAAUAUGAAAAGUUUGAAAGUUAUGAUUUUAUUUAUUAAGGAAUUAUGAGUUAAGGGGAUGCUUUUACAAAAUAAAAUAAUUAAAUAUAUUUUUAAAAAAAGUCAAAAAAAUGAGAUAAAAGAUAAAUAAGAAUGGUUAUCAUAGAGAAGUGUCACAUCAUCUUGUCUAUGUUUCUCUUUAUAUAUUUAUAUAUAUAUAUAUAUGAAAAAAAUCGUGAUAUUGCAGAAAUGAGAUAAGACAAUGCAUUGAACAGUUUGUGUCCCGUAGGAAUUGGAAAGUGAAAGUCGGAACCCCAAAAUAGUUUUAAUUUGUUAUCUGGAACUAGUUUAGCCUGAGAAGCUAAAAGCAAAUUACGUCUAUGAAAAUUAUUUACAUAGCCUCAGAACAUGGUAAAAUGAGUUAUAUUUUGUUGCUAAAGGAAACCGAAUUAGCUUUAUGCUGGCAAAAGAUCUAAUGAAGCCCUCCUAAUAUGGAUUAUGUAGGAAAAACUGCAUAAAUGGACCAUAAAACAUAAAAUAAUUACAAAGUUUUAGCCAAGAAAACACUACUGCAUCAACGACUCCAAUGAUCACCAAAUGUAAAAAAAUUCUCAGCUCCUAAAGAAGUAACUCAAAACACUGUAGAUUUCAUUAAAAGCACAACAUUUACUGUUUACAAUUUCACCUUUGUCCCCACACGCACUCUCCAACUCCCAUGCGGGAGGAAAAAUAUGAACACACAGUUGAAUAAAAGAAUACAACUUUACCCACCUUCAAAAUGCACAUUCACACGAUAUACACGACACAUCAAAACAUUAAACUUCUCAUAAACAAACCUACAAGGAAAUCCUCAAAGAAACUAACUGCGGUUAGCAUCUAUGGGAGUCCCUGUUCUAGCCUGUGAUAUUCUAUUUGCAUAAAUAGUCACCAAUCUCAACUGUGUGCUGUUUAGCCCUUCCAAGUAUGGCAAAAAUGCUUUGCCCAGCAUGAUGUAUAUGUCAACUAAACAGAACACAACAGUCUGCCAGCCAAGAAAAUUAUACAUUUCAGAAAACAGCUUAAUUGAUAAAACCACAAAUAAGUAGAGAAUGUGAACUGUAUUUAUCUCUUCAUGCUUCAACAGUAUACAAGACACUAAUCUGAAUAUAAGCAAUCCAAUUUAGUUAUAUCACAGCCUCAAAACUUGUAUUACUAAGGUUUACUGCAUGAUUUAUUUCUUUUUCAUUUCUUUUGGGGAUAGGUACAAGGUUUUAUCUGAUGACCAUAUAUCAGUAAACACAGUGAAAUGAUGACGUCUGGGGCUCAAUGCAUCUAAUAAAGGAAUAGCUAUUAACACUGAAUGAUUAUAUUGCAUACCUAAUGCUACCAAUCCACUAUUACUGAUUACAUCCUUAAUACUAGAAGCUUUUCUGGGCUCUAAAGAGAGAAGAAAGAAAACAGAGGGAAAAGAUAAUUGGCACCUUGCGAACAUCUGCGCUCUGGUUUCCAAAAGCAUCAAACAGGGCAGGUAAGAAUGUAGAUAGCUGAGACAUCAAUUCUUCCUGGGUAAACCUCCCCACAAGCUGAAGAAAGAGGCACAAGUUCAAAUCACUAACCAAUCACACCAUAGCCUUUCCAAGUUUGACAUACUGUAGAGCAAUUACUACUAUUUUUCACCAAAAAAUAAACUAGACACAAGACUCUAACGAGUUCAGGAGUCAGAUCCAAUCAGCAAAUUACCUUUGUUAAACAGUUAAUACAGGUUACAAGAGUCUUCUCGUCUUCUGUGACAAGCAAAGGAACAACAACCUGUGACAGCAGCAACUUAUCAGAAAUAGGAAUAUCAAAAUGAGUAGGCCAUGAGAUCCGAGUGAAAAAGAAAAGAAAAAACCCAGAUAUCUUGCUAUGCAAAUUCAAACGGAACACCAAAACUCACACUUAAGCAUCUAAAUGAAUCAUACUGAGACAACACCAUAGUUAAACAAUGCUCAGCUUCAUUUGAAACCUGGACAAAUAUAACAACACAUUAGAAAGGAGGGAUGGAAAUUUUCAGCAUAAUAACUUCAUCUAAGUGAGAGUUUACUUUUGGAGAAACAUCCUUGGUUACGUUGAGCAAUUUCUCAAUUACAACCUCGACUGAAUCCUCCAUGGCAUCUCUCUGGAACAACAGAAAAUAGAUAACGUAAAAUGACAUUACACAAAAAGAUUAAAAAGAAGCAGACAACUCUUAUCUAUAGCUUAAAGGGAUGGAACAAAAAUAAAUUUGAAAAGCGACAAAAGACCUGAUUCUUCAGCAUUUCAACAAUCAGAGAUAGGGCAAGUUCUCUUAUUGAUGACGCAGAAUCAUCUAGCACCUCGAGUGCAGUAGUCAAUAUCUGAUUGAAGUACUGCAGUGAAUGAAAGAUGAUAAUUCAUGAAAAAAUCCAUAUUUUUUAAAUUAGCAAAAUCAAAAUUUGAUAUUUACAAGACCUUUCAAAUAAAAGGUAACAACUGAACUCUAACUAGUUGGAAUAUUAAAAAAGGAACUAAACUAAAUGUUAUUCACAAUGUUACAAGAGGACUUAAAAUCUACAUAAAGGGACAGCAAUAACAUACAGAUAAAUCUGUGACUAAUAUACCUUGCUCCAUAUGGAUUGAUCUUUGGUAACAGCUUCAACUAGUUGUUGAAGUGCACCAUGCUUGUUGGCAGGAGGGCUCUCAUCACUGCCAUUACAAAUCUGGAAAAGGUGCCAGAGAAAGCAGGGUAAGGAUUGUGAUAGUUUACAUCCUAAGUUUUUGCAUAAAAGAUUUGAGAGAUUUAUUAACCAAGGAAGAGGAGAAUCACAGAGAAUUUAACAAUAAAGUGUAACUCGACAGGCAUAGGUUGACCACGGAGAACUCACUGAAUGAAGAAUCUGAGGAAUGCUUGGUUCAGUUGCUGGAGUUAAGUUUAUCUUCAGAGCAGAAAGUUUCAGGUGAUUAAGUCCCAAAUCAGAUUCAUUAUCAGCUGCAGCUAGAUGCUCCAAGUCAAUUAACCCAUUAACCUCCAGACGGGUUGUGGAAGUGUGCUCCACGUUUAAGCUGUCGUCAUUGCUUUUCUGUGGAUUAGCCCAUAAUCCAUCACUCCCACUUGCGGUAAGGGCCAAAAGAUUUGAAUCCUUGGCUUUUGAAACAGGAAAAUCAGAGUUGGCACCAGUUUCAAUACCAUGAUAGAAGUCUUGAGUAUCAUCCGACAAUGAGUGACCUACAGAGCUAGUCAUAUAGGUCGAGUCUGGAACAGAAUUCCACUUUCUGGCACCAUCACUAUCAACUGAACCAGCAGAAUACCUUCCAAAUAAAUGAUUUUUCUUUGAAGCUCCUACAUAUCCCUCUUCAGAAGAUGUGCCAGUAACGUCAUAUGGAUCGUACUUGGAACGUUGUCUUUCUUUUUUAUUUUGCAGAAAAUUCAUCAAAUCCACUUCUAUACGAGGGGUAUACUGUUUCAGAGCUCGUCUCAAGGAAUUUUGUUCUUCAACUGAUAAGCUAAGAAUAAAAUUCAAAACCCCUGUUCCAUCAAAGUGUGUGUACACUGAUAUAAUGCAUGAAAUAGCCGCUUCUUUCAGUUUGGUAUUUUUAUCAUAGACCAAUGGUGUCAACUUAGCGAGCCAUAACUUGAGGAUGCCACUAUUUCCAGCACCUUCAGAAUUCGAAGGAUGCUUGUUAAAAGAGCCAAUUGCAAACUCAAUUACAGCAAGUUUGGCCUUAGGAGAACGUUGUUCAUCCAAUGAACGGAGCAAAGCUGGCAAAAGGGAGUCGAUACCAUAUGUUUUGCUUACAAUCUCUAAUGUAGUUGAGCAAGGCUGCCUCACCGAUUCCUUGGGAUCAAUUAGCCGUGAAAAAACAUGGGGCAAAAUCCUCUCCAUGUAACUUUCAAAAGGUUUUCUGCAAGCUGGAAUAAGAUCUGCAAGGGUUGACAGAGCAGCCUGUGCAACUUUAUGAUGGGGAUCAUCAAGGUGCUGGAAAAAUAAUUUCAUAACCUUCUCAAAGCUCUGAAUGAUUUCUGGAAAACCUCUAGGCCCCUGCUGUAGCAAAGACCUGACAUAACUAAAUGCAGCAACCCUAGCAUUCCAAUCUGAACUAGAACUGAGGCCCUCACUUAAUGCGUCACUUAGUGAGGCAGGUCCCUCCACACAACUUGACAUUUCUCCUAGUGGGAGCUGACUGUCAUCAAAGCUCCUUCUCUUGCUAGAAGACAUUCUUCCUGCUGUGUUCUUUCUUGAUAAAGGACGUUGAAAAUUUGGAACGUGAUUAUUCUGAGAAUCCCUAAAGUUAGCAUCUUUGUAUGGUGACUCUAUGUAUUGUCUGUGAACGUGUGAGUUCAUUAAUCGUCUGCCUUCCCUUAGUUCAGCAUUAUCUUCAACAAAACCUCUAUCUGGUAGUUUUUCAGAAGCCCUUCUUGCCGAAUAAGAAUUAAGCCCUGAAAAAGAUUCAUGAACCACACUGCCUCGAUAGGAUGAUUUAGUUGAAUCCUUUGAGGCCUGGAUCUGAGUAAUGAUAUCAGACAAACCCAACCCACCAUUGCGAUUCUUACCUUUAGAGAAACCAGAUGGUGCAUCUACCAAAGCGUUAGCAAGACUAUGUGACGCAGGAACUGCAAGAGGAAAUGGUGGAUCACGGGACGAUGGAGGGUCAACUCCUGCACUAGGGACAGGAAAAGAAAAAUUAAGUUCUUCAAAAAAUUUCAUACAUUAUGGCAAGUCUUCUAUUUUGAGAGAGAAUAUUAUAGCUACAGUCUUUUUAGUUUUCUUUCAGCAUCCUUUUUGCCAAAUAUUAGAAGCUGCAUGUGGAUGAACUUUUAAGGCUUUCACCUUGGCACUUAAAUACUACACACAAGAUUUUGAGAUGGGGAAGAAUAAAGGAAGAGGAAAGAAUUACCUAGAUCCAAACUAGAGGAUCGACUUCUCUCAGACAUAUCUAAACCUUUGAGCAGGCUUUCUAUAGCAGAAACUUUCUGUUUGCUGGCAUGAAGUACACUUUCUAAGCUACGUUCUGUGCCAGUACCCACAGGUUUAGUUUGUGACAGGAGUAGCCCAGUUGAGCGGGAUGUGCCUGAAGGUAAACUGGAACUUCUAUCCAUAGCAACUAUUGCAGAUGUUCCAUAACCAGAAAUUUGUGAAGAAGCAGAUGUUUGAGAACCAAGUGAAAAGUGUGAACUCCUCUCUCGAACAGAAGGUGAAGCAUGUCGUCUGUUAGUUCCACCAUCUUCCUCAUUUAUGAUCUGCAGAAGUGUUUCACCUUUAGUACAUCAUGCCAAAUCUAAAAGCAAUUUAAAGUAAUGCUAAUCAUCAGCACUGGAAGAGCAAAGAGAAAACAGCGCACCCUUUGGAUAACAGGAUCAAAGGACAUAAACAAACGCCUGGAUCGUUCUGGCCAAGUUCUUGCAAACAUUCUGUACAAAGUUCUUGCAGUUGAUCGUACCUGUUAAGUUUUCAACUGAGUAACAAUUGCAAAAAAAGGGGAAAAAAGAUGUAUUGCGAGUACAGAAUGAAACAGAGAAUCUAUGUGUCUGUGAAUAAGAGGGGAGAUUGAAUGAUGCGUGUGAUACAUAGAAUUCAAGGUGCAUACCUCACUCAUUGCAUCUCCUACACAACACUUUAUAAGGUCCUCAUAGAGUUCCGCUGAACGGUGUAUCUCAGAUGCAUCAGGCCAAUGUUCCAGGAUUAAAAGUGCAUACUCACAGCAUCUGUAAGUGUUGUAAAUGAGGAACAGCAUUCUCCAGAAAUAAAUCAGAAUAAACAUGAUAAUUGACAACAAAGAAACAAACCUUGCACGAAGAACUGCAUUUCGAUCGUUCUUUGCACAAUCAGCAAUUCGAGGAAGUGCACGAGCAACUUUGCAGUUGCGCAACAUCUGAAAAUAAAAGUAGCACCACAUGACUAACCAAUAUACCAAGGGAUGACAGAGAGAUGAUUAUAAUGGCACAUAAGGUGUUACCGUCUUUAUGCAUGUAUCAGCAGAUUCUGCAAUUACGAGAACAGUUAUCACAACAAGCUUGAAAAGAACCUGAAUUUCAAAAAAUCAGAAGUCAGAAACAACCUAUGCCAUUUAGCUUCAGAUCAUUAUUUUCCCUAAAUGAGAUGAGAGAAGUAAAUAUCUGCAGACAGUAGCUAGAAGAAGUUACUCACAGGAAUGAACAUCUCAGCACAUGCCUCAAAAUCUCCCAAAAGCUCUUUGGAUAAGAAGUUUAACAGAUGACAAGCCUAUCAACAAAUAAGAAGAAGAAACCAUAAAGCCAGUCCAUUGGAACACUUAAGUCUACUUAAAUUUCUCCGUGUUUAUGGAGUAUAUGCAUAUGAUACACUAGUGAACUUUUUCUCAUCAAUUUUUCAGGAAAAAAAUUAGCACGUGAAGUGCAAGCCGCCUGAUAAAUGUACUCGGACACUCCAGGUUCCUGUAUGAGCAGACAUUUUAACUGGUAAAAUCUAACAGAAAGGACAAGAGUCUAUAUGUGCAUACAUUCAGAUUAGGUGAUACUCUUUAACCUGAGAAUUAAUAAGCAAUGAUGCAAAAAAUAUCCUCAAAACAAUGGAGAAAUAAGUGCAAAUGUCGAGAUGCAGUCCUAGCUUGCAUAAAUGCAUUGUAAAAAGAGAGGGACACAAUUCUAUCUGACUAUUAAAAGGCCUCUAUGAAGAUGGCAACUGCAGUGAGGGGAGCAGACAGCAUUAGCAGGCUUUUUUGGAUCUACUGGGAUAUAAAAUGUUUGAUAUAAAUAUUCAAACUUCUAGUAGGUUUUCUGUAUAGAUCGAUCCAUAAGUAGGCACAUAACCCAUUUGACACAGCCCAGGUAACAAAGCAAGAGGCAGAAGCGAAUAAUUAGAGGACAAGUAAGUUUCCAAAAGACACACUAGCUGAGUUGCUACUAUUAUAUACUAAAUAACAGACCUGUUUGACAAUGGUGGAUCUCCGAUCAGAUAACUGUGUACUCAAAGGGACAACAAGUUGCUUUAGAAGUCCACGGAAACAAGGAAAAUCAGUUGCACCUGAUUAGAUGAAAUAGAAGAUGAGGCACAAUAUAAACUGGUCAAGACAUGAUAGGAAAAAAAUCACUUCAAUAAAAGAGGACAUUAUUAUACAGCAAAUGUCACUAUAGAAAACACACCUCCAAUAACAAGAGCUUCAAUUCUCUGCAUAGCAGAAAUACGGAUAGACCAGUCCUUCUCUGGCACAAGGGUAGAGGCAAUCUUCUCAAACUCCCUUACCAACUCCUUUUCUGAGUACACUUUAAUUGGCUCGACAGGUUUCUCCGCAAUAUCAGCAUCCCCUAUACAAGAGUAGAGACCAAGGGACAUUUGAUCAAGUAUACAAUCAUAGACUGUACUUAUACAUUACGUGAUCACAAAAGUUCUCUCUUUUUGUUCCCUUUUUUUGCUCAAACUACCCUUUAGACAUAGACUCAUAGUAGUUGUUUUACACAGAAAAAUACCCCUACACCACCAGAUGAUUUCUCUAUGUUCAUAGACCCAUUGCACAAUUCUGCUUUUCUCCCUCUCCCGCUUCAUCCUCAUUCAUUAAUAACCCUUGAACCAGGAAAAAACAUGCACAGAGGAUAUGUAAUAACCUACAAUUCUAGAUAGGUUAAAACCUUGAAAACUUUAUACCAUGUAACAUGACAAUAGGAUGCCCACAAAAGCUUAAUAAAAUAGAAGUUUCCAAGGCUUAUCGGGUGCAUGUUCUAACCUCCAAAAAGAGACACCUCUCUAGUUGAGUUUUUAGCCUUUGGGCUGCUUUUCUUGGGAUUAAGACCAGUGGAUCUCAACUCAGCAGCUGCAUAGUUUCUUGGAAUUCCAUCUGCUAAGGGAUUUUUGGGCUCAAUCUUCUCUAGUCUGGCAUUAAUAUCUUUUAGCUGCAGCCAAUUAUCAAGUCAAGACAGAGAUCGAAAAGAAAUUUUGCUUGCCCCAACACAAUUUAUGUCAACCAAGUUACAUAAAAUCUAGAACUGGAAAACUCAGGUUACUUCAUAUGCUAGGAAAAUAUUUGCUAGAAUGAAAACAUCUCAAGUUAUAUACAUACCAUCAUGGUAGGAAGAUGAUGGCGCUGAAGUUCAUCACGGAACUGAGGUCCAGCCUGUGAAUACAUCUCCUGCAAAGAAGAUAAAACAUGGAGAGAGGGACUGUUAAAAGGCAUAAUGCUUAAUCAUUGAACUAGAUAUUUGUUGGUGAAAGGCAGUAAAUCAACAUUACAUCAUAGAAUAAUAUAGAGCACGUAUUCAGUAAUGAUGCACAAAUAUUAACAAGCAGCAAUUUGGAUCAAACAGAAACCAAAUAUUUUCAAACAUUCAUCAACAUCCUCUCCUGCUGCAACUUUAACCAGCUACAGAGAAAUGAUUACCAAGUAAAACUAGUAACAACUAAUCAUUUCCACACAGCGUAUAAUGGUUUUAAAAUUGUAGCAUGUUGAUGAAAGACAAUGAAAAAGCUAGCAGAUAACUAGUGACACUGACAAUCACUUCCACUGCCAGCAUGAUAACUGCACUGGUUGGAAUGAGAGGUACACCACUAGCUUGCUGGAGCAAAAGGUCUUUGUUGAAGUGUGUAGCUAUCUCAUCUAAAAGCUUAAGCAAUUAGAGAGAGCACACUUUUAUUAUUAAAUUGUAUUCUCAAACACACUUUUAUUAUUUAAUUGUAUUCUCAACACACACCCUCACAUGCAGGCCUGAUUCUUUUCCAUGGCCAAGCACGUGGAAAUUCUUUUGAUAUGGGUGGUGGUGAGAUUCAAUCUCAGGACCUCUGCCUGCCCUGAUACCAUGUUGAAGUGUGUAACCAUCUCAAGUUGUUAGAGAGAGAGCACACUUAUAUUAUUUAAUUAUAUUCUCAACAGUCUUGAAAGAAACAUCAUAUAUUAGUAUCAUCUCAAGACCAGAUGUCUGGAACUCUACCAUCACACGUUUCAGCACAAACCCAAAUGACAAUUGUGGAUGAGAAAACCCGCAGAAGAAUCAUUUCUAUUACGCUCCAUUAAAUCCAAAAUCUAUAUAGCCACUGGGCACAUGAAUCAAGCUGAUCAACUUGGUUACACAGCUCAAAAAAGGGUAAAUUGAAUUCCGGGAAUAUACUCUUAUUUUUCAAUUGAAGAUUAUAGUUUCAUAUCUUUCCAGAUUGAAUAGGUAUUUAUAAUCAAACACCGUCCUGCAAUCUGGCUUUCAGAUUGAAUUGAUCAUAGGACUCAUUCAAACAAUCUUGAGCCUUUGCACUGUUAAUCAUAGAUAGGUAAGUUUAUUUUUAUUUUUUAUUGUUAGUAUAGAUGGGUAUGUUUGAUCAAUUAAUCAAUCACAGGAGACUUUCUUGAUAAACAGGCAUAGCCAUAACCAGACUGCGAGCUUGUAAGAGCAUCAAAACAAAGACAGUGAAAUUGGAGCAUCUUUAUAUUACCAAUUUAUCAUUGAAAGGAAAGAAAAGACACUGAACCUCAAAGUUAGAAACAUUCAAUGACUUCGAUUAGUGAGCCAAGUGUAGAAAUAUCAAUAAAGAAUAUAAGCAAAGUAAAGGUGUAUUUUGUGUUCUUUCAUUCCCCCACCUAGCCCCAUCCCUCAAACCUCUACUACUAGCCAGGAGGUCCCUUGGUGACUCGAACCCCAACCCUUAUAGGUUGGAGGUGGAGGGUCCUUACCACUAGAUUGUCCUCCCCUCGUGUUGCAUCUAUAAGUACCAUUAUAAACUUCUCCACAAUGUUGAUGUGGGACUAUCUUGUAACCAUCCUCUCAUAAUGUGGAGGAAGUAAAAGGCGUAAUAAAUUUCUUUUCACAAGUAUGUGGAAGCUUUAUCAUAGCUCUUCAAUUAAAUGUAAGACUAUUUUUUUUAUGACUGUGGUGUCCAGGCCAACUUUCGCGCACCUCGACUAAUUCCAAGGGAUACCUACCAUCUCCCACCAGCAACAGGUAACUCUGUCCACCAAGGCUAGGACAGAUGAGAAGAAUCAUCUAGUGUUUUUCGCCUCCGCUAAGUUUUGAACCUAAGACCUCAUGGUUUUCAACCACUUCAUUGACCGCUAGGCCACACCCUUGUGCGCUUUGUACGACUAUUUAAAUGCCUAUUUUAUCCUUUUUACUAAAUUUUACAAAAUAAUUGUAUUUCUACAUCAUAAAAGAGCUAAGCUUGAAUUAAGCCUCCUUCACUAUGUAACACUGAAACUGAAAUUAAACAUUCAAUUUUCAUAAAGAAAAUGUGUAAGUCUGAGCUAGUAGUCAAUUAAAUGGGUUGAGAACUAUGAAGUCUUAAGUUCUGAUCUCAAUAGAAGCAAAAACAACUAGGUGAUUUUUUCCUGUUUCCGUUGGUCUAUCGGAAACAACUUCUCUACCCAUGAGGCAGACAUAAGGUCAGGAUACACUCUACCCUCCCCAAAUUCCACUUUGUAGGAUUAUAUUGGGCAUGUUGUUGUUGUUGUUGUUGUUGUUGGUAUCCAAGUCUUGGUAGACAUGGUUACCUUGUACAAGGGGAGGUAGCAAAUACCCCAUGGAAUAGUCAAGGUCUGUGCAAGCUGGCACGAACACUACGAUUAUCGAUGUUACCAAUUUACCAUAUAGCUACAAUUAACACACUGUCAAAAUUAAAGGCAGCAAGUCAUCGGCAAAAUCACUAAUGCAGACACUAAUUACAUACAACUUUAACAAUUCAAAUGGAAGUAAAACUUAUCAACUUCCCUUUCUAGAGAAAACAAAAAUUAUUCAGUCUACACAGUACCACAAAUACAUGAAAUUGAGAUACGAAAACAGUUUCACUAACCUCAAUACAUGAUAUGGCUGCAUCUCUAACACCAGGAUUAGGAUCACUCAACAUUUGCAAAAUCUGACAAUAGCAGCAAAAAAGAAGGAUGUUUACAAAAUUGAAUUUAAAAAGGUUACUUAUUUUGUAUGACAACAUACAAAAGAGCUUCAUCAAGCAUUCAUGUUGAUUCACAUACUGGAGGAAGAAUAGUUCGUUGAAGGGGAAGCUCUGUUGAUGCAAAAAGACCAAUUGCUGAUGUAACAGUACGAGCAAAUUCUUCUCGAACCCUGAAACUUCUGUGCAUCCAAGCAUAAGACCCUGCCCUCUCAACGAUGAUAGUUGGUGAAGAAACCUGCAGAAUAUAUAUAUUAAUCAAUCAAAUAGAUUUCUAGUUUCUUCUCCUUGAGCACAAGUUGAAAUUAUCUCAUGCUGGUUCUAGUUGAGCAACUUGUUUUGCCCGUGAGUUGACCACCACGUCUGUAUAUUUGAUUGCAGGUCUAUGGGUAGUGGAUCACAGUGACUGAAAAUGUAACCAGUCUUCUGAACAUACACAAAAUUCUUCUUGUGCCAAUACUUUACAAGAGUAGGUUUACUAAAGUAAAAUACAAUGGUAUCAUUUCAGAUUUUAUUAAUAGGUGCAUUUGGAUUGAUUGUAUUACUGAGAACUGAGCAGUAUUCGGCAACUUAAAAAGGGAGGAUAAGCCAAUAGUAGCUGUCUCUUUUAUGUGGACAUGAUAGUCUUAGCUCUGUUGUAAUAUCUUACUUGUGUAACAAAUGAAUGCUUAAUGAGAGUUGGGAUUGGUGAUGGAUUACAUCACUGCACUCGGACUCCUAAUGUAUUUUGCAUAUUAAGCAUGAAGUAGCUAAAGGAAAGAAAACAUGUAGUCAUUUGAAAAAGAAUGAUUAGUAUAAAUUAAGUUGCAGCAUUUUUGUUUGCAGGUUGGGCUUUUGCUGACUCUGUACUGCAUAGAUUGGCACCUCUUUGGGAGGGUGCUCACAAGUGGUGUUUGGGGAAGGUAGGAUGCAUGCAAACAUUACCCCUACUUUUGGGGGGUAGAGAGAUUGUUUCUGAUAUGGUUGUAGCUGUGACAACUAACAACAUUCACAUCUGAAAGUUAAUAAAAUUACCGUUCGAAAAACCCACUUGCAAAACAAGUACUCAAUUUGAUAGGUGUCUUAUCUACAUCUUUGUGACAGUUGAAUCUGGUACAUGUUGUUGGUGGGAAGUGGCAAGUAUCCCAUGGAAUUAGUCGAGGCGCGCGCAAGCUGGCCCAAACACUGUGGUUAUCAAAAAAAUAGUGUUCUGCCUUGUGGAAAAAGAAAGAAUAUCCCAAUUAUAUUAUCUUCACACACUUGGUGGUAUAUGUGAGGUGGUUUGGCACUUCGCAGACAAUGUCAUGUACUGUGAAAAAGUUGAUGUUAGGUUGGAAGGAGAAGAAGAUGUAGGGCAUGGAAUGUGGUUACACUGCGUUAACGUGAGUGGUAUGGACAGAGAGAAAUAGGAGAGCUUUUGAAAGGGUAGAGUCGAGUUUUCCUAGUUGAGGAGUUCUCCGUCUCUCUGAUCCCUUUUAUAUUCUUUUGGUGCACCCAUGGAGCUCCCCAUAGAAGAUUUGGAGUUUGUAAAUUCAUUUUUCUGUACAUUCUUUAUCUUUUGGUAUACCCCUUGUGUAUGGUCAGUUUUUUUGCCAUGAAAAUACUUUUUUACCUGAUAAAAAAAGCCAUCUUCACAUGCUAAAUUAGUUUUAUAUUUAUUUAUUUAUCAUCAAGUAAACAUAUUUCGUAUCAUAAACAAGGCCAUAAACGAUUAUACACAAGUGGUACACCAAAAAACGUAAAGAAUCUACACAAUCAACUGGUUCUGUACAAACUCCACCCACAAUAGGGGACUAUCUGAGUGCACCAAAAUAAAAUAAGGGAACGGAGGCUACUUCAUAACCAAGGGAAACUCCACUCUACACCUUCAAAAACUCUUCUAUUCCUCUCGAGAGAGACAACCCACCAAAAAAUCCUCGAGGGGUGAUGGUAAAUGCUUUGAACGGGCCCACCCCUACCCUUCUCCAUUUAAAUACUAGGCUAAAUUAGUUUUACAUUAUAUGCAACAACCAUUAUAACUUCAUUGUUUUGUAUUGUUUUUCUCUUUAGAUGAUCAUAUAUUUGAUCAAAAUUAACAUGUCAUAGAACUUGAUCAUUAGUAACGUUCUACAUUCCAAAUAAUGAAUUUUCAGUAACAGAAUGGUGAACUUAAUCUUGCACUACUAUCACUCUUUUCAUCCCUGAAAGUGUGUCGGGGAUGGCUAGAAGGUAAAGCCACUACAGCAUUGGGUUUAGGCCUCAAAUUUUUGAAGGCCCUAAAUGAGUGGGCAGUUUCCUUAUGAUUAGUGCCCAUCACUCACUUCGUUGUGUCCUGUAUGAGGAGUUAUCCACUACACUAAUUACUACAAGUUCUUAUCUUUUAUUAAUUAGUGCAUUUAGCUUCCCAUUUGGGAAUGGUUUUUCCGUGUCCACAUACAUCCAUCCUUUCCUGUUUAUAACAAGUUCACUUUUCAAUUUCAGUUCAACUUUUCUUAAUCAAACUAAUUAUCUUUGUCACAAUUGAUUGAUUCAUAAAUCAAAGAGCACGUCUUUUAAGAUUAAAUCAAGAUACUUGUAUUUUUAAUAUCAAGAAUUGGAAGAGUUGUAAUAUAGCAGUGAAACUCCAUAGCGCUUUCCUCCUCUUUUGAAUUUAAUGUUUUUUUAGCAUAAGGUGAUUCAAAUAAUUCUAGAGCUAAUUAUUGUUACAUAAUAUCAAUCACGUCUCAACAAAUAUAUAUUAAAUGGAUUGGAUAUGUUUGUUAUUAAUUAAAUAGAAAUAAUUUCUUUUUGAGAAGCUAACAAUUAAAAAGAAAUAAUUAAAAUAAAUAAUCAAUUAUAGCUCAAAAGGCUAGAAAUAUAGCUUCAAAAAAAACUAUACCUGAAUUUUUUAAAAUGAACUAGUGUUUGACCAUAGAUUUUGAUCAAAUUUUGAAAAUUUAUCUUCAAAUAUUUGUUUGACCGUGAAAUUUGAUCAUUUUAAAAAUUAUUUCCUCAAAGAUUGUCAAGUUCCCACAGAAAAUAUUAAAAAAUUUCCAAGUACUCCCUCCAUUUACUUUUACUUGGGACUUGGCACACCCAUUAAAAAAACACAUUGUUAUUUUACCACGUUACCCCUAUUAAUUAGUGUUUAGUAUUAGGUCUUGAAAAUGAUUUGUAGAAUAAGUAAUUAAUAUUAAGGAUAAAAUAUGGGAAAAAAUAAUUAUUUUUUCUUAAUAUGUUAAAAGUGAAUCCAUUUUAGAAAAAGUGGACAAGUAAAAGUGAAUAGAGGGAGUAAAAUGCAUAUCUAGAGACAACUUCAAGUUUCAAAAAUCACAACUUCAAGAACUCAAAUUGUCAUCAACUUCAAAAUAUAUGGCCAAACGGGUUCUAAUAUUAAAGCCUCACAUUAAAACUUAGAUUUAUGUCACAAAUUUUAUUGAGCCGCAUCUCACUAAUUUUGGAUCCUUCUGAAAAUACUAGGCAUACCCCAAUCAACUGGACUUCAUAAAUAUUACGUAUUUGUAACCAGAGUACAAUUGGGUCAUAUAAUUUCUUUAAUCUCCACCUGUUCCAAUCAAACUUCAAUCAUUUCCACCACCUCCAACCACCCUUAACCCCUACACAAUAAAAAAAUUAAAAAGACAAGAAAGAAAUCUUCAACCAUUAUUUAGCAUUUGAACCAAUCCUACAACUAUGCAACAAUCCAGGGUUGGCUAUAUGAAUCCUCUAUACCGAUACCACUUCAUCAUGAAACAAAAUAAAGGGUUCUUCAGAAAUCUCACACUUAUCUCUGCACUGUCAUACAAAUCUCAACCAAUCCAAUUAAUUCAAAAUUUGAAGAAAUUUUUUUUUAUGUUCGUGUGAAGUAGACAACCAAAUUAAAUUAUAAAAAUCACCUCAAUAAAUGUACAUGAAUAAAAGCAAAAAAAGAAAGAAACAUAAUCCAAUUAGGGUAGAGUUACAGUAAAACGAAGAGUAAGCGCGUUCAUGCAUGAGUACCUGCAUCAAAGUAAGCAACAAUCGCCUAGCAGCAUCUCUAACCGGCUGUUUAGCAUCGCCCAAUCUUUCUACAACGGCAGGCACAAGAGCAUUGAAGUGAAGCUUAAAAUGUUCACCGGAUAGAACAGCAGCGGAAUCAAGUGAUUGUAAAGCACCCUGACAGACCCUGAAGUUGUUGUCUUUGAGAAGAUCUAUGCAGACAUCAACAAGCGAAGUGACCUCAGAAGAAGAGAGACUCUUUCUAGAAGCUUCGAGAAGUUCGUGAAGUCUCUCAACACCCGCCAUUCUCUCCUUCGUAUCCUUGGCUCGCGCCAAUUCCAGUGCCUCCUCCAUCGCCGGGGUAAGUAGGGUUCCGAUCUGGUGCUAUGAGGGUCAGAUCUGCGGUGGAUUUGGGAGGAAAAUGGUGGAAAAAGUGACAGAGGAGAGUGAACUGUGAGGAAAGAGAAAGGAGGGAUUUUAGAAUUAGUACAAAAUAUUGAGGGGCUAUUUGCUAUAUUAACGGAAGAGAGGAUUUAGCAUAUGAAAAAAAAGAAAGGGGUAUUUGCUACAUCUGUGUGGUUGGAACAGUUGAUAAGUGGCUUGGGAGUUGUGACAAAAACUUAUUACACUGUUCCGUUCGAUAAUUAAAGACGAUUUGAAUAAACUUCUAAAAUUAGUUUCAAAUUCAGAGUAAUUUAUUUUGAAUAUAUGAUCUUGGUGAGAACAGUUGAUUUGAAGAAACACUUUUGUAUGAUAAUUUAUAUUUGGUUGAACUUUUACAUUACAAAUAAGGACAUAAUAAAUCUACUUAAUGUCUAAUGUUAUUAAUAAGUUCAAAUAUUGAUUAAGUAUUACUUCUUACAAAUUCUUUGAAUGUGAAUGUCCAUUUAUAAUUUUUUUGACUAUACAUGUACCAAUUAUUAAUAAUUCAUAUAUUAGUAAAAUGAAGUGUCCAAUUCUUAUAUUUAAGAAGUUGUUAUAAAUUUGUUGAACUAAGUGGAUUGUUCAUUGAGUUUAUUCAUAAACUUAUGUACUUAUCAUCUAUAUGUAUCUCCUAGGUUCUAUGAACCUUUUUGGAUAAGAAUGUAUCUAUUGUACUUAAUAUGGUGACUUUUGGAGUGAUUUCUCAACCUAUAAAUAGGGUUGUUCAUUCACCGUUGUGAGACACAGAUGAAACAUGAAGACGUUUGAAUAAGAUGAUCUCUACAUUCUACUUCCCAUAUAUUUUUUGUUUAUAUUUCUUGUAGUAUAUUAUUCAUAUUUUAUAAUAUGUUAUCAGCACGAGACUCUAGCCAAUUGAGGUUGAGUUUUAGUUUUUCUUUAGUUCAUGUUUUGGUUGAUCUCGUUAUGAGAAUCAAGAAGAAAAAAAUGAUAAUUGAUGCAAUCAAGGUAUUAUAUGCAUAAAAUCAGGCAUAUACUACUGGCUGAAUAUUCUCUACUCUACAAAAUUCCUUAAAUGGGAAAAGGUAUAAAGUUUUGGUAGCAUGAGUUUGAAUAUUAUUUUGAUUAUAUUUAAUGAAUUUUAUUUCAAUAUUUUGAAAGAGUCAAAGGGUGAUUCAUGUUGUACUUCGGUCUAUUAUAUCGUUGGUUGAGGGUAAGACGAUGGAUUCAAGUCUCAUCGCACCAUAAGGGUAAGACAUCAAGUUAAAGUCCGGAUGCACCAUAAUGAAAAAGGCUUGAGGGUAAGACGAUAGAUUCAUGUUCUAUCACACCAACAGGGUAAGACAUCAAUUUGAGUUUUGAUGCACCUUAAUGAUAAGAAUUGGGUUUGAGUCUCAUGGAAUUAUGGCCUAAUACGCCUUAUAUGGGUAAGACAUUGAGUUUGAGUCUCAAUGCACCAUAGUGAUGAUAUAAUAAUGACUUAAGACUUUGAUGAAAAGUCAUGAAAUCCGUCCCAUUGAAUUUGCUCCAUUCCCUAAAGCGAAUGUGGUAGCAGUACUGAUAAGUUUGGAAUCUGCCCAAUUACUCCAUUCUAUCAUAUGAACGUGGUAGCAGUGAAUCAUAAGUCUGAAAGAUGACUAGUAAUUGAAUAUAUGAAUAAGGGCAUUGAUGGACAGAAGGAUAAUAGUCAUCAUUGUGAUAAUUAUAAUAGGAAGAACACUAUGGGUUCUCCAAAUAGUCCUUCAAAAUAUGAAGGUAAUUUUUAUCAUCUUAAUGGUAUGAAAAGUCAUUGGACCCGUGGUCGUUGUGCGACCUAAUAAUUUGAUAAAUUUAUAAAAAUCCUCCAUCAAAAGAAAGGAAGACAAAGUAGUGGUACACUUGACCUUUCAAAAUGAUAUUGAGGUGGGUCAUGCAAAGGCAUGACAAUGUGCUUAUAAUGCAAAUUUAUGAAGCACAUAUAAAUGAUUAUUUCAUUCCUUGAAGAGAAUGUGACUUGUGAUAAGCAUCGUAAAUGCUCGAUCAUUUUGAAACAGAAUGGAUCAAGAUGUGAUAAAUCAUUAUGAGUUGGAUAUAUGCCACCACUCACUUCUAUGAUAGGUUUGAGAAAAAUGAUAUAUGUCAUAACUCACCUCUACAGGAGGUUUGAGAAAAAUAAAGAUCAGUUGGCAUGACUGGUUUGCCAUCCCGGUCCAAUGUGAUGCAAAAGUAAUUGAGAAUUUACGUGCUAAUAUGAUGAAGAAAUAAAAUAUUCUUCAAGAAUUCUCUUGUGUUGUUUGUUCUCGUGAUAAAAUGAUAAUUGUAUCAUUAUAACAGCUAAGGUUAGGAUUGUAUUCCCUUGAGGUUCUUAGAACAUAUAAAAAGGUGAGUAUGGAAUCGUUCACCUGCCAUGUGGACCGUUUGCAACUAUAUGAUAAUUGCAUUUAUGGGAUGGUCACAUGUGCUUUGUUGUCAACUUACAAAUUGGUUUUUGUAAGGUUGUUUGCUCAAAUUGUUAAAUUAAGAGCACAGUUCCAAACAAUGAAAUUAUAUUUAUAAUUUUGUUUGGUUUAGCAGAAAUUGUAUGCCUUCGAUUAUAGCUAAAUCAUGGAUAUGAGAACAAAACUCUCAAAUGAGAUCUGGUAUGAGAUGAGUUUAUUUAACAUGUAGCAACACAUGUAUUCAUCAAUCCAACAAGGUUUCCCCAUCAUAAUUGGUUCAGAGUCAGGAACUAAAUAAUUUGCAUCUAAAGUUUGAAUGUGCGGUAUCUGAUUUAAUUGCUCCACCACGCACAAGAUGGAUCUCCAAAUGAGGCUGGGGUGAAUGUUAGUUUUUCUAACAUUAGGGGGAGAGAUGAUUGACAGCUUAAAAUUAUGAGAUGAAUUAUCUAGAUCCUCACUUUUUAAAAAAUAAUAUGAACUUGAAGUUCAAGAGAUAAUUCAAUUGCAUAAUGUUGCAAAUUAAUUGCUAGAUGAAUUUGUUGGCCUUGUGUUAUAAUUCAACUGCAAAUACUCCGAUGAGAAGUCCUUAAAUGACAGAGUCUAUGGUACGUCUGAAGCGUGAUAGACCAAUCGAUUCCAAAUGAAAAACUUCUUAAGAAAGGAGAGGAGCAAAUGAUUAAGAUGGUCAUGAUAAUGAGGCAAGUGCUUGCACGAUGACAUAACAUUUCAUAAAACAAUGGCAAAAGUUUAGGUACCUGAAAUGAUGAAAUAUGAAGAGAUCUCGAUAAGUUAUGUCGUAUUGGAAUCGAGUCAAAAGAACAUCGACGGUAUCUGUCAUAUAAAGUAGCGCUUAAUGCUAUAGAUGAUGAAGAGGAUCUUGAAUUCAAUUUGUCAUAUGGUGUUGACAGAUAAAUGAUUGGCUAAAUAAAUACAGAAUUCAAGUAUAUUAUGUUUCACUUUGAAAAGUGAUGUUUGGACUUAUAGUCCAUGGAUCAAGAUAUAAUGUCAGUAGGGUACAAUGAAUCAUUGUGCGAAAGUAUAACCAUAAGAUAUAAAGUACAAUAUGUGUCUUAUGGCAUAAAAGGAUUUUCGCAAAAGUCCUGACAUUAUUAAAUGGAGAUAUAUUCUCUUGUGGUGGAUGCAAUGAUGUCACGACCCGAGGGUGUAUACACCCUGGACGUGGCCGACACUCAAGAACCAUUGUUGAUCCCCAAGCGAACCCUCAUCCUGGCUUACUACAAGCGAAAGACUAACUUGAGCAUAUAUAAGCAUCAAAUUGAAAGAAACGUUUAAAAACAGUUUACUGAAUCUCUAAACUCUCGGAAUAUACUGAGUAUGAAACAUAAGUUUUAAAUAAAAUAUCUGCAACUAAAAGACUCUCCAAAACUUUCUAUCUAUGAAGCCUCUAUUAUACAAAGGUGAGUGUUGGGACAAGACCCACGACUUCUCAAAAGAGCUACUACUAACAACUCAUAAACCUGGAGUCCUCCGGAAGCAAGGAAACCUCACUCGAAAGCUGACGAGCGGAUGAAGUAAUCUCAACAGACUCUUGUUCAGGAUCCUAAGAACUUGUAUCUGCAUCAUUAAAAAAUGCAGGUCAUCAGUACAUUGAAUGUACGAGUAUGUAAUAUAGCUGAAUAAUAAAUAACAAAAUGAAAGGACUGCAAAAGAUAUAUAUAUAUAUAUAUAUANNNNNNNNNNNNNNNNNNNNNNNNNNNNNNNNNNNNNNNNNNNNNNNNNNNNNNNNNNNNNNNNNNNNNNNNNNNNNNNNNNNNNNNNNNNNNNNNNNNNNNNNNNNNNNNNNNNNNNNNNNNNNNNNNNNNNNNNNNNNNNNNNNNNNNNNNNNNNNNNNNNNNNNNNNNNNNNNNNNNNNNNNNNNNNNNNNNNNNNNNNNNNNNNNNNNNNNNNNNNNNNNNNNNNNNNNNNNNNNNNNNNNNNNNNNNNNNNNNNNNNNNNNNNNNNNNNNNNNNNNNNNNNNNNNNNNNNNNNNNNNNNNNNNNNNNNNNNNNNNNNNNNNNNNNNNNNNNNNNNNNNNNNNNNNNNNNNNNNNNNNNNNNNNNNNNNNNNNNNNNNNNNNNNNNNNNNNNNNNNNNNNNNNNNNNNNNNNNNNNNNNNNNNNNNNNNNNNNNNNNNNNNNNNNNNNNNNNNNNNNNNNNNNNNNNNNNNNNNNNNNNNNNNNNNNNNNNNNNNNNNNNNNNNNNNNNNNNNNNNNNNNNNNNNNNNNNNNNNNNNNNNNNNNNNNNNNNNNNNNNNNNNNNNNNNNNNNNNNNNNNNNNNNNNNNNNNNNNNNNNNNNNNNNNNNNNNNNNNNNNNNNNNNNNNNNNNNNNNNNNNNNNNNNNNNNNNNNNNNNNNNNNNNNNNNNNNNNNNNNNNNNNNNNNNNNNNNNNNNNNNNNNNNNNNNNNNNNNNNNNNNNNNNNNNNNNNNNNNNNNNNNNNNNNNNNNNNNNNNNNNNNNNNNNNNNNNNNNNNNNNNNNNNNNNNNNNNNNNNNNNNNNNNNNNNNNNNNNNNNNNNNNNNNNNNNNNNNNNNNNNNNNNNNNNNNNNNNNNNNNNNNNNNNNNNNNNNNNNNNNNNNNNNNNNNNNNNNNNNNNNNNNNNNNNNNNNNNNNNNNNNNNNNNNNNNNNNNNNNNNNNNNNNNNUUUAAAUAGUGAAGGAUUUAUGCCUUUUAAACUUGAGGAAAUAAUUUGGAUUAUCAGGGUUGAGCAUAAUCGACUGGUGGUUGUUGCUCAAGUUUCUAAAAUCGUUAUUGGGUGUAGUUUGAAUUCUUCAUCGAACAAUAAUAGAGAUUAGAGAUAAGAUCUGAAAGUUGGUGAAUUUUAUUAGAGUGAAGAGAUUAAAGACGAUUUAAUUUUAUUCACUAUAUGAGUAAUAAUUUUAAUGCUUAUUUGGUGAUUUCAAUGGUGAUUUACAAUGUUAAGAAUUGUGAGUAAAUAGUGAGACAAAUAAUGAGAAAGUAUUAAAAGAUGGGGGAAGAGAUGGGCUGCUAUGGUAGUGGACUAGAGGUAGUUCAACAAUGGUGAUGAAGAACAUGUACAGGUGGGGUGAUUUUUUUUUUGAGUAAUAAGAGAGAUGAGGGGGUGGGGUGGGGGGGAGUAGAGAAAAUUAAAUGAAAGUCAAAAGUAAAAAAAUUAUAUUUAAAAAAAAGUCAUAAAUAUUUUUAAAUAUACUUUUAUCAGUUUUUUCAAUUUUCACAUGCCUUCAAGAGAGUGAACACACUCUCUGUGCCAUGUCAGCACUUAAGGGUGCAUUUAUACCACUUUAAAAUAGUUCAAGGGGGUAAUAGGACCCCUGUAAAAUAUAAGUGUGUAGUUGAGAAUUCGGUUAUAGAUUGAGGGUGUAUUUGACCAUUUUCUCAAAUAUCUUUUAAACUCAUAAAUCAUUUAGAAUCUCAAUUUCUCUUUUAUCAAUGUAAAAAUUAAUACAUCUGGGAAUACAUAGUCCCCUUAUACUCUUAUUCAACUCAUACUUGAAAACUCUUUCUCAAUACAUAUCAAAAUCAUAUUAUAGUAUGAUCAUUGAUGACUCGGGAAGUCAUACUGCAUAAAUUUUAAUGGUAUAUCUAGAUACCAUACUGCUCAUACAUUGAUGACAUACUCGAUUGUCAUACUAAUCAUACUUUAGAAAACUCUUUUCUCAAAAUUCAUCUUUAUAUUCACAAAACUCAGUUAAGAACUCAAGUGUUGGCUUUAAAAAACUUCUCAAAAUUUAUGAUUCAAUAUAGGGUUCAUGCUGAAUUAUAGACAUGAACAAAUCAACUCAAGGAUGUCAACAAAAAUAUAGAAACUCAAUACUCAUAACUCAAGGACUCAAGAACUCAAAACUCAUAACUCAACAAUACUUCUCAUCUCACGAAUACUCAAAUCUAGGGAUAAAAUCCUAAAUUACUCUUUUACUGAUUUGAAAGUAGAUGUAGGGUGUGAGGACAAACUAGUCCAACACUAUGAUAGCUUUACAUACCUAGAAGAACAAGGUUCUUGUAGAAUCUUGAAGAGGAACUUGAUUAGAAGCGUUGAAACUCUAGCUUGAAGGAGAAAAAAUAAGAAAGCCUUUCUUGAGAUUUCUUGAAACUCUAUGGCCAAGAAUUAUGAUUUUCAUUAGUGAUUCAUAACUGUAUGGAGGAAUUUGAGUUGGAAAGAAUGGAAUUCUUGGAGAAAGACUUACCUUGAAGAAGAAUCUUGAAAAAGAUGGAAAAAAUCUUGAAUGGAGUUCUCUACUUUGAUUUUUCCUUAGGUUUUUGCCUUAGCGGUUAAGAGAGAAGAGAAUGAUGGAUUAAGAGAUGAAAAUCUGAUUGUUUUUUGUCUUUAAUUAGUCAAAAAAAUCGUUUAGGGUUUUCUUAGAGGUAAAAAAAGACAAAAAGGGCCCUUUUUAAUGUUUUCCCGUCGUCUAAUUUGUCACUGCACUAUAUCAGGUUACUGAAAUGGGCAUAACUUUUUACUAAAACUUGGAUUAACGUGAAAUUGGUGGCAUUGGAAAGAGGAUUCAACGAUAUUUCAUUUGAUAUCUUAUGGGCCACCUAACUCAUCAUGUACUGAAAGUUAUGGUCGUUUGAAGUUGACCCAAAACUUAGAAGAACUUACGAAUGCCUUGAAUGAAUUAUCUUUAGUUCUUUUUGGAACUCAAGGUGCUACAUCUAGUGACCUUAACACUUAAGAAAAUUUAAAUUCCUCGAUAAAAAUCUUACUCACAACGAAGUAUGACUCGAGUAUUAGCUCAAUUUUUUCUAGGAUGUUACAUUAUAUCCCCCUUGGGAUCAUUCGUCCUUGAAUGACGGCUAAACUGGGUAUGGAACGAGGUUACUCUUACCAUCUCCUCUGACUCAUGAACUUGCCUACUAACAUAGGUUGAACUGAUUCAUACCAAGAGUUAGGACCUAUAGCACCUAAAUCAAGAACGAUGAUGUUGUGAACAUAGUCACGCUCUCUCUGAAGUUACCUUAUCUGAAACAAAGGAAGUCUAGGCAUAAAGUAGGAAUAGGAAUACCAGGGGUAAUAUGACUACUAGCUGUUAAGCUUAGUAUGGAUCCGAUGAGACACCUGUUGAGAAUGUAACAAGCAGUACUUACAGCUUCUGCCCAAAAAUAGUCAGGGAGAUUUCGAUCUAGUAGCAUAGUUCUUGUUGUAUAUUGUAAUGAAUGAAUUUUCCUUUUGUAGCGACCCUAAAAAUUGAUAGGUGAAACUAGAGCCUAACGUAUGAAUUUUAAAAGUUUAAGCAUAAAUUGGAGUUAUGAAAUUUUCCAAAAAAAAUUGGACUUUGCCUUAGUUUUAUUUGGUAAGUCCAUGUGGGCAAGGGGUGUUUUCGUAAAUAUUAAUUUUAGUUAAAUUAACAAGUGGGUAUAUUUUAUAUUAUUUCUAAUAACUAUAUGGUAUUAUAAAACUUUUAAAAAGGUUUGUUUUAAUUCAUUCUUCAAAAAAAGAAGGGGUUCUCUCUAGAACACCAUUGAAGGCAAAGGUCAAGUUGGAGCUAGGGUUUCGAAUUGAAGAUUUCUUGCAUCAAAUUUUCGUGGGUUUUCUCAAUACUAAGGUAUGGUGGCUCUUUAUCUAAAGCUAAUUUUUGCUUUAGAGCCAAUUUCAAAGGGUUUUCAAAUUCUCAAAAGUUAUGAAAAACUUCUAUUUGUUACUCUACUCAAGGGUUCUUGCAUUAAGUGGUUUUAAAUGAUGGAUUGUGAUAUUGUUGAUAUUAAAUCGAUGUUUUCAAGUGAAAAAUCUCAUGAACCCUUGAUUUCACAAAUUUCUAUAUUUGACUUACGAAAUGGGUUUGUUGAUAAUGAUUGGGUAUUGAUGAAUUUAUGCUUAGAAUAGAUUGUAUUGUUGAUGUUUAUGAUUUUCUAUAUCUAUUGAUUAAUGUUGAGGAUGGCUUUGGAGGAUGGUAAGUUAGCUUAAUCUCAUAUUAUUGAUAUAAUUGUUCUUGCUUGGUUUGAUCCACUUAUAGUGGAGGUGUUUAAUUAUGGAUUGUAUUAUGAAUAUGGCCUUGAAGGCAUUAUCUAUUGAAUUAAAGUGUUAUCAAGUUAUGAAGUGUUAUAGUACUAUGUGAAGGUAUUCUUAUGGUUAUAAGGUGAUCUUGUACAAAGUGUUAUUGUAGUGUGAUUGAAAGUAUGUUUAUAAAGUGAUCUUGUACAAAGUGUUAUGGUAGUGUAAUUGAAAAUAUGUUCUCUUUCAAUGUUCAUAUGUGACGAUGUUGGAGUAUGAAGAGUCCCUAUAUGGUAAUGUCAUGACUUGCUUGGUAGACUUAGACGCCCCUUCUUGUUACUUGAAAGCUCGAAUGAAUGUCUAUAAUCGGUAGACCUAAGUAUGGUGCCCUUUCUAUGAAUGAUAAAAAAGGACUUCUAGAUUAUAUCUUGAAUAAGCUAGACCUAGCAUGGUACCCUUUUCAUGAGUAAGUCUAGACUCCUAAAUGUGAAUGUUAAACCUUGAAGUGGUGAACCCUAGGGGUAAUGACCUUCUUCUUGUGUGAAAUGAUGGACUUAGAGAUGGUGGACCGGAAUGGUAACAAACUCUCUCUAAGAAAGUCAAUGAGCUAUCCUUAAAUGAACCUUGAUCGGGUAGAACUAAGAAAUGGAACCCUUCUUGGUAGAAGUAUUAUGAGUUGGCCGAACUUAGAAAUAGGGUCCACUCUAGUGCAUACAUGUGAAUGGAAUUACUCUAUGGGAACUAAGGCUAAGCACCGAGUGGAUGUGGUUAGGAUGGUGACCUUACUUAAGUAUGAGACUAGGGCACAAUGGACAUCCCCUAAACCAUAUGCCUACAUGGGUUGCUUAUUAGUUCUACCUUUGGCAAGUAGAACACCUUCCACGGAGUAGGGUAGACUCCGGAUUCCAUGCCUAGCUAGUAUGGUCUAUGUCGGUUAAUGUCUAUUCCCAUCAUGUGGGAUGUGCACUCUAGUUAUUGGAUAGAUUCUACAAAGUGUAGGUGGUAGUAUGGGAUGCUAUCUACACAUGGCACGAGUAGGCCUAGAAGAUGCUAAAGUGAGUUCCCUAAGUCUAAAUGGCUAUUAUGUGAAAGUCCCCUAAAUGCUUAAAUGUCUCCUAAAGUGGUUCAUUAAAGAAUAUUGACUUAGCAUGUUAUAUUGUAAUGGUACAUUCCUUAUCUAUGGUAACCCUUGGGAACACUUAGGUGUAUAUAAAGAGAUUGUAUGGGCGGUCACUUCAUGUUUCACUUAAGUGUGGCUUUGGGUAACUUGAGAUAGGGGUCAUUAAAUGAUUAAAAGACUUACUUGUCGCUUAUGUUCAUGUAUUGUACAUUGGUACUAGUUGAGUAUGUUUAUUAUGUGGGUAUUGUCUUAUAUGUGGAUGAUGACGUGAAAUGUGUCUCUUAUAAUUGUGAUAUGAAGGUUUUAUAAAAAAAAAAUGGCAUGAAAGUAUAUAUCUCAAAUAAAUGUCUGUUUUAGCAUGUUUUUGCAUGGUCAUCAUACUUAGUACUUAAUUGUGCUAAUUCCAUAUUUGCUCUAUUUUCUACAAGUGUAGGUUCCGGCAAGUGAGCGGGUUCUAUAGUAAGCUUGGGAUUUGAAGUUCUUCCUAGAUCUUGUGGUAUGUCCUCAUAUGUCGAGGACAAGACUUUUCUAUUAUAGUUUUAUGAUAAGGUUCAUGUAAUAGACUUAGUAGACUUCUUUUGAUUGUAAAGGGCCGUGCCCCUAGUAUGUUUUCAGGUUUAUGUCUAAGAUGGCUAAGAGACUUAGUAUUCCUCUUGUGUACCUUUGAAAGCUAUUAAAAAAAUAAUAAUAUGACAUUUGAGUCUUAUGGAUUUUGUUUUAAAGAGUUCUUAAUUCCGCACUAUUUUACAUAUCUAAUGUGAUGAAUGCUAAGGGCUUGUAUAAAACCUCCGAGAGGUUGAAUACGCAUGUUACGACUUGGGGGUGCUCUCGGGUUGUGACACCUUUCUACCACUCCGUUUUGCUGAGGUGAUCUGGGUGAAGAGAAAUUUUGGGUGAACCCAUUUUGAGCACAAAAAUCUUCAAAGGCUUUGUUCUCAAAUUCUCCACCAUGAUCGAUGUGGAUAGUUGUGAUGAAAUAACCUGCCUCUCUUUGAACUUUUCUACAAAAUACUUCAAAGUUAGCAAAGGUUUCAUUUUUGUGAGUGAGAAAGAUUACCUAUGUAAACCUUGAGAAGUCAUCAACAAUUAUGAAAACAUAUCUUUUAGCUCUAAUGUUGGCAGUUCGAGUAGGACCAAAAAGAUCCAUAUGAAGAAGCUAAAGGGGUUUAUAUGUACUUACAAUAUCAUUUCCUUUAAAGGAUGAGAGAGUUUGCUUACCCAAUUGACAUGCAUCACAUAUAUGAUUUUUCUCAAAAUUUAAUUUUGGUAGACUAAAUGACUAGUUCAAGUUUAGAUAAUUUCUCAAAAGCAUGUAUACUUGCGUGUCCAAGCUUUCGAUGCCAUAGCUAAGGAUCACUUGAGAUUGCAGUAAAACAAGUAAGAGAGGGAAAAUCAACAUUAUUUAAAAUAUAUAUACUGUUAACUCAAUCUCCAAUGAGGGUGAGCCUUUUCUCAGGAUGUUUGAUAAUGCAGCUUGUUGUAUUGAAAGUGACUUGAAAUUCGGCAUCCCAUAGUUGACUAAUGUUGAGGAGGUUGUGUUUGGGUCCUUCAAUCAAAUACACUUCAACUAGAUUGCAUGAUGAGCUGAGAGUGAUAUUUCCAACUCCGGAUACUUCUCCUUUAGCAUAGUCUCCAAAUCUUACAAAUCAUCCAUCGAUAUUUUUGAUGGUUUUGAAAUUUUCUUUUUUACCGCACAUAUGUCUGAAGCAUCCACUAUCAAGUACCCACAUCCCCUUUUUGUAGGUUUUCUUAGACACUCCUGCAGAAUAAUAAGUUUAGAUUCUUUUAGGUACCCAAGUAUUUUUGGAUUCUUGAUGAUAGUAAAUUUUGGUCUCCAAAUUCACUUUUCAAAAGAAUAUUUUCUAUAGUUAAACGAUUUGUGACCAAGAUCACCACAAAUAUAACAAGUAAUUUUAACAGAAGUUUCAGGAGAGUGAUAAGGAGAGUUAGAUAUAGAUCUGAUUAGGAGAUCUUCUCCUGUUAAAUGUAGAUCUGUUAGAUCUGACAGAGCUAUGGCUAGGAGAUUUUCAGAUAUUGUACAACUACAUUUUUACUUCCUCCAGUUCUUCUGCAAGUAAAUCGACUUCAAUCUGGCUUGCUUCGAGAAGAAUUUGUCAAUCUUUCUUUUCUUGAGCAAUUUUAUUGUAUUCAUCAAUGAAUUUCUGUAAUUCAUCAGUUACCAUAUCCAAAGAGUUUUGUAAGUCAUUACAGUUAGGGUAAUUAAAAGGCCUUACUUCACUUGUUUCACCUAGUGCCAUGAAGCAUAUGUUGGUGGUUUCAUCAUGAUCAUCUUUAGAUGUUUCUCCUUGAUCCCAAGCUCUGAGACUUUUUGAAUCUUCAUUUCUUCGAUUGUUUCUCCUUUUUCGUUCUGGGCAAUUUUGUUUGAUAUGUCCUGGUUUUCCACAAUAGUAGCAGUGAUCAUCAUUUCUUUUGAAUUCAUAGUUCUUGAAUUCUUGUUGAGGUCUUUGUCUUCUUUGUCUAAACAUUUGUCAGACUCCUCGAUUUAUGAGAGUCAUUCCUUUGUUUUGAUAUUCGUCAACUUCUUCCUCGACUUCGAAUGUUUCGGCUGUAAAGGCCACAAUUUUCUUUUUAUCAUCUUUGUUGUACCUGUUAAUAUGAUUUUGUUCAUAGGCCAUCAGGUUUCCACGAAGUUUAUCGUAGGUCAUUUUCUGCAGAUCUCCAUCUUAAAAAAUAACAGCUUUAGUCUCCAAGCCUUGGGAAGACUUCUGAUGAGUUUUCUAACUUGUAAUCCAUUUGAGUAGACCAUUCCAAGAGAUUUGAGUUCGCAAACAAUUUUGCUAAAUCUCGAAAACAUGUCUUCUACGUUUUCAUUUUCUGUCAUCUUGAAUAAUUCAUAUUCGUUAAUCAGUGAACUGAUCCGAGCUUCUUUUUCCUUGCUAGUUCCUUCAUAAGUUACUUCUAGCUUGUUCCACAUUUUUUUUGCAGUUUCACAUGUUGAGAUCUUGUCGUAUUCAGCUCCACUCACUGCACCGUAUAACAAACUUAUAGUUCUAGCAUUAGUUUGAACCACCUCUUGUUGCUCAUUUGUGAUAUCAAAGGACUCGGGAUCAAAUGGCAUAUUAGUGCCAUCUUUUCCCGUAAAUCCGGGAAUAGGCUUUGGACCUUUCUUGAUCACAAUCCAUGCUUGUAUGUCAUUUGAAGAAACAAAGAUUCUGAAUCUAUCUUUCCAAUGGGAGUAAUGUUGGCCAUUGAAAUAUGGUGGUCGAGUUGAGGAAUGUCCAUCUUGAAGUAGAGCACCAGGAAUUUAAUAGUGUUCCAUUGGAUCUUUGCUUACGUGUGGUUAAACACUUUACUAGUGAGACCUGCUCUGAUACCAAUUGAAAGUAAAGAGGGGGGGCUGAAUUAAAAUUUCUGUAGUUGACUUCCUGUAGUUGUCAGCCGACUCACCUGCAAGAUAGUAACACAAUUAUAAAAUAAUAGUAAGAGCAAUAAGUAAACAACGCAAAGAGUUUUAUAUUGGUUCGAAACACCGAUGUGGUGCCUACUUCCAGUCCCCUUAGGUUUCAAGGGUUUCCUUAAGAGCUUGAAGAGAACUCGGGUGGUACAAGAUAUUUCAACUGUAAAUCUUGUCUGAUAUGCAAAUCAGAACUUCUACUUUGACACAACCUCAACUCGUAUCACCUAUACUCAGUUUCUUCUUUCUCUUUUCUUUUUCAUUUGUAUACUCAUGAGAAUACAAUGCUUUUAUGAAAAACAACAUAAGACAAUAGUACAAGCUCAACUAAAGUGCGUACUUCACACUAAUGUAAAGGCAUGUUUAUGUAGGUAGGUGUAUGCUCUUUGAAAGGAAAAUACAAGGGGUAUUUCAAUCAAGGAUAUUGAUGGAUUCCUUAAUUGAGGCGAUUUGUUGAUAUGUGUCCAUAUUGAAUAUGUGCAUGGUAAAAUUGCUUUUCUUCAUUGGAGUGAUUUGCUGAUCCAUGUCCAUAUUGGAUAUGUGCAUGGUAAAAUCACUUCUGCUUUCUUCUUGUGAUGAUCUUCUCUAUUCUUGACUUAAUUGUCUCUUGUGAUUGUUGAUCUUCAGAUUUCAUUCAAGAUAGCCUUGGACCUAUUCUUCUUUCUUCAGGCAGUUUUGCUUGAGUCGUGGAUUAGAUUGCUGAUCUUCAGAUUUGAUUAUAAAUCAAGAUGGACUUGAUUUAACCGUUGCAAGGUUGUGCAAAUCUGUAUCCCUUUGAUUUAGGGAUCAUGUUUCUUUUCCUUCUUAGUGUUGCGUGCUUGGUUCCUUUCUUUUUGGAUUUCUUUACCUGCGAAGAGCAUAAAUAAUUAUCAAGUGUCGUUUAUCAAAAUCAACUUAUUCUAUGGAGUUAACACUUGAGUCAUGUCUACAAAUUUAAUUAUACUGAUUUAAGAAUAAACACUUGUAAAAAACGAUAUAGGACUAAAAACAAGUUUUUAAAGAAGUACAAAAUCAACUAAUCUCUACUUUAUCCAUGUGAAUCUGAUGGUUCAAUACUACCCUAAUCUUCUUUUAAAUCAUGAAUGUUACUUGUUAACCAAGUCAUGUUCCUCAUAUUCUCUCUUUUCGUUUGGAGAUAGAUGUGGAUUCAGACCACAAACGAAUUUUCAGUCCAAUUGAACUAUUAGAGCAGAUUAUGUGUGUUCUUUGAAUCUUUCCUACUUUAGCUACGAAGCAUGUCACUAUGCUUAACAAACAAAUUAGAAUUAGCAACCUUCGUUUGGUAACGGAACAAAUUAUCUCAGAACUAAUAAUCUCGGUAUUGUUGUUCCAUUUUCAACGUGAGAUAAAAAUAACAUUACAAUUACGUUGUCUCAAUCAAACAUAGAAUAAACUCAUCCUAAAGUUAAUUACCACUUAUCCAUUAUACCAAAUGAGCCAUUAGUUUAAUUCUCAUUCUCAUGCAUGCUCAUCUUUCUAGUAUACUCCCUCCGUCCCAUAUUAGUUGAUCAUUUUUGUUUUACACGCAUAGUAAGAUAUCAUAAAUAAGAAGAUAAUUUACUAAUUCACCCCUUGAAAUUUUUCUUGGAAAUUUUAUAAACUAAACACUUUCAAAAAGAAUUAAUUACAGAGAUAAUAUAAGAAAAAACUAAUUAAAAUUUUCUCAACUUAGUUAGGUGGACAACUAAUAUGAAAGAACUAUUUUUAGUAAGAUGGUCAACUAAGGAUCCGACUCCUCUCCAUUUUCCCCAAGUUCUAACUUGAAUUGGAGACACAUGUCAUAGUUUAGAAUUAAUGGUUGAGAUCUAAUUAAUUAAAGCAAAAUCCUAACCAUAGUUAUUUACUUUCAUAUAUUUGCUUCUUAAAUAUUUAUGCAAUCCAACAAUUCUAGAUUUAUAUUAUAUUUUUCCUAAAUAUAUUUUAAAGAAUUUCUUUUCUUAAUUGUAAUUUUUUGCUGAUUUUUUUACUUUUUUCCCUAACGUUUGCCAUUUCUCAAAUAAUAAUGUCAAAUUAAAAAUUAAAAAUUAAAAAUUGUGACCUGACAUUUUUUUUUUUAAUUUUAGGAGUAAAAUAAAUUUUAUUACUCAACUUUAAAUUCUUUUUUACUCCCUAAAUGGAGUUCAUAUUGCUCUAUAGACACUGUAGCUCUUAACACUCGAUUAGAAUAAUAAAAAUGUUUAACUGUAUUAUAAUUUUUUUCAAAAAAGUAAAAAUAUUUAGUAAAAGUUUUAAAUAUGUAUGCAGGGCAAGUAAAGAAAAGUUUUUAAUAUAUUUAGGGAAAAUAUAAUGGAUUGCAAAAAUAUUUAAGAAGUAAAUAUGUGAAAGUAAAUAAAUAAUUAUAGUUAGGACUUUGUUUUAAUCAAUUAGAUCUCAAUCAUUAAUUUUAAACUAUGACAUGUGUCUUUAAUCUAAGCUAGAACUUGGAAAAAAUGGAGAGGAGCCGAAUCCAUCAACUAAUAUGAGACGAAGUGAGUAUCUAAUAUUCUCCUAAACUAUCUAUGUAUAUAAUAAUAAAGACUAAAAUCCUCAAGGAUAUUAGGUACGUAACAUCAUAUCCAUAUAAUUCAGAUAGUAGUUGUAUGUGGAUAAGACGAAUGUCACAAUAAUAUAUGACACCAACAGUCUAACCGCAACAUUGAUUAGUAGCUUUACCAAUAACUAAUUAUCAAUAUUUUCUGCAGAUUAAUUAGUGGCUGUUACAUUAGGACAAUCACAAGCAAGGGCAAAAAUAUAAUGGCAGACCCACUUUCUUGACAUUGCCAAAUCACCAACUUCUUUAAGACAAAAAAAUAUAGAUAUUUGAAAAAAAUAUUUAUAGAUUGUUUUCUUUUGGGGAAGGUUAAUUAAUUAAAGAAAGCAAUAAAGUAGUCCACUUUAAUUAGAAUCAUGAAGGGUUCCUCCACUUUCCAAUGUAGGACUUCAAUAAAUUGCAUAAUUAACGAGGCUGACCUUUACAGGUUGGCAAAUUGAGUUAGGCUUAAGCAUCAAUCAGCACAAAUGACAAUGCUUCAAGCUUCUCUUAUCACAGUAAGGGUCGUUUCGUAGAGUGUAUUAGGAAAAAUACUAUAAGCAUUAGCUUUGUGUUUACUAGUACUUUAUUUGGUAUUCAUUUCUAAUUUAUGUAUAAUUAAUGCACUCUAUUGUGCAUUAAAAUAUGUAUUACUAAUACCAUAAAUUUCUAGGUAUUAACAAUGCAAUGGUUUUAAUGCAUGCAUUUGCUCAAUUAAAGACUCAUUUGCCCCUCAAAUCCCUUUUUACAUCUUUUCCAUCAUAAUAGUGGAGGGUAUCUUUGUAAAUUAUUUUUUAUGCAAUGCAUGUAUUCUUAAUGCAUCAAACUAAGCAUAACUAAUAUUCCCUUUGUCCCUAAUUACUUGUCCACUUUUUCUUUUUUAGUUAUCCCUAAUUACUUGUCCAUUUUGACAAAUCAAGAAGGGAUAAAAAAUUUUUUACCUAUUAUUAUCUCAACUAAUACACUCUAUUUAGCAUUAUUCUUAUAUACUCUACCAAACGACUCCUAAUAGUGUAAUUGUAACCGCUUAUAAUUAUAAAAUAAAAUAUAAUAAAAAUUGAACCUGGUGUUUGGUAUGAUCAAUGAUAAAAAUUAUUUACUAAAAAUUGAUCCUAGCUCUAGCAAAUCUUAUUAUAGUUUUAGUGCUCUAAUGAAUUUUUUUUAGAUUUAAUAAGGAUUUUGAUAGUGAUAUUAAUGUUUCAGUGUUGGUCGGGGACGUAUUCAAAGUUAAAGAGUCGAGAUAGUUUGAAAGAAAAAUAACUUCUUCGAGAGUAAAGUAAAUUAUAUUCAUCCGUUUAACAAUAGUUGUCCACUAUAUUAUUUUGGAAUGUUCAAUAAUAAUUGUCUAGUUUAUGAAAUUAAUUGAUAAUUUUACACUUAGUUCCUAAUUUGUCCUUAUCAUUAAUUAUAGUCAUUUCUCGAUUAUAUUUUUCUAGACAUUGUUUUAUUAUAUUCAAAAUGAUGAUAUAGUAAAAUUACCCUUCUAUUUAGAAUUUCUUAAGAAAUGUAUGAAGCCAAUAGUGGACAAGUAUUGUGGAUUGAGAAAAUAUUUCCUUAUUUGGUGAGAAAUACUUUUUGAAAAUCAAACACUAAAUUUUUUUUUAAAAUUCUUAAGAAAUUUUCUGGAAGAUGUUUAUGGUAAUACAAACACAAGUUAAGUUAAUACUAACUUAUAAUUGUGUGAAAUUUUUGUAACAUUAAAGAUGUAAUGAUUCUAAUACCAUCAUGAUGAAGUACUUCACCUGGUCAACCAAUCAAAAAGGUUGAAGGAAUCACCUUUUUACUUAGCAAGGUGUGUUAGGGGAUUCUUCUAGUAACUUAAAAAUGACCUUUUAUAGGGGGAGGUCUAAAAUCUUGUUUAAUUUCAACUUCUUUAAAAAAAAACAGAGAGUUUAACAACUAAUAAAAUAUAGGAAGAACCUUAUCGCUAGAGAGAAACAAGAUUGAUUUAAUUGAGUAGGACCAUUCACACAAAUCAGUUUCAUUCAUGUACCAGCUCUUUUUUAAAAAUAAAUAAAUAAAUGAAUGUCUCUUUUUUUUUCUUUUUAAUGAAUUUGUUACGAUCCGAGCCUACAUCCCGGAGGUGGCCGACACUCGAGAACCAUUGUUGGUCCCUAAUCGAACCCUCAUCUUGGUUGACUACAAGCGGAAGACUAACUCAAGCAUACAAAGCUUAAAAACUAAAUAAAGUUCAUUUAACUCAAUUACAAAUCUUUAACUCAAAUGAAUAACUUUGAAUAAAAAUAAUAUAUUCAACUCACCAUAAAAUAGGCAACUUAAGUCUUUAAAACAUUUAACAAGAUAAAUGAAACAGACUUCUCAAACUCUAUUGUUUAUCUAUGAAGCCUCUAAAUAACAAAGAUGGAAGUCGGGACAAGACCCACGACAUCCUGACGAAACUGAAAAGUAAAAUGAAAAUCCUCCGGAAGUAAGGAAGGCUCACCAUAGCUAACUCCAACUCCAUGUGGUAUCACAAAGCUCCCGUUGAUGACUCUGAAUACCCGUAUCUGCAUCAUGAAACGAUGCAGGCCAAAUGACUCAGUACGUGGAAUGUACGAGCAUGUAAGGGGAAUUCUAAAGCAUAAACAUAAGCUUGAACUUUUUAAAAAGGAAACAUACUUACCUCUUCUCAACUCACUCAAUUCAACUCAACUCAACUCAAGAAUAAGAUACUCAACUCAAAGAUAUGAUACUCAACUCAAGAUACUCAACUCAAGAUAAAGCAACAAUAAAAAUGUAAUAUAUGGAAAACUUUUAAAACAGUAAGCAACUCAAUGUAUUGAAAAAUACAAUAACAACUCAGUUUGUAUUUAAAAAUACAAUAUAACUCUGUGUAUAUAAGAAUACAAAAUAUCUCUGUGGGAGUUUCUCUAACCGACAACCAUCACUAUGAGCUAUGUGAUGAUACAUCGUCUCUCCCAUGCUACCAGAAUUGUCUUAUACCUUGCCAGGGUAUAGAUACUCCUCAACUAAGUGGAUUCACUAGUCUAUGCUAAAAAGCAUUAAAGAAUCAUCUAAAAAGUAUGACAUUUUCUACCCACGUUGGCAACAUGGUUUAUGGAGAUGAGUUAUCUGAACUCGUCCCCAUAUCGGAGCUCAAUACUACUCCCAAAAAUAUACUCAACUCAUAUGUUUAAAAACAUAACUCUUUCUCUGGUUUGGGAUAAUUGUUCAAACUACCCUCUUAAAAGAGGUAACUACUCUUGAAAUAACUUUUCAACUCAUAACUUAUUUAGAAAUCUCAGUUUCUCUUUUAUCAAUGUAAAAAUUGAUGCAUCUGGGCAUACAUAGUCCCCUUAUACUCAUACUUGAAAAUUCUUUCUCAAAAACAUUUCAAAAUCAUAUUAUUAUAUGAUCAUUGAUGACUCGGGAAGUCAUCUGCAUAAACAUUGAUGAUAUAUCUAAUACCAUACUGCUCAUACAUUAAUGGCAUACUCAAUUGUCAUACUAACCAUGCUUUAGAAACUCUUUUCUCAAAACUCAUCUUUACUUUCUCAAAACUCAGUUUAAGAACGGAACUGUUGGCUUUAAAAAGGUUUUAAAAAUUUAUAACUCAAAUCAUAGGGUUCAUGCGGAACUAUGGACAUGAACGACUCAACUCGAGAAUGUUAAUGAUACCCCUCAUCUCAAGACUACUCGACUCAUAGGGUUCAUGCAGAAUUAUGGGCAUGAACUACUCAACUCAAGGACCUUCAUUGGUAACAUGUAGUAGCCCCAUGAUUAAGAAUAUAAUCCCAAAAUUAUUAGGAACUCAAUACUCAAAACUUAGAACUUGAAGAUACUACUCCUCUCAAAGAUACUCAACUGAUGGAGUUCAUGCGAAAUUUAUGGGCAUGAACGACUCGACUCAAGGGUCUAAAUAGCAAUAUGGAACUCAUGUAUACGACUCUUCUCAUUCUCAAACUUACUUCCUCAAAACUCAGUUUAAAACUCAAGUGUUGCAUUGGCUUUGAAAAACUUCUCAAGAUUUAUACUCAAACUAGAGUUGAUUUAUAGACAUGAACAAAUCAACUCAAAGAUCUCAAUAAAAAUAUAGAAACUCAAUAAUUAGGAANNNNNNNNNNNNNNNNNNNNNNNNNNNNNNNNNNNNNNNNNNNNNNNNNNNNNNNNNNNNNNNNNNNNNNNNNNNNNNNNNNNNNNNNNNNNNNNNNNNNNNNNNNNNNNNNNNNNNNNNNNNNNNNNNNNNNNNNNNNNNNNNNNNNNNNNNNNNNNNNNNNNNNNNNNNNNNNNNNNNNNNNNNNNNNNNNNNNNNNNNNNNNNNNNNNNNNNNNNNNNNNNNNNNNNNNNNNNNNNNNNNNNNNNNNNNNNNNNNNNNNNNNNNNNNNNNNNNNNNNNNNNNNNNNNNNNNNNNNNNNNNNNNNNNNNNNNNNNNNNNNNNNNNNNNNNNNNNNNNNNNNNNNNNNNNNNNNNNNNNNNNNNNNNNNNNNNNNNNNNNNNNNNNNNNNNNNNNNNNNNNNNNNNNNNNNNNNNNNNNNNNNNNNNNNNNNNNNNNNNNNNNNNNNNNNNNNNNNNNNNNNNNNNNNNNNNNNNNNNNNNNNNNNNNNCAUGAAAUCUUUAUGGCCAAGAAUUAUGAUUUUCAUUAGUGAAGAUGAAAAUCUGAUUGUUUUGAGCCUUUUAUUAGUCAAGAAAUUCGUUUAAGGUUUUUUUGGAGGUAAAAAAACAAAAACGACAUUUUUUAAUGUUUUCCCGUCGGCUAAUUCGUAACAACACUGUAUCAUGUUACUAAAAUAGUCAUAACUUUUUACUCAGAAAUUGGAUUGACGCGAAAUUGGCGGCGUUGGAAAGUAGAUUCAAAUACCUUUAAUUGGAUAGGUUAUGUCUCACGUAACUAUUUAUAUUCUAAGAGAUAUGGUCGUUUGAAGUUGACCCAAGUAGAAUCUUAUAUCAAAACAUAAUCGAUAAGGAAACUUCAAGAACUCAUCAAAAAAUUAAAUUGCUCAAUAUUUAUGGAUAGAUUCGCAAAAGAAACUCAUGAUUGACGUGUGAGUGAACAAACCCAAUACUAUAGAAGCUUAUAUACCUCUUAUGGAUUAAACCCAUGGCGAAAAUCCGCAACAAAACUCAAGAACGUCGACGAACGCCUUGAUCCUUUCCUCUUUUCUCUUCUCUUCUCUUCUUGAACUCUCAACUAAAACCCUAGGCGUAUAUUAGGAUUAUAAAACUGAACCUAAUAGGAUUAGACCCUUAAAACCUUACCAAAAAUGAAUUAAAUCAGAUUGGGUAACGAAAAGACCAAAAUAUCCCUUACUAUUUUCGGGCAACUUUUCUUAAUUGGACAACUUGACUUCAAAAGGGCAUAUGUCACUCCUUCAACCUCGAAACUUAGCAAACUCAAUAGCGUUGGAAAGAUAAUUCAAAGAACUUCUAUUAGCUAUCUUGUAGACCACCUAACUCAUCUUGUACUGAGAGUUAUGGUCGUUUUAAGUUAACCCAAAAUUCAUAACUUAAGUAUAACUUGCAAAAUUUCAGAUUUUGCUAUUUCCAAUUUAGCUCUUUUUGGAACUCAAGGUGCUACAUCUAGUGACCUUAACACUGAAGAAAUUUUAAAUUUCUCGGAAAAACUUACUCACUACGAAGGAUGGUUCAAGUCUUAGCUCAAAGGUUUUUUCUGGGGUGUUACCGAAUUUUUGGCCAAAGUUAUUAUAUUUGAGAAUUGAGGGUAGGUCUAGCUUUGUCCUAUGUUAUCAAGUGUUAGUGUAACAUUUUAAUAUUAAUAAAAAUAUAUCAGAUGUCACAUUAUGUAUCAUGUUAUGUUUAUUGAUGUACAUUCUCAUUUAGUUGGUGAUAAAAUGUGGUAAUAAGUUUCUAUGAAACUCCUAUAACCACUAACUCAUUAUUCUUGUAACUAAUGUAACAUCUAGGUCAUUCACCUACCCCAUUAUCUUCCUAUUCACUGGAAGGAAAAUUUCUUCUCUUAUACAUAGUGGUUUUCCUUUGGGUUUGAGAAGUUCAAGAGUUGUACAAGAAAAUAUAGAGUGAAAAAGAUGAGUAGUAUUUUUAUUUCGUUUUUAUAUUGAGAUUAGUGUAGUGAAAGAGAGAGUUGAGACAUAGAAAAAUAUUCUAAGUCUUCAACUAUAUUCACUAUACAAAAGAGAGUAAUUAUAUGUUGAAGAAGUGUUCUUUUAUGGAGCUUUGGACUCUUAAAUUAAUCCGGAGUUGUUUGAGUUGUAUGAUGUUGUUGGGUUGUUAUAUCCUGGAGGGGAUAAGUCAAGAGUAAUAAUAUUGAAUUGGUGUAGAUUAUGCCAUAGUGGAUUUGAAUCUCCUUAAAAAGAGAAAGAUAUUGGCGUCUCAGCCUAAAAAUUUGUUUAUUCAUUUUUGUUUUUUUAUUUUCAACUAUAAACUAUUGUAUUUGUGGUAUAUUAUCCCAACACUAUGUAUGUAAAACUUGAGCAUUUUUAGUCUUUAUAACAGAACAUGUACACAUUUGUUUGAAAACUAACAGAUAUUUGACACAUGAGACUUGAAUAAAAGACAACUCAACUAUGUUUCUCCCCAAAUCAAUUGAUUUCCCUGUACCUUCAAGAAUCCUCCUUCAUACGAAUCUCUCACGUACUGAUUCCUUUCCCCCCCUUAUUUAAUUUAGAGAUAAAUAUUAUAAACACCUUUUAAUCAGUGUAAAUUAUUAGUUUUAUUUCUAAAUUAUUGAAAUAGUUAAAGACAUUCAUUUACUUGGCUAAUUAAAUAUAAAUAUUCUUUCGAUCUUGUAAUAUGAGUAAAAUACACUCCGCAAUUUUCGUCAAGUUUAGCAGUGUGCUACACUUCUCUCGGUUUUCAUGUUUCUACAAAAGUUUGAGACUAUUUGCUAUAUAAUGUGACAGAUUAGGGGUUUGUCAAUAGUUUCAGGACGAAACUAAGUUUUGACCCGCUAAAAUUUUAUGCAUUAUUUUUUUUAAAGAAAAGUUUGUCCUAUUUGGUCCCGCUCUACCCCAUAUUCUUCUAUACAAAAUGUUGAUAUGGAUCAAAAAAGGAUAAUCCAAAUGAGGGUAUAAUUGUAAGGUUUCUUUUAUCGAAUAGAUCACUAGCACAAGUAAAGAAAAGAUUGAGUAAUUUAUUAGUUUAAUCAAGGAGCAGAAGAUGCCUAAAAGAAUGUGGCCAAAAAUAGUUGCUUUGAGCAGUUCAAAAUGCAUGUGUACUUAUAUUAUAUAUACAAGUCGUGGAACUUUGUGUUAAGAGAGCUCAACAUCUCUUCCACUAUUCCUUUGAAGAACAAUCCCACAACAACUCACGUCACUUCAAGUCUUAAAUCUUGUUGGAUGCAUCCCAAAUGAAAACAAUUUGAGAACAGCUCAUAUAUAUACCAAGGAAAUUAUGGAUUGCCACUCUCAAAACAUUGAUAAUCGUGAACACUCAACGCUAACUAACAUAACCACAUAUAUUAUGAAAUCUGUCUAUAUGAUCAUUUUGUAAGUUGUGAUAACUAAAGAUUACAACUUUAACACGUACGAGAGUCGCACACUUUAUAAGAAUAAAAAAAUACAUAAGAUCUCAUGGUAAUCAAAAGAACGCAUGCAUACAAUAACUCAUCUGUUAUAAUAUAAUAAAGAACACGAGUACUGAUAGCUAGCUAGCACUGUUUAGACUUGUGUUAUGAAUAAACGAAAUGGAUAUAGAAAAACCGCGUUGGAAGAAGGCAUACAUGUCUUUAGGAUCGGUUCAUCAUUUAAAGCCUUUACAGGUUGAUAUGAUCUCUCUGCAAAGAACAUUUAUUGGAAUAAAACAUAACAUUUCUAAAAGGAAAUUUAAUGUACGAAAGAAUUCAAAGAAGCAUACCUCAACCAUAGAAGUAUACCUCAAGCUUGUUUUCUCCGGUCAUUUCUUCAACAUAUUCCUUAAUAUUGAAGAUCGACUCUUUAAGCUGAGGGUUGUACGAUACAUUGAUAAACUUUAAUGACGCAAUAUCUCCAAAACUGUCUGGGAUGUCCAUAAGCUCAUAACAUCUACUUAUAUCUAGUUUCUCAAGCACGGGAAAGCAUUUCUCUGCAUCAACCUGCCAUUCAGAAAAUUGCAUACUAGCCAAUUUUAGAUAUUUGAGAUUCUGGAAGGUGACAUCUUCCAUGUUCCAUUCUUUCCCCUCCUCAAUGAUUGUAUCUUCUAGAAUUAGUUCUUCAAGGUUGGGUAGUCUAGCAAUUCAAAGGGAAGCCGUAUGUAUAUUCAUCGAAUGAAUCCCAAGAAGAAGAUAAACGGAGUUCUUCAAGUUCGUUAAGGACAUCCAACCUUGGAAAAAAAAUCUUCUCUCCUGAACAUUCUCGUAUGAUAGAGACACUAAGGAUUUGAAGAUUAGGAAACCUUUUGAAAAUAUCCUCUGUGUCUUCUGAACUGAAAAGGCAGAGCUCAUAUAAUGUUGUCAAAUUUUCUAACCUUGAGUCCUUGUCUAACACUGUUGGUUCGUUGAUGUACAGAUCAAAGAGAGCACAAAACUUUAUCCGCACAUCUCGUAGCUUUACAAGGCUCCAAAAACAAGGCGAUAGUACCAUGCAUGAUCUCUCCAGGUUAUUCACCGCCAGAAUUUCUAGACUACAGAGGUUUGAAAAUGACGGAGUGAGAGCUUUUGCCUUCGUCUGAAUGAUUAAGUACUUCAAAUGAACGAGCAUACCGAUUUCAUUCAGCAAAGAAUCUGGAAAUGUUAUGCCCUGCAAAUCCAAACUUUUAAGAAGCCUCAAGUGUUUUAGGUGACUGUUGGAGGAAAGACAAUGCUCAUCAACCUUCAGAGAGAGGAGGUGUUUAACAUAAGGAUUCUUCAUUUUUGGAUCAAACACGACAAAAUUUUCAUCGAAAUGACAUAGAUAUUCAUUAAAACGAAAGAUAAUUCCACGUGGCAUAAGAUCCGAAGAAGAAGAAGAACAGGAAGACAGAGCUUUUGAACCUCCUAUGAAGUGAAGCAACUUUUCCUUUCUAGAUUUUAUAUAACAAAAGUCAUGCACAAGAUCAUGAAUUUUGCAAUUAGAAUUAUCCAAAAGGUAUUACCAAGCUACUGUAAAUUAACUCAUCCAUUACUUCUUCUGCACUUUUCAUCUCAAUCUGCUCCACAAGUCCUAGAUCAAUCCAUAAAUCUUUCAACACAGAGAUCCUUAUAUCUUCGUCCUUUGGAUAACUUGCAAGGUAAACCAAACACGGCUUUACGUGAUCUGACAAAUGGUCAUAACUUAAUUGUAUAACCUUCACCACUUCCUCUUCAUCCUUAAAAAUAAAGGAACUCAAAUUAUUCAGAACUUCAAGCCACAAAGCCUCUUUCUUUUCCUUUCUUGAAAUGACUCCACCAAUUAGAUCAAGUACUAAAGGAAGCCCAUUAAACUUUCGAGCUAUCUUUUCCCCAACAUCCUUUAGUUCAUCAGGGCAACGUUCUUCUCCGAAUACCCUUUUCUCUAAUAACUCCCAACUUUCUUCUGAUCUUAGGAAUCGAAGAUACAAAGGAUCACUUUGGCAUUUUCCAUGCAAAGCAACUUCCUUUUUCCGACUUGUUAAAAUCACUCUGCUUNNNNNNNNNNNNNNNNNNNNNNNNNNNNNNNNNNNNNNNNNNNNNNNAUAUCCCACAUGUCAUCCAAGACAAUAAGGUACCGCUGUCCACAUAGUUUUUUUCGCAGCUUAUCAGCAACGUCAUCAUCUAUGUUAUUCUCACUGAAUCUUUCUUUCAAACCAAUAACUUGAUUGAAAAUUUUCUGCAACAACUUUUUCUCAUUACGUUCCUGGUCGACUGUGCACCAAGCACAAACAUCGAAAUGAUCAACAAUGGACUUAUCAUUAUACACUCUGUAAGCCAAAGUAGUUUUUCCAAGCCCUGGCAUGCCAACAAUGGAAAUGACAUCUAUCUCAGCUGGUCCGCUGGUGAGCUUCCUAAUUAUCCACUAUGUGUCUCCUCCUCAAAACCUACAAUUAUUUUACCAACUGUAUUCGAUGAGUUUAUUUCAACCAGGUUGUUGGGAGCGUUUGCAACAAUAAUAUCGCUGCUCUUGGGGAUCUUCUCUUGUACCUCUUUUUUGACAAGCUUGAUCUUUUCUACGGUAUCAGGAAGUAUGAAGAUAAGCUGCAAUAGACCAUGAUCUCGGGCAAGAAUUGACAUAAUGACAUGUUCCGCCUCAUAUGCCACAUCUAGAACACGCGUCCAAAGAUCUCUAUGAAACUCUUGCUCAACAUACCCGAAGAACGAUCUUAUAAUUUCCAGGUCUUCUUUCACCUGCUUAAUUUCUUCUUUUAUCAAAGCAACUGAAGAACCAUUAGAAUUGACCAAGUCGUUUAAGUUUGAGAGUAGAAGAGUCAUGAAGAGCGGUCCAUUACUCAUGGGGAAGCGGAGCCGAGAUGAGUCUGCACAGGCUUUCAAGAAAACAUUCUUCAGAUCUUCCUUGAGGAGUUCAAUAUUUUCCAGCAAGUUUAGACCUGGACCGCUUGUUGCGUUCAUAUUCUCUUCUAAGUUGCGAUCAAGAACGAAUACCUCCUUGGUAAGUUCUCUAACACGUUCCAAGAGAACAAACAAUUUGUCAUGACGAUGUUACAUAUAGAAGCGCUAGGAGUAACAGUAUUAACCAUGUGCUCUUGUAGAUGAAUCAGAGAUUCACUAAGAAUGUCUGGAGAGGCUUCUACGAGCUGCUUGAUGAAACGUCCAACUUCUUCUGACUUUGAACCUUUCAAAUUUGUACAACAUAUGUGCAUAACCUCCAGUUCAACAGGAAUAACCUGCACAAGUAGAUUAGCUAGCUUGGAGUUAACUCGAGAGACAUCUGAUUCAUCAAAUUCGCCAAGUUGACAGUAGAAAAGAGUAAAACAGAAGUUUACAACUCUCUGAGCCAUAAGUUGAAGAUGAGGUAUGACAUAUUCGAUUGUCUCAUACUCAACGCAACCAUUUACUUUCAACCUAUGGAAAUCUCGUAAAUUGCCAAAUACAUUAUGCAGAAGCUCAUAUUGAGUCAUUGAUGUAAAAAUAAGCUCAGAACACAACUUGGGUAGAUAUUGGAGAUAGACGAGGAUGGCAUCCAAAAGUUCAACCAAACGAUCCUCAAUCGUGGUUACAUGACUUGGUUCAGCAUAGGUCAUAUAACUUUUGAUAUUUUCAAAGAGAUCAUGAUAAUUCAUAUUAACGAGCAUGUCUUCGCCAUGUCGAUGCAAAAGUGACUGAACCAGAUCAUGAAUCUCAUUUGAUAUGCAAGACAUUUUGUCAUUACAACCUUCUGAAAAGAAAGAGUAAUAAAGAUGAAAAAAUCCGGACACAAACAUCAGCUCCAAUGUCAAAUCUUCAAUUUGAUCUAUGUCAAGGGAAGUUAGAACACACCCAUUCCUUAGCCUCUCUAUGAAAUCUAGAAGAUUGACAAUAUCCUUGUGAAGUACAACGGAUGACACCUGCCAAAACACCAAUGUUGUUUCAAAUUAUGUUAAUACAUAGAUGGUGAUAGUUUAGAUAGAAAAAGGGAACACCUGAUAGUUACGUGUGAAACUCACUGUAAAGUACAGAGCCAAUGAAUCAAUUUCAUUGUUCUAUUAUUCCAAGAAUAAGAACUAUUUAUAGGUGUACAAGUAAAUCUAUCUAAGGAAAUAAAAUCAGAAAAUAUCCCUAAAUAUCUCUAAGAUCCCUAAAGAUCUCUACCUAUGAUUAUGCUAUGAAUAUUAUGAUUAGAUAUGAUUAUGUACAUUUUGUAACACUCCCCCUCAAGUUGGAGCAUAGAUAUUAAUCAUGCCCAACUUGUUACAAAGAUAUUCCACCCGAGUUCCAUUCAAAGCCUUCGUGAAUAUAUCACCCAAUUGCUCUCCUGUCUUCACAUAGCCAGUAGAAAUCACGUUCUCUUGAAUCUUCUCACGGACAAAAUGACAAUCAACCUCAAUAUGUUUUGUCCGUUCAUAAUACACUGGAUUUGAGGCAAUAUGUAGAGCAGCUUGAUUAUCACACCAAAGUUUUGCUGGAAAAGAAGGAUUCAAACCAACCUCAGCUAAAAGGUGUUGUAUCCAUAGUAUUUCACAUGUGAACUGAGCCAUAGCUCUAUAUUCAGCCUCUGCACUAGAUCGAGAUACAACAUUUUGUUUCUUACUCCUCCAAGAUACUAGAUUUCCACCAACAAAGACACAAUAGCCAGUAGUCGAUCUUCUAUCAAUUCUUGAUCCUGCCCAAUCUGCAUCUGCAAAGCAUUCAAUACGAGUAUGUCUAUGGUCGCUAUACAAUAUGCCAAGGCCAGGGGCUCCUUUCAAAUAACACAGAAUUUGUUCCAAGGCAGCCCAAUGUUUGACAGUUGGUACACACAUGAAUUGACUGACAAUACUGACUGCAUAGGCAAUAUCUGGCCGAGUCACAGUAAGGUAGUUCAGUUUCCCAACCAACCUUCUGUAUCUUUCUGGAUCAUCAAAAGGGUCUGCAUCAUCUUUAGUAAGAUGUGCAUUAGGAACCAUUGGUGUGCCACACGGUUUUGCUCCCAACUUACCAGUUUCUGCAAGUAGGUCAAGUACAUACUUCCUUUGAGAUAAGAAAAUCCCUUUCUUGCUUCUAGCUACUUCUACACCCAAGAAGUAUUUCAACUGUCCCAAGUCUUUGGUAUGAAACUUGGCAUGUAAAAACUGCUUGAGAGAAGAAAUUCCAGUACAAUCAUCUCCUGUAAUAACAAUAUCGUCAACAUAGACAACUAGAAGAAUAAUACCAGCCAUUGAUUGUCUAUAAAAGACUGAAUGAUCACACUUGCUCAUUUUCAACCCAAAUUCUUGAACUACAUCUCUAAAUUUUCCAAACCAGGCACGAGGACUCUGCUUUAGACCAUAUAGAGAUUUUCUUAGAUGACAAACUUUUCCAUACUCCCCCUGAGCAACAAACCCAGGUGGUUGCUCCAUAUACACCUUUUCAUGGAGAUCACCAUGAAGGAAAGCAUUCUUGAUAUCCAGUUGAUGCAAAGGCCAAUGUUGAGAAGCAGCCAAGGAAAUAAACAAACGAACAGAGGUGAGCUUAGCUACGGGGGAGAAAGUGUCCGAAUAAUCUACCCCAUAAGUCUGAGCAUAGCCUUUAGCCACAAGUCUAGCCUUAAGUCUUGCAAUAGAACCAUCAGGAUUGACUUUGACUGUAAAAACCCAUUUGCAUCAUACUGCUUUCUUUCCUUUGGGUAAAUCCACCAAAUCCCAAGUAUGAUUUUCAUCUAGAGCAUGUAUCUCUUCAAGCAUUGCAUCACGCCAUCCAGAAUUAGUCAAGGCUUCUUUCACUGUUUUAGGAAUAGAGACAGAGUCUAGAGAGCUAAUCAAACAACUAGAUGCAGGAGAUAAGUGGUCAUAAGAAACAAUGUUAGCAAUGGAAUAUGUGGAUUUACACUGACAUGUACCUUUCCGAAGAGCAAUAGGAAGGUCAAAAUUUUCUGAAGAAUCAAGUGGAGAAGGAACUAAUGAAGAAGGAGAUGUAGGACUAACAAAAUAUUUAUGCCCAGUUUUAGAAACAACGGGACAUGGUCCCCAAACAUCUGAAUGUACUAACUCAAAAGCAGACUCAACUCGAUUAUUAACCCUUGGACCUAGUGAGAUGCGAUGGUGCUUUGCAAAUUUACAUGACUCACAUUCCAAUGAGGAAAUAUGCUGAAACUGAGGACAAAGCUUUUUCAACAAAGGUAGAGAAGGAUGUCCUAAUCGACAAUGUGCUUCAAAUGGAGAUACGANNNNNNNNNNNNNNNNNNNNNNNNNNNNNNNNNNAGAUUCCCAUUCAUCAAGGAUAUAUAGAUCAUCAGAUACAUGUCUUUUACCAAUAACCUGAUUUGUAGUAAGAUCACGAAACAAACAAUAAUCGGGAAAGAAAGUGAUAUAACAAUGAAGGUCUCUAGUAACUUUACUAACAGAAAUCAGAUUAAAGGCCAAUUUUGGUAGACUUAAUACAGAUGACAAGGUAAUAGACGGGACAUGGUCCCGAAACAUCUGAAUGUACUAACUCAAAAGCAGACUCAACUCGAUUAUUAACCCUUGGUGUGGUUGAUCCAUCAGCUACUGUACCUAGAGAGGGUACUUUGUGUGGCUGAAAACUAGAAAAAAUAUUAGGAUUACUUGUCAUAUGAUUGGUGGCACCUGAAUCAAUCACCCAUUUAUUUGAAGAGGUGAUAAGACAUGCUUUAUCGGACUUGGGAAAAGCUUUAACCGAAGUGGAUUCCUUCAAUAAUUUCUUAUAUUGAGAGAAUUUAGAGAACUCCUCAACCGAAAUCAAAACCAUUUUGUCAGAAAAUGGACUAGAAGCAGCAACCACCUCACUUUGAUCAGUCAUUUUUUUUCCAACUAAAAUGCUCACUGUAUCAGAUCAAAUUGAUGUUGAAACCAAUAGAACAUCCCAAGUAGGCUGUAUCUGAAAGUCACACUAUACCCAAAAGGAAAGACAAACAGUAGCUAACGGGCAGACAAAAUCUUAAGGUUGACAACCAAACUUGAAAUUGCACUUCAAAACAAUUUUCCAAAUGAGCAGCAGAUAGCCUCCAAAACAAUAUCAAGUUCACAAAUUGUGGAGCAAUCAUUCAACUUACUGUUGCACUUUGCAAACAGUCUCCAAUCGUAUAUCAGAAUGAAAGACUAAAUACCAAUAAACAGAGAAGUGUCAAACCUGACCAAUGAGAGUGCACAAAUUCUAUUUCAAGGAUUUUCUUCUCCAACAUAUGGUCCGAUGAUUAGAGGACCACCACAAAUCGUCCAGAAAUGUCAAGCCGAAAUCGUAACAGAAUACCAGACCAAGAUAGAUCCACCACGUACGCACCUUCACGUGCUUCAAGAUCUGCAAUGUCUCCAACAACUUUCUUGGCGCGUGAGUCUCACGCUCUUCUCCUCUGACCACCGGAGUCUGGUGUUUGUAUAUCAGAGGAGUUCUAAUCUAACUCAAACAAAGCAGUAUUACCCGCUAUGAUACCAUGUAAAGUACAGAGCCAAUGAAUCAAUUUCAUUGUUCUAUUAUUCCAAGAAUAAGAGCUAUUUAUAGGUGUACAAGUAAAUCUAUCUAAGGAAAUAACAUCAGAAAAUAUCCCUAAAUAUCUCUAAGAUCCCUAAAGAUCUCUACCUAUGAUUAUGCUAUGAAUAUUAUGAUUAGAUAUGAUUAUGUACAUUUUGUAACACUCACAAAAACGUGAUAGUUCAUAUCCAAAAAGGGAACAACUGAUAGUUGAGAUGUGAAACUCAUGAAAACGUGAUAGUUCAAAUUGGAAAAGGGAACAACGGAUAGUUGAGUUGUGAUCAAACUCGCGAAAACGUGAUAGUUUAUGUAUGUUUUGAUUAUUAACUCUAAUUUUCAGUCUUAAAUUACAACAGGCAACUAUCACAAGUGCAGAAGACUUUCUCCAGACUAGCCUAAUAGAGAAGCCAAAUGUUUGUCCUGUUACACCUCAAUUCUUAAAACAAAAAAUGACAGUCUGGUGCACUAAGCUCUCUCAUUGUUUACGCGCUAUCUCUCUAAACAAAAGCUCUUACUUUCCUAGUUCUUAAGCCAUUCCGAAUAUGUUGUACUUAGGCCACCAAGGCCUGAUUCUCAGGAUCUAAUACAAGGUUUGAUUAUAUUCUUGCCCUUAUAUUCAUCUUUUUUAUGGCCAUGGUGUUAAGGCCAAAUUUCACGCACCUCGACUAAUUCCACGAGAUAUCUGCCACCUCCCACUAGCAACAAGUACCAGGCAACUCUGCCCAUCAAGGCUAGAACCUUAUAUUCACUUUACCUUGCUAUUUUUGUGAUUUAUGUCAUUUCAUUUACGAGAUCAAUCUAACUCGCCUGUCCUUAAAUCAAUUUGAUAGAUUCAACAAUAGCAGAUGAUUUAGUGCAUAGUUUAACUUAUAUCAGGAAGAUUGAAUCAUUGAUUCUUAUAAGUUAUAAAGAUUAUAUUCACCAUCUAAGUUACAUAAAGCAACAAACAUACUUACAAGAAUAUAUUAAUUAUGUGAAGGAAAAAAAUAAGUAAAUAUUAUAUGCAACAUACCAAUGAUUUGUUUUCCCCUUUUGUUUGUCCUUCAUUUUCUUUUCCUCUUUCCAUUCUCACUAAUCGAGCCAAAAUAGUUAAUUUUUUUCUUCCUUCCGUUCAACUUCUCUUUUUCAAUAGAAACAAUUUACAUCAAACUAAGAAUGUAAGGAAAAUUGAAGAUAAAGCCUAUUGAUAAUGUCUCACUAUGUGGUUUCCUAUUUGGUCCUUGCACUUUUAGAAUAUAUUUUUCGGAAAAGGGUCAAAAAUGUCUUAAACUGUGUGAAAUGAAAAAAAAUAUUUUCCGUUUAUAGUUUGACUCAAAAAUAUUUUGGUUGUCAAGACUUUGGUUCAAAAAUGUCCUUGUAGUCAAUAUUUUGGUCCAGAAAUGUCCCUAUAGUAGUUAAAUUGGUCAAAAAUGUCCUUUUUCAAAUAAAUAUAUUAUUUCUUUUCUUUUUAAACACAUCUUCUUCCGAAUUAAAAUAUAUUUAAAGAACCAUAUUCUUGUUUUCUUUCUUUUAAAAUCACUUUAACAAAUAAAAAUAUAUGAAACAAAUUUCUUCUUAAUCUUAUUUUAUCAAUUAAAAUAGAAUAACUUCACGUACCCUUUCGACGGAUAAUAUAUGUCAUAUAUAUAAGAUCAUAGUAUAUUCAUCAUUAACUUUUAUUUAUAUAACGAUAAAAAAUAAUUAUAAUAAAAUAAGAAAUAUUUGUAUUUUUAAUUUUUUUCUGAAUAUAAGUAGGAUAAACAUUUACUAAUUUUAAAGAAUAAUAUUAGAAAAAGAAUGUCAAAAAGAAAAUAAAUAAUAUAUUUAUUGAAAAUGGGCAUUUUUUACCUUGACACCAAAUUUUGUUCUUCAUUUCUUCUAAUUUAUUUCGUUGAGCUUCUAAAUUGCUAAUAAGUCGAAUACUUUAUAAUUCACUAUUAUUUUCCAUUUAUCACUAUUGCUAUCAUAAUUAUCUAUAUUACUGUAACUUUUAUUAUUUUUAUGAUUAUCAUCUUUUUAGUAUCAUUUAAAAUUAUAUUUUUAUUAUCAAUAUUACUAUUAUUACUUUAAUGUCGUCUUGUUUAAAAUAGUAUGUCGUUACUUUAUUUCAAGUUUCUUACUUACUAAAACUUUAUAUAAUAUAUUAUUGUAUUGAUUAAAAACUAGAAUCUCAAAGAUUUAAUUUAAGAAAGAAAAAGGUAAGACCAUAAAAUUGGGCCUAAUUGAAUUUCAAUUGGACCAAAUAUUCAGCCCAUUUUUGAUGUCUAAAAUAGGCCCAAAUCCGUCAGCCCUCUUCAUAACAAAAUAAAUAGGGGAACUUUCACAAAUAACCACUAUAAUAAACUUAAUUAUGAUUCAUAGUUAUAGUUUGCAUAUUUACGGGUUGUAACUACAAUUUAAGUUGUCUCGUUUGUAUAAUAUGCAGGUACAUUUGUAUAAUUUAGUUAUUUUUGUAUAAACUCGAAAUAACGAGUUUAGACAAUAACAAACAUCAGAAGUGUAAGCAGUUAUACAAAUUAUAUUAUACAAGUUUCGAAUUAUACAAAAGUUAUACAAAUUAUAUUAUGCAAAUUUUGAAUUAUACAAAAGUUAUACAAAUUAUAUUAUACAAAUUUUGAAUUAUACAAACGUGUAAAUUAUACAAAAUAAAAAAGUUGAGUCACAUAAUUAUAGCUAAAAGUAGGUCGCAAAUUGUAAUUAAAAUAAACUAUAGUUAUAACUAUACAUAUAGGCUAUAUUAUAUUAACUAAUUAGCUAGUAUAUAUUUGCUUGUAGGCGUAAUUUUCCCAAAUUAUUAUCAGAAAUAAGUUCAGCCCAAUCUAUUCUAUCAUUAAGACUCAUAGUGUCACAGACUGAGUUUUCGCUAAAGCUCCGUGCGGCGCUUGACAACUUACUCACUACUCUUGCAAGAUCUUGUACGCUCAAGCAAGCCUUUAAGACUAAGAUCGCUAAGACAAUGCAAAGAAAGACUUAGAAAGAAUAAGAGAGCUUUUGGAGGAAGGCUUUUGUAUUGCUUGUGGAAUGCUUUACAACUUGAGUGAUGCCUUGCAAAUGAAUGGCACCUCUAUUUAUACUUCAACCUAGGGGCUAAAGUGUAAUUUAAAAUUACUUUACAAGUCCCUAAGGUAUUGACACUUUGGUCCCUCUCUAGAAUUCUCUACAUAUUCUAGGGUGUUCCAAAGCCUUCUUGAAAUAUCUAAGGGCUUCUAGAGUUCUCCAUAAGCCUCUCCACAACUCUAGAUUCUUCCGCCCCUAUUCGGAUGUAAAAUUCGGCUGCCAUAAGGUGCCUUCGACGGAUGAAUGUGACCGGCCUCGAGGAGCUCCUUCAACUGAUUCCUCAGCUCCUCUAAUUCGGGUGGAGCCAUGUGAUAGGGUGCAUGUGCAGGUGGCUUGGCUCCAACUUCCAACUCGAUUUUGUGGUCUACCUCACCCCUAGGAGGUAGAGUUCUUAGCAGCUCAUCUGGCAUCACGUCCUUGCUUUCUGCAAGGACCUUUUCUACGAUCGGUGGCAAAGGUUCCUUAGCACCAUUGUCUUCUCCCGAACUUGCAAUGGUGGCUAUGAACGUCGACUCCCCUUUCUUUAAGCCCUUCAUGAUCUGCAUGGCAGACAAGUGGGCAUGUCCUUCCUUCUUCGGCACCUUGACUAGAGGUACCAUACAUGAACCGUCCCACUCCAUGAUCAUGAGUCGUUGGAGGUAGGGGUCGAUCAUUGUAUGGCAUCUCUGGAAGAACUUUUUCCCAAGAAUAAUGUCAAAGAUAUCCAAGGGAGCUACGGUAAAGUUGGUCUUACCUUGACACUUUGCUAACGUGAUGCUUACUCCUUAGGAAACUACACACACGGGAGUUGGGGGUGCGUUGACCGUCUUGAGGCGAGUGUUACUUGGAGUGUAGCUUAGCCCAAACCUUGUUGCCGCCGUCUUGGGCAUGAUGUUCGGUUCGGCCCCGGAGUCUACCAUGGCACGAGCUGGUCGUCCAUUAAUGGAGAUGUCCACAUACUGCGUGCUAAAGUCUCGCGACCUCUCCGUCUUCUUGGCAAUAGCACCACAUAGUCCCACCAUGCCCAACUACAUCGAGCCCGCGUCCUACCCUUGCUCUUGUGCGUCCUUCUCAUUUCGCUUGCGUAGGAUGGCACCAAAGUUCUUCAUCUCAGGGCACCUGGCAUAGCCAUGCGGUCCACCACAUAUGUAGCAACCAUCUCCCUUGGUGGUUUGCGCCUUUUUCUCCGCGUAGUUCUAGCGCCCAAACCGCUUGCCGUCCGACUUGAAAGAGUCAUGAUGCUUAGGAUAUGUCUGCUGCUUCUUGCCUCGGCCACUAUUUCCCUCAUCUUUGGCAUGACUACUCCUUGCAUCUUUUCCUUUCGCCUUGUCAUGCCAGUCAUGCUUAAAGCCGGUCAAGGAUUCGACUUGUGUAAUGGCCUCAUCUAUGGUCUUGACUUGUCGCCGCUCCAACUCCGUCUUGUCCCAAUUCUGCAGUCCGUCCAUGAAGUGGAACAACAUGUCUUUGUCCGUAAUGUUGGGAAUCUAAAGCGUUAGAGUUGUGAACUCUUUCACGUACGCCCGAAUUCUCCCCGUUUGCUUCAAUUCCCUAAACUUUCGCUUAACUUCAUAUACUACGUUGUUAGGGAAGAAGGUUUUCUUGAACUCCUCGCAGAAUUGCUCAGAAGUGUUGAUGGUGCACGUCCCCUUUCCUAUCUCGACCUCAUUGCACCUCCACUAUAGCUUGGCCAUCUCCGAAAGAUACAACACGGCAGUGUUGAUCUUGUUCUCGUCGCUCCUUACCCGACUACACUUAAAGUAAUUCUCCAAGUGCCACAAGAAGUUCUCCACCUCUUGAGCGUCACGUACGCCUUUGAAUAUAGGUGGCUUGGGAGCCUCGACCCUGACCUCCCUAUCACGGUCGAACGACUUAGAUCCUCCAGCUUCCACGCCUUCCUUAAGUGCCUUCAUCUCGGCCUUCAUGGUCUCAAUCGUGCUCAACGCCUCCAUGAGCCGACAUUUCAAGGAAGUGAUGGCCUCCUUCAUCUUGAACUCGGCCCGCUGGCGUCCCUCCAACUCUUUGCAGAUGUUUUCGGUCUUUUUAAGGGUGAAGUCUUCAAGAGUUUUGAACUUGCCGUCGGCUACAUUCAUGUGCCGGCCUAAUAUCUCCACAGCCUGCCUCGCCACUUCAACCCUUGCGACCCAUUCCUCUCCGGCGGUGACGUCAAUGGCCUCCUCGCCAAGUUCAUCGUCACUUGUUUCGGUGGUCGAAGGUGGAUAAGAUUUUAGCGCCUCGCUUGGUGUGGGGUCGAGAAACAUUUCCUUAUUACUCUUUUGGUGGUUCUUUCCCUUGCGAUUCUUCAUUCCACCAUCAGGACGGACAUUGGUGGUGCUAGAGGCGUUUACGUCUCCUUCAUUGGCUAGGUGAGACAUUCGGUUCACGUCCUUCUUCUGUCAUCGGGGAUGGGAACCUUGGUAGGAAUGUUGGAGGGUUCUCGGCAGGUAGGUUUGAUGCUAGCCUUGUUGCCUUGGCAUUGGCUAAUUCAAGCAAACCUCGCUCUGAUACCACGUUGUCGCGGACUUAGAGUUUUCGCUAAAGCUCCAUACGGCGCUUGACAACUUACUCACUACUCUUGCAAGAUCUUGUAAUCUCAAGCAAGCCUUUAAGACUAAGAUCGCUAAGAAAAUGCAAAGAAAGACUUAGAAAGAAUAAGAGAGCUUUUGGAAGAAGACUUUUGUAUUGCUUGUAGAAUGCUUUACAACUUGAGUGAUGCCUUGCAAAUGAAUGACACCUCUAUUUAUACUACAACCUAAGGGCUAAAGUGCAAUUUAAAAUUACUUUACAAGUCCCUAAGGUAUUUACACUUUGGUCCCUCUCUAGAAUUCUCUACAUAUUCUAGAGUGUUCCAAAGCCUUCUUGAAAUAUCUUCUAGAGUUCUUCAUAAGCCUCUUCACAACUCAAGAUUCUUCUGCCCCUAUUUGGAUGUAAAAUUCUACUGGCAAAGUUGCAGGACUGGACAUGACACAUAGCCUCUCUUCCUUUCCUUUCUUAGGCAUAAUUUCAACUUGUUUUCAGAUGGGUUUCACCAUUUUCAACUAAGUCUUUCCUCUCUCCCUUGCACAUUAAAGCUCCUUCUUGAAAAGUGGAAUUUUUUUUGUUGACCAAAAUCGCUGCAACCAUGGAGAAAAAGGAUGAUUUUGUUGAUCUCUCCUCUGUCACACAUUUUGGACUGAUCUCAAUGUGCCUUUUCUUUCAAAAUUGAAAUAACUUUUUCGUUCUUCAAUUCCUGCUUAAAGUCUCGGCUAUAAAGAUUCACAUACAUCUUCAGUUCGAGGACGAGUUUUUGUCUUGAAUAAUAAAUCACGAACACCACCACUCUUUUACAUUUUAAUAUCUUCUGUUUUGCUUGAUUUUGUUGAAGGAACGAGCAUAGAUCCUUGAUCGAAGACGACUGGUGAUUACCAUUCUCUUUUGAUUUUUAUCUAUUCAAAGUGACAUUCAUAUUUCAUUUUGCUUUCCUUUUAAUCUCGUGUUUAAAUGCUAUGAAAUAGCUAGUGCUUCUGAUUUUUUCACAUGAACAUUGGAUCAUAUGGAGUUUCGUGGGAGACUCCCGUCUCGGUCGAUAACCCGAUGCAUACUUCCCCAUUUCAAUGUUCCUUUUAUAGAAAUGCCUUGAUAUUGGAGGCAUUUGAUUUUCUUUGAGCUCACUUGUUUGGAAUGUUUGAAUUGUUUACUCUGCUCUAGUCAUCCCAUACAUUUUAUAUGCUACUUGAUUUAAUUUGUUAUUGGUAGUAUUUCAAUAUAAUAUAUGUUUCACUAAGGCAUGAAAAUACAAUUGGCUUUUAUUUAUUUAGUAGUCACCAUUUUAUUUAAGUCUUUAAAUAUCUUUGUAUGUUUAAGAUAAAUGUUCCCUUUUUUGGUUAUACCCAUUUCAAGAUUAGUUUAUUAAGUUUUUCAAGAUAUAGUUCAAUUUGCUAAAACAAUCCAGUAAGUGAGACCUUUGCCUAUUUCUAAAAUUUAUCUUUUUAUUUAUUUCGUGAACACUAAUCACCUAGUUUUUGACUAGCCUUAGCCUAAUUAAUUAUUUAUGUUCGGUCGUUUAACCAUUUUUAAUGGAUCUUAAAGGAUGUCUCACCCUUUAAUUUCCUUUAGAUUAAUUGAACCCUUACCUAAAAUCUUAUGUUUAGUAGACCUUAAAAUGAAGUUAACUUUAGACAAUAACUUUAAUCAUUUUAGGUGUCCUAAUUCACCGUAAUAAUUAGGUGGCGACUUUCUUAACUUAGUUAAUUACUUUAGGAAUCACCAGAAGUUGUACACUAUUUUGACCCGGUUAAAAUGGGGCAGAACACCCAUUAAAUAACAAUAAGAGCUUUUUUGACUAACAUUUUAAAGAAAAUGGUGUAAAGCCCUCCUCACCUAUCCCUGAAAUCCCAACUACACACUCUCCAACUUCACGGGUGUCCUAUCACCCGCUAAACUAUUUAAAACUAAUAUAAUUUACUCUCUAAGGGGCUGUUUGGUUGCUGGUUAGAGUUAUGCAGGGUUUAGUAAUGCAGGAUUUAGUUAUGCAUGGUUUAAUUAUACAGAGUUUAGUUAUGCAGAGUUUAAUAAUUUUUUUGGGUGUUGGUUUGUUAUAUUAAAAAUUAAUAAACAUUAUAUACUUGUUAAAAAUAAAUUAUUUGUUAUUGUUAUAUCUUAGACCUUUCUUACCGUUGUAUUUUUAUUUAUUUUUUGUGUUUUGCUUAGGCAAAAUUUUGGACAGAAACUUAAAUGCCACAUUUUUCAACUUCCUCAUGUAGUUGAACCGAUGCAUAUAUAUGACACGUGUUAACACGGGAUCAAUAUUGUAAUAGUUGAAACUUAUUGAUAUGCUAGUACAUAUAAUUAUGUGUGCAUAUAACAAAAAUAGAUACAUAUAUGUUAACAUCUGAGCAACACCGCGUACUAAUGCUAGAUAUUAUAUUUGGAGCCUUUACUUCAAUAAUCUAUAAUAUAGAAAUGAGGAAGUUUGUUUUUUUCUAUUUGAUGAAGGAGAUCAUAUUUACAAAAGUCUUGGCAAGAACUAGUGGAAGCUCUAGAGCUUACUUCAAGCAAAGCCAUUGAUAUGCACAUUGAUAGAUAUGGCUUACUUCCAAUGGCAAGAACCAUUGAUAGAGGAUGCUUACUUCCAACAGAACAAUCUAUUGUUGGACACUAUCCUCAACAAUUAUCGACAUUGUCCUCACCCAUAGACAAUAUCCUCAUCAAUUUGAAUGUCUACUUAAUUUUCAAAAUAAUAAUGGAGUACAUUAAAUCUAAAUUUCAGUUUCGUCAUACUAAAUAAUUCAUUCAGUUACAAUUUUCACAUACUGCCAUAUCCUAAAAUUGAGAGUCCAUUUUUCAAGCAACAAAAUAGUGACAAAAUAAAUUUAAUAAAAUGAAGAAUACAACAAAUCUAAUAUAUACCAUUGUUACAAACUUGAAAUUCUAGUACCGUGGCCUCACGGAAUCAAACUAGACCCACCUUCAUUAAAUGUGAAAGAAACUUACAUAAUUCACUGUUAAAUUAUAUAAACUGGGACAUAAAACAUAGGCAAAAUAAAACUUAACUAGGCCAUGGUUAUACCUAACAAAGUAGCUACACCAAAAACCAUUCAAAGGUUUAAAGUUUAUCAUCAAUAAUCAUUCAUACCAUAGUGUAACGAUCAAGCUCAUUGAUGUUUAAAAAGCACUCGUUCAUUGAUAAUUAUAUAAACUGGCACAUAAAACAUAGGCAAAAUAAAACUUCACUAGGCCAUGGUUAUACCUUACAAAGUAGCUACACCAAAAACCAUUCAAAUGUUUAAAGUUUAUCAUUAAUAAUCAUUCAUACCAUAGUGUAACGAUCAAGUUCAUUGAUGCUUAAAAAGCACUCCAUGAACUUUGUGUUGCUCCAGCUGAUACACUAGGUUCCCCUUGAGCAAUUUGAUCUUCUUUUUAGCUGGAGCAUCAUCUUCAUCGACAACAAUAAUAGGAAAUUCAAAAGGCAUGUCAUUAGCAACUUCUUGAGCUUCAAUUCUUUCUAUUUCUUGAACACCAACUUCUGGCCCCUCGACAGAUUGUUCAGUAGCUCCAUCCUUGUGAAAUAUCUCUUCCCAAUCAGCAAAUAAUGGCCAUUUCUUAAAUGUCAUUGACUUGGCAUAUGGAUCAACCUAAGAAAAAAAAAGAAAACAAGUAUAUGAAGUAACUGAUAAUAUUCCAAAGACAGAGAUUAUAUUCACCAAGAGAAAAUAUAACUAACUAGCUUUAGUUUACUAAUAAUUUAAACAAUUGUAAAUCACCUUUAUGAAGUCAUCCCAACCUUUUGGAUCUUCAACCAAGAUAGUUCCAUCGUUGUAUCGAAAUCCUAAGCCACUUCGACUUUUUACCAACGAUAGGGUCAUAUAAUGCUUUUUCCACCCUCUUAUUUUUGAAAAAAUAUGUGGUAGAGCUUGCAAUCCGCAAUUAGGAUGACAAACAUUCAGGUGUUGUUCAAGUUCCAUCAAAUAUUCAUGUUUAAAGGUUCCAUCAUCUUCUUUCCAAUCAUUAGCACAUAACUUUUUUAAUCCAUCAACCAGAGUGAGUUCCUCUUCUUGAGUCCACACCCUUGCCCAUUUUUGAGACAUGUUAGACCUUCUUUUAGUGGGACUAUCUGUAAGAAUGUAAAAAAUCAUAAUUUAUACUAACUUAUGAUUCACUACAAAAGUAUACUAACUUAUUUUCACAUAUAUUGCAUUUGUCUAUCACCAGAAUUACAAGAGAAAAAAAAACAAUAUGAUAAGAAGAAGACGAAAGCAUAAGAAAAGGUUAAGAUUUCAAAAGUUUCUAACCUCAAAGAAAGAAUUUAGAUUGAGCAUUCUUUAAGAUUUGCCUCUUAGAAGAUAAUGAAAUUUUAGAUCUAUAAAAAGGCAUAUAAUGUAUCUGAUUGUAUUUAAUUAGAAGUGAAGAAGGGUCACAGUUAUCUAUCUACCAUACACAAUUGAAAUGGUCAGCAUUGGAGGUAAUAAAUCCAUCCGUCCUUUGGUUAGUAAUGGAAGAUUAAUGCAAUUCUAAGAAGUGAAUGACAAUUGAAUGGUAAUCCUGUUAUGGAUUUUGAAGUUUGACUUUGAGAAAAUAAUGACACAAAUAGGCUUGCCAGAUUUUAGAACGGUUGGAAAACCAUAUGGACUAAAUUUCCAAGUUAAAACGCCUAAUUGCACAAACUCAAAACGAAAGCCUCGAUACUCGAACCAACCAUCCUAAUAGACUAAAUAUGACCUUCCGGAUCUAACCGUGCUGACGGAAUUCUCAUCCGAUCAGUUUUUACUAAGAAUACUGACUGAAGUCGAUAUUUGAGUAAAUUUCCAAGCUAAAACGCCUAAUUGCACAAACUCAAAACGAAAGCCUCGAUACUCGAACCAACCAUCCUAAUAGACUAAAUAUGACCUUCCGGAUCUAACCGUGCUGACGGAAUUCUCAUCCGAUCAGGUUUUACUAAGAAUACUGACUGAAGUCGAUAUUUGAGUAAAUUUCCAAGUUAAAACGCCUAAUUGCACAAACUCAAAACGAAAGCCUCGAAACUCAAACCAGCCAUCCUACUAGACUAAAAAUGACCUUCCGGAUCUAACCGCGCUGAUAGAAUUCUCAUCCGAUCACUUUUUAUUAAGAAUAUUGACUGAAGUCGAACUUUGAGUAAAUUUCCAAGUUAAAACGCCUAAUUGCACAAACUCAAAACGAAAGCCUCGAUACUCGAACCAACCAUCCUAAUAGACUAAAUAUGACCUUCCGGAUAUAACCGCACUGAUGGAAUUCUCAUCCGAUCACUUUUUACUAAGAAUAUUGACUGAAGUAGAACUUUGACUAAAUUUCCAAGUUAAAACGCCUAAUUGCACAAACUCAAAAUGGAAGGCUCGAAGCCCAAACCAACCAUCCUACUAGACCAAAAAUGACCUUCCGGAUCUAACCACGCUAAUGGAAUUCUCAUCCGAUCAUGUUUUACUAAGAAUAUUGACUGAAGUAGAACUUUGACUAAAUUUCCAAGUUAAAACGCCUAAUUGCACAAACUCAAAAUGGAAGGCUCGAAGCCCAAACCAACCAUCCUACUAGACCAAAAAUGACCUUCCGGACCUAACCGCGUUGACAGAAUUCUCAUCCAAUCACGUUUUACCAAGAAUAUUGAAUGUAGUCGAACUUUGACUAAAUUUCCAAGUUAAAACGCCUAAUUGCACAAACUCAAAAUGGGAGCCUCGAAACACAAACCAACCAUCCUACUAGACUAAAAAUGACCUUACAGAUCUAACCGCGCUAACAAAAUUCUUAUCCGAUCACUUUUUACUAAGAAUAUUGACUGAAGUCGAACUUUGACUAAAUUUCCAAGUUAAAAUGCAUAAUUGCACAAACUCAAAAUGGGAACCUUGAAACCCAAACCAACCAUCCUGCUAGAUUUAAAAUGACCUUCUGGAGCUAACCGCGCUGACAUAAUUCUCAUCUGAUCACGUUAUACCAAGAAUAUUAACAGAAGUCAAACUUUAACUAAAUUUCAAAUAUAUUGGUAAAAUGUGACCAGAUGAGAAUUACAUCAUCUCGGUUAGCUCCAGAAGGUCAUUUUUAGUCUAGUAGGAUGGUUGGUUUGGGUUUCGAGGCAUCCAUUUUGAGUUUGUGCAAUUAGGCGUUUUAACAUGGAAAUUUAGUCAAAGAUUGACUUUAGUCUAUAUUCUUGGUAAAACAUCAUCGAAUGAAAAUUCUGUCAGUGUGGUUAGAUUCGGAAGGUCAUUUUUGGUCUAGUAGAAUGUUUGGUUUGCGUUUCGAAGCUUCCAUUUUGAGUUUGUGCAAUUAGGCGUUUUAACUUGGAAAUUUAGUCAAAGUUCUACUUCAGUCAAUAUUCUUAGUAAACGUGAUCGGAUGAAAAUUCCGUUAGCACGUUUAGAUCCGGAACGUCAUUUUUAGUCUAGUAGGAUGGUUUGUUUGGGUUUCGAGGCUUCCAUUUUGAGUUUGUGUAAUUAGGCAUUUUAACUUGGAAAUUUACUCAAAGUUCGACUUCAGUCAAUAUUCUUUGUAAAAAGUGAUCGGAUGAGAAUUCCAUUAGCGCGGUUAGAGCCGGAAGGUCAUUUUUGUUCUAGUAGGAUAGUUGGUUUGGGUUUCGAGGCUUUCAUUUUGAGCUUGUGCAAUUAGGCGUUUUAACUUGGAAAUUUACUCAAAGUUCGACUNNNNNNNNNNNNNNNNNNNNNNNNNNNNNNNNNNNNNNNNNNNNNNNNNNNNNNNNNNNNNNNNNNNNNNNNNNNNNNNNNNNNNNNNNNNNNNNNNNNNNNNNNNNNNNNNNNNNNNNNNNNNNNNNNNNNNNNNNNNNNNNNNNNNNNNNNNNNNNNNNNNNNNNNNNNNNNNNNNNNNNNNNNNNNNNNNNNNNNNNNNNNNNNNNNNNNNNNNNNNNNNNNNNNNNNNNNNNNNNNNNNNNNNNNNNNNNNNNNNNNNNNNNNNNNNNNNNNNNNNNNNNNNNNNNNNNNNNNNNNNNNNNNNNNNNNNNNNNNNNNNNNNNNNNNNNNNNNNNNNNNNNNNNNNNNNNNNNNNNNNNNNNNNNNNNNNNNNNNNNNNNNNNNNNNNNNNNNNNNNNNNNNNNNNNNNNNNNNNNNNNNNNNNNNNNNNNNNNNNNNNNNNNNNNNNNNNNNNNNNNNNNNNNNNNNNNNNNNNNNNNNNNNNNNNNNNNNNNNNNNNNNNNNNNNNNNNNNNNNNNNNNNNNNNNNNNNNNNNNNNNNNNNNNNNNNNNNNNNNNNNNNNNNNNNNNNNNNNNNNNNNNNNNNNNAUUAGGCGUUUUAACUUGGAAAUUUAGUCCAAAUGGUUUUCCAACAGUUCCAAAAUCUGACAAGCCUAUUUAUUUGAUUAGUUGCUCAAAGUCUAACUUUAGAAUUCAUAACAGGAUUACCAUUCAAUUGUCAUUCACUCCUUAGACUUGCAUUAAUCUUCCAUUACUAACCAAAGGACGGAUGGAUUUAUUGCCUCCAAUGCUGACCAUUUCUAUUGUGUAUGGUAGAUAUAUAACUGUGACCCUUCAUCACUUCUAAUUUAAUACAAUCAGAUACAUUAUGAGGAACAGAUAGCUAUUGUAGAUAGAUAGAUGUAACCUUUAUCAGAAUCACUUUAUUUCCAUUAUUUACGUGAAAGUGCAUUAGUUGCUCUUUAAAAUGUUAAUCUGUUACUUUCACCAACUAUCAAUCCAAAGGAUCAAAAUCCUUGUCUUUGUCACAAUUACUAUAGUUCGUCUGCCACUUCCAACCUGGUAGUACUGCAAUAAUGAUGUGAUAUUCUUUAUUUUAGACCACCUCAACUACGUGACUAUACAAAUUAAGCUAAAUGAGAAAGCAUUCAUGAGGAAAGAAUUCACUCACACAUAAUUCAUUGUUAAAAUAUUAGACACAUCUUCAUUUAAAGUGAAUGAAACUUACAUAAUUCAUUGUUCAAUUACAAAAGCUGGCACAUACAACAAAGACAUACAAUUACAUUUUUUUUCAAAAGAAGUCUCCUAUUUUUGUAACAUUAUCCUUCCAUGACAAACACCAAGCUUCAAAAGUUGAAUACCAACCCCAACAACAUAUAAUCACUUGACAAAAUAGCAUCUGAGUACUUUGUAUUUCUGACUGGAUCUUUGUGAUUACUCCAACUGCUGAAUAGUCUGCGAGAAAAGAAAAUUUCAAUACAGUCUCGGAGAAGAAGGAAUUAAAAACACCUUGGAGAAGAUGAACUUACCGUUUGGGUCAGCGUUUUGAGCAAUCUGAAGAGCAUCUGAGUUGGCUACUUACAAAAACACUAAUGUUGAACCUAAUCAUGCAUUUGUUAUACAAAAACAACCUACUUUAAGCCCACAACAUUCACAUAUAUGUACAUUUGUGGACAUUCUACUAGGUAACAAAAAAUCUCAUUAUGGUUAGACCUUACAAAAUAGAUACACAAAAACCAUUCAGUGAUUUAAAGCUUAUCAUUAAUAAUCAUCCAUAUCAUACUGUGACGCUUAAGUUCACUGAUGCUUAAGAAGAAUUCCAUCCUCUUUAUAUCUUGUGUAAUUCCCAUUGCUGCCUUGACUCGUUCAUCUGAAUUGUAUAUUUCAAAUGCAGGGGAUCCGAUAAUAGAAAAUAUCUUACCACGAAUCUCAGAUAGAUCACGCUCUCCUAGCUUGUCAAUUAAAGAAGCCAUCCUUUUGUUAUGGCUUUCAGUGAAUUGUUUCAUUACCUCCAUCAAACCUUUAAGAACAGUCUCAUUAUCAUCUUCAGUUGUUUUUCUUUUUUUGCAUCUACUUUUUUCGUUGACUUUAGAAGAUGAUGCUUUAAAACUACUACCUUGUUUUUGAGAUUGAUGGGUUUCACCUUUUUGAGUUGUGAAUGAACUUUGUGCUGCUCCAGUUGAUUCAUUAGGUUCAUCUUGAGCAGUAAAUGGACUUUGUAUUGCUCCAGGUGAUACAUUAGGUUCCUCUUGAGCAGCUUGAUCUUCUCUUGUGCCUGAAGCAUCAUCUACGUCGACAACAUCAAUAGGAAAUCCCACAGACGUGCCAUCAGUAAUUUCUUGAGCUUCAAUUCUUUCUAUUGUUUCAACAACAUCUUUUGGCCCUUCUGCAAACUCUCCAGUAGCUCUAUCCUUGCCAAAUAUCUCUUCCCAGUCAGCAAAUAAUGGACAUUUUUUUUAAGUUCAUUGACUUGGCAUUUGGAUCAACCUAAGAAAAUAAAGAACAAGUACAUGAAGAAACUGAAAAUAUUCCAUAAACAAAGAUCCAUUAACCAAGAGAAAAUAUAAGUAAGUAGCAAUUCCCUAAUGAUUUAAAAUAAAUAUAAAUCACCUUUAUCAAGUCAUCCCAAGCUUUAGGAUCAUCAACUAAGAUACUUCCAUCACUAUAUUGAAAUCCUAAACCACUUCGACUCUUUAGCAACGAUAUUGUUGCAUAACUCUUUUUCCAUGCUCUUAUUUUAGAAUCAACAUGUGGUAGAGAUUUCAAUCCACAGUUAGGAUGACGAGCAUUCAUGUAGUGUUCCAAUUCCAUUAAAUAUCCAUGUCUAAAGGUUCCAUUAUCUCCUCUCCAACCAUUAACACACAAUUCUUUUAAUCCAUCUACAAGAGUAAGUUCCUCUUCUGGAGUCCACACCCUUCGAGAUGAAGGUGUUGAUUUUCUUGCCCUCUUUCUGGACGUGUUAGAUGCUGCAGCAGUAGAACUAGCCAUUUCAAUCUGUAAAAUUGUAAAUGAAAUCACAAGUAAUACUAAGUUACAACUUACUAGUAAAUUAUGUCAAUUAUAACCCAAUAAAUUGUAAUACAACUUGAUUGCUUACAAGUAAAUUAUUUCAAUUAUAACCAAAUAAAUUGUAAUACAACUUGAUUAAUCUGGGAAAAAGAUAAUGUGAAGACAUAUAUACAAAUUCACUACUUAUAUUCAAAAAUAAUAGAUAUACAUUGAGUUUCACUAUUUGUCUGUACAGACAACAAUGUGAGACAUACAAAAGAUUGACCAUUCGUUUUUUCACAAAAUAAUAAAAGCUAUUACAUUUUACAGUGAGCGGAAAACCAAAAACAAAAGUGCAUAAGCACACCAAAAGUGAUCACAUAGUUUAAAAUUAUAAAGAUUGAUUUCCCAAUCUUUCAUUCCACAUAGACUGAGCUAGUUCAUCCCUCCAAGUGGUCCACUCAUCAGAUGCUUCAAUUGUAUUAAUAUUGUCAUGUUCAUGUUGAUUUUCCAUGUGGAAUUCCAUUUCCACAUCUAAUGGGUCAGCUUCCAUCUCUCUUCGAAUGAAAUUGUGAAUCAAACAACAUGCACUAAUAAUUCUAUUGUGAACCUUAACCGAGUACCACGAAGGACUUCUAAGAAUUCCCCAACGUCCUUUUAAUAGUCCAAAUGCUCUUUCAAUAACAUUACGCGCCCUAGCAUGCUUCAUAUUAAAGAGCUCUUCUCGACAUUGAGGUUUUUCAAUAACAUUACGCGCACUAGCAUGCUUCAUAUUAAAGAGCUCUUCUCGACAUCGAGGUGAUGGAUUGUCACCCUGCCAAUCCUUUAUCCAAUAUCUAUAUCCUCGGUAGGGAGACAAAAACCAUUUCCAUUUGUAUAUCCUCCAUCGCACAAAUAGUAAUUGCCUAAAAAUGUAAACAAUAAUAUAAUUACUUUAAAUAUUAUUCUAUUUUGAUGUAGUAGAAAUAGACAAGGGUCUGCCUAUUAUUUAGCAUACCCUGAGGUACUUUCAACCCAUUUCUUCGUACAACAGCAUCUCGCAAUACGCGACCAUCAGCGGCUGAUCCCUCCCAACCAGGUAAUACAUAAAUGAAGUUGAGAUUUCUAUCACAAACCCCCAAUACAUUAGUUGCUAUAUCUCCUUUUCGUGUUCUAUAUCUUGGCUAUUAUAUUGCUUCAGCUCUAAUGGAAAUGUAAGUACCAUCCAAUGCACCAAGACAACCCUAUAAGAUAAAUUCAACUCAAAAUACUAAAGGACUAUUAAAAGUAAAAAUACUUUCACCAUAAUAUUUCAAGUUUGUUGUAGUAAAUCAAAUGUUAGAUUGAAAUUUACCUACCUUAAACCAUUUCCAUCGAUCAUCAGUAUCAUCUUCGAGCACCGGAUUAGGUUUAACAAGUAACAAUGGAGUUAGUUUAAGAAUAGCUCUUAGACAUUCAUUAAAGGCUCGACUUACACUCCACCCCGAUCUAAUAUAAUCAACUUUGAUAGACCUGUUCUUUUCGUGAUGAGCCAAAAUAUUUAAGAACAUUGCUAAUUUUUCAGUACUCGACAUAUUUUUACUAUCAGUCAACCCUUCUAGAUUGGUUUCUUAAUAACAUGCUGUAAAUAGCCAUAAAAAAGCAAAUAAGGACAAUAUACGAAUGCACCACAAUCUCCUCGAGGAUCAUAAAGCAUUCAACAUCGCACAAUUGCUGAGAAUCCAUUUACACCUAUUUUCCAUUUAAAAAUUGCAACAUCAUUAUCAAAUUGAAUCCAAAAGAAACAAAAGUAUCAAUCAUGUUACUUAACUAAUUAUUGCAGACACAUUAUGUAUAAUAGGAAGGUAAUAGAUGGUUUCAAACUAGAAUGUUCAAUUUUAUUAAAAAAAAUGUGAAAAGUAACAUUGAAAAACAGGGUAAAAUGUUUAUUUUUGUUUGGCUUCAAUAGCUAGAAUACUAAUACUAUUUUUUUCAAACUGCAAAUAACAUGUUUAUCUUUUGCAGUUUUAGAAGUUAAAACAACUAAACUUAAUGAACCCAUUUUUCAGAAAGCACGAUUUUUGAACAAACAAAACAAAAUCCACAUCAAAUUUGGGUGUACUAAAACAUCAACUUAACUAGAAAAUACUGAGAAGAUCUAGAAUUUCAUUUGUCUCUCAUCAGAUUAACAAGAGGAAAAACACAAAAAAGAGAAAACAGGAGGAGAAGAAGAAGAAAAUAAAACAAGAUCAGCCAAAUUUUGAGUUUCGGAACUUCUAGCCUCAAAGAAACAACACUAGAUUGAAAGUUUUUCAAUCUAUUUGCCUGGAAGAUGAAGAGCCAUUCUAGAUCUACAGAUAUGGAGAGAGGAUCUGAAUGUUUAUCUAAAAAGAACUGUAUAUUUGAUUGAGAGUGAAGGGAAAAAUUGUCAAUUUAUAUUUUUAUUCAGGUAUUAGUUAUUCAGGUAUAACUUAUUCCAUCUUUUACCCUGCAUAAAAUAAUACAUAGAUUGACUCAUAAUUUAAACAUGUAUUAGUUAUGUGGUUUUCUAAUUUUCUAACCAAACAUAGUAUUAUGUGUGUUGAAUUUUAUACUUUGACAAAAAAAUACUACCAAACAUGGUAAAACUUAUGCAACAUUUUAUACCUGAAUAACUCAAUCCUUAUCCAGUAACCAAAUGCCCCCUAAAUGCUUGUGGCACAUUGAGUGUAUUUCACUCUCUCAAAGAGAGUGAGGACCAAAACAGAUAAUAAAACUUUAUUUUUAAAAUUUCUUUUCAUAAAUAUGUGUAUUUUUAAUUAUUCUUUUUUCUUAUUUAUUUUCUUUCUUCACAUCAACAUAAAGCAAAUCUCUCCACCACUCACCUUCUCUAAACCGCCGCAAUCAUCACAUUCAUUGGAUUCAACAUGAAAUUUUAUUAUUCCUCUUGAGUCUAGAAUUUUAAUUUUUCAAUUUGUGCAUGAAAUUAGGAAAUUUUGAAAACCAACUCUUUAUUAAUAUUAUUAAAAUUGUUAAUCAUCAUUUUACAUGCCUAACCACAUGGCCAAAUGGGUUAGAAAAUUCUUAUCUUUAUUUUUGGUGCCCUAAUCUAUUAUCUUUAGAAAAUGGCCAAAUACCCCCUAAUCUAUUAUUGGAUUUUCAACUACACACUUAAACUUUACGGGAGUCCUAUCACCCCCCUGAACUGUUUAAAAUCAAAAUUAUUGGACCCCUAAAAAGCCACAAUCACAUUUAUGUUCAUGGGUGAAACUCACGCGUUUGCCAUGUGAAAUUCCAUUAAAAAAAGUUUUUCUUCAAUUUUUUCAUUAUUCUUUAUUCUUUUCUUCUAUUUUUUCACCAUCUCUCCAAACCCAAAAAUAUUUUCACCAUUUUCUCCAUUACUAUAAACACCAAAGGUCUACCAGUCACUACAAUUUUCAAAAGGAGAAAGUCGGGAAUGAUUUUGAUUCCCAUUUGUCAUUUCGUCCACUACUUGAUUGGUAUUAAGAUCAUUUCCAUGAAUGCAUAUGUCAAAUUUCUCAAAUUUGAGUUAAUGAAUACAUAACAAUGGAGGAAGGUUGAAUGUGGGUUUCAUUGAAAAUUCAAAAUUCUUCGUUGGUUUGGAUUAAAAUUACAAAUUUGGAGCUCCGAAGAACCAAAAUAAGAAUUUGCCAACCGAAUUAACUUUGUGGAUUGACCAUGUACAAGGAUGAUUAACAACUCCAAUAAUAUUGAUAAAGAGUUGAUUUUCAAAAAUUUCUAAUUCCAUACACAAAUUAGAAUCAAGAGGAAUACAAAAAUUCUAUGGUACAUCCAGUGAAGAUAGUAGUGGCGGCAAAGACGUAAAAAUGAUGGGAGAUGGACAGAUCUGGUCACAAAAAAGGAAGAGAUUUCUAUGAAGAAGAAAGAAAAGAAUAAGGAAAAAAAAUAAAAGAUAUAUAUAUAUAUAUAUAUACACACACACUAAAAAUAAGUUUUAAUAUUUUUUUUCGGUGCUCACUCUCUCAAGGAGAGUGAAAUACACUCACUUCGCCACAUAAGCAUUUAGGGAGAUGAUAAUUUCAGUUUUAAACAAUUUAGGGGGGUGAUAGGACCCCGUGAAGUUUAAGUGUGUAGUUGGGAAUCCGAUAAUAAAUUGGGGGUGGAGGGGGGGGGGGCAUUUGACCAUUUUCUCAUUUAAAUUCAAGUUCAGAAAGAAUUUUGGGUCGUCAACGAAACCCAUAUGCGAUUUUGAAAAUAGAAAUGAAAAGAUCCAUUUUUAUGUAUCUAUUACCUCAAUUUGAAGAAUUCGGCAAAUUCAUUAAUGAAAAUAACUUGAGUAUCAAUCAAAUGGUGGAUGAAACGGUUAGAAAUAACAUUCUCGCCAUAUUUUACCCUUCAAAAUUGUUGUUGCGGUCAUCGAUGAUGAAAACAUGAAACAUAUCAACUCCUCCAAAACUUGAGUUUUUUUUUAUACAUCAAAGAUUUAAGAGGGUGUUUGGAUUGACUUAAAAGUUGGUCAAACCUACUUUUAAGUCAGUUUUUGACUUCUGGAAGUGUUUGACAAAUAUAAAAAAUAACUUAAAAUAAGUCGUGAAGUGUUUGGCAAGGUAAAAAUAUGACUUAAAAUAAGUAAAACAUGACUUAAAAUAAGUCAGAAACCAAAAGUAGGUCUCUCCCUACUUUUUAUUUUUUGACUUAAAAGUCAUUUCAGUUUGACUUUUUAGCUACUUUUUUAAGUCAAUCCAAACGGGACUUGAUAAUAUUAAUGGUAGGAAGGAAGAAGUGGGUUGGGUUGAUUGAUAAACUUUUGAUGUUUGCAAGGAAGAUGAAAAUGGUGGAAAGAAGAUUAAUCAAUGGCAAAAAACGAAAGAUUAUCAAAGAUUUGUAACUUCACCUUUCAAUAAUAAAACUUGAAAUUUCAUAACUGCACAUUUCAUUACGGUAAGCUUAAAACUAUCACAAAUAAAACUUGAAAUUUUCUCUUCUAUGACAGAAAAAGUUUCAUCAAACAAAUGUCAAGAAAAAAGCAAAAGAAAA
Molecule: long non-coding RNA, 105938 nt
Filed under: Solanum tuberosum (potato)
Lineage: Eukaryota; Viridiplantae; Streptophyta; Magnoliopsida; Solanales; Solanaceae
Description: long non-coding RNA (STUB_LNC009206)
Source: RNAcentral